Molecule: long non-coding RNA, 100644 nt
Filed under: Vitis vinifera (wine grape)
Lineage: Eukaryota; Viridiplantae; Streptophyta; Magnoliopsida; Vitales; Vitaceae
Description: long non-coding RNA (VVIN_LNC006718)
Source: RNAcentral
AGUAAACUUAAUGGAUCUCAGCUACAACUGCUCUACAUUUUAACCAUUGUUUUAUGUUAUGGGAAUAGUGACUGAAUUUCACUGUCCCAUCAUUAUAAUUUAUGCAUUGUAAUUUCAUUUGUGGGACUUAGUUUUCACAUGUGUUCACAUGUCAUAACUGUAAUUUCCCUAAUUUUAUGAGUAAGAAAAACUCUUUAAUUUUCCCUAUUUUGACUGAAACUUUAGGAACUUGGACUUUAUAUGGUGCAAAUGUAUGUUAUCAGCUGUUGCUUUUGACCAGUCAUGAGUAGAUACUAUUUAUAAAAGGACACAAAGGAGGAUAUAAUCCAAGUGCACUUGUAGUCGACAAGUUACUCUGGGCAUCAAAAUUGAAAGAAACAACAAUGAAGAAAAGCAGCAAGAAAGUGCCCCUACCUCCCAAACUCUCAAUGAACUACUGGAAGGAUCUACUACUAUUCAAGAUAACUUCUUCUAAGCACAACUACAUGUAACAGUACUUAGCCUGUGCUAUGGUCUCAAGAGGUAGGCUCAUUGGAACAUGCCUAUUUUGAUGGAUUUUAGUUUGUGGGGAUAGUUAAAGUGUAAAGUGUUUGAUAAAAUAAAUUUGCUAGUUUUAAUAAAUUGAAAUUACUACUGAAUGAAAUGUGAAGCUAGGUAUUAGGAGGAGAAAGAAAGAUUAAUUUAUUUGUAUGACACUAUGACUUACACAUUGUGAAGCUUACUGGUUGGGAAUUGUUGAACAGGGGAACUUAAUAGGGGAGACAGAACCACACAUAUUACUUGAUGAGAAAAUAUAAUUACAUUAGCCAAAGGCCAAAAAUAUAUGAGUAGUUCACUGAUUGCAUAUUAUUGGAAAGAGAGCUGAGCAAUAUAUGAUUCAUAAACUUUUUACAAUUUAAAGGCCUGGGUCCAAUGAGAUAUGUUGCAUCAUAUUACCUAAUGAACCAAUGAAGUUUAUGGAUUUCCAAAACUUCUUGGAGAGGUUCAUUAUUUUAUGGUUCUUUUUUUUUUAGGGUUCUUUAUUUUCUCUUUGCCGAGAUAUCUAGAAUAUGACAUGGUAGGUACUUUUUGCUCCAUACCUCUUUGGAGCUCAAUUCUUUGGCAAAGCAGGAAGAAAACAAAUUAGCAUCAACUUUAGCUUGACUUGAGAUCACAAAUCCGACUAGAGAUUUUGCAGUAGUGUGUUGAGGUCUUAUCCGAAUCCAGGUUGUGAUGUGUGCAUCAAAGAGUCUUUCCAUAAGCCAUGAAGUUUUGAGGUGUUUUGUAAUGGCAUGACUAGAUAAUGAGCUGCAUUUUGGUCUGGAAUUUGGAGUUCGGUUAUGCAUUUCUGUAUCUAUAUCUCCAAAAUUAUUAACUAAUUUUAAUCAUUUUAUCUAUUUUUCAAAAUAAACAUUCAAAAUUGAAAGUUUCUGUCAUGAGUCUUCAAGCUUAUCUGGAAUAGAAUGCCCUGCAUUAACUCUUGCUGUUAAUGCAUAUAAUACCAGGUCAGUCAACACAGCCAUUUGCUUGCUUAUGUUGACUUUCAAUGGCUUAAAAUUUAUGGCUUCAAUGGUUAUUACCAUGCUAACACUCAAACUAAUUUUUUUUUUUUGAUAGGUAAAUAAGAGCUUGUAUUAGAAGUAUCUAGAAGUGGCGAAAAUAGUACACAUGAAGUAUACAAACAGAUCGCCCAAGAAACUAGGCAAAGAAGACAAAAAGCCUUUCCCCUAACUUGACAUAUGGCCACUCUAUAAAAUCAAUCAUAGACAAAGUAUGAUCCUCUAUAAACACCCUAGCCCAAUUUACAAGAGUAUACAAAAGGGAAUGUUAUAAAGCUUGGUCGGACUGUUCGAUAUCAUUUAAUGCUCUUUCGUUUCUUUACUUCCAUAAAGUCUACAUUAAGCAUAAAGGGGCAACCCUCCAAGACUUCCCCCUUCUCUUACCCACAAAGGCACCAUGCCAUCCAAGCAAAUUCCUUUAAAUCGAAGAAUGCAAAAUCCACUGCACACCAAAUAGGGAAAAAAUAAAACUCCAAAGCAUUGUAGCCUUUCUGCAAAACAAGAUUAAAUGGUCACUGGUUUCCUAUUUCUCUUUACACUAGCAUAAUCAAACUAAUAACUAAUAGUUAUUGGAUUUAAAGCUUCUUUGUUAAUGUUCUUCAUGGUUGUGCUUCUAUUUUUAAUCGAUUCUCUUGGCCAUCACCGUUCCCCCCUUAUUAAGAUUGGAUAUUUAAGUUUCAACGAAACAACCUAAUAAAUCCUCAAGAUAGAUCCUAUUUAUAAGGCAUGGGAGUUUUGGUUUAUGUCUGCUUCCAAAAUUCUUAUCCAUAUUUCUAUGAAUUCUUAUGCCAGAAAGUCUACUUCUUGCAGAAUUUUGAUGAUGUCUUGGUUCCUCUUGAUCACGUCAGUAGGAGUUACAAUGAUACAUACUACAUCGACUCUCAAACUGUCUUGAGGUGCCACACUACUGCUAAUCAAGCAGAGCUGUUGAGGAGGGGACACACUCAUUUCCUUGUGACUGGAGAUGUUUAUCGUAGAGAUUCCAUUGAUUCAACUCACUACCCUGUUUUUCAUCAGGUUUCUUAUCUCUGAUUUUAUCAAUGAUUAUUUUCUAUUAACAAGUUUCUUAACGUUUUCUUCAGUUCAAUAACUUUGCUUCCUGAUCAUGCAGAUGGAAGGCGUUAGUGUCUUCUUUCCAGGUGAUUGGGAGACAUUUGGACUGGAUGGCACGUCUUAUGCGGCUGAGGAUUUAAAGAAAUGUCUUGAGGGUUUGGCGCAGCACUUGUUUGGUAAACUUAGAUCAGGAGAUUGUCUUAAUCAGAUGCAAACUUAAUACUAUCAGUUGAUGCUGCAGUGAGAAAUAUGGGUUAAGGAAUUAUUUACCAGGUCUAAUAAUUCAAAAUCUGGGAAAUACUGCAAGUAAAAGGGGGCAAAAAAUAAUGAAAUAAUAAAAUAAUAAAUUUAAGUGGGGAAAGCAAUUCAUGUUAUGCAAAAGCAGUACAGGUUGGUCAUUUAGAAGACAAAUCAAGAUAGUCCAGAAUAAUAUAGGGAAUUAUUUGUGAUUCUCAAGGUACUUGUUAAGAAUCAUUGACAAAUUACCUCAAGAAACAUUUAAGAGUGCUAUUAUUCUUGAAAUUUCUGAAAUCUAUCAGAAAGGUGGUUUUCAUCUUGGGGUUUACCAAAUACUGUAUAGAAUCUGCGUGGGCUAAAUCUAUUGAAAUUUGCAGGUAAUGUGGAAAUGCGCUGGAUUGAUACAUAUUUCCCUUUCACCAACCCAUCAUUUGAACUUGAGAUGUAUUUUCAGGUGUGCUUUUGAUCUGGCUGGUGGUUACAUUUUAGCACUAUGUAUUUUGAAUUUCUUUAAAACUUUGUUUUUGAACUAAUUCUAGUAGAAACAGGCUCCAUUUCAUUUUUCUGUUUUCGCCUUUUGCAAGAAAGGGUAAAAAUCAUUUCAAAAAUGUGAACUUCAGUUUAUUCCAUUGCUGGCAUGUGUGGCUUUCAUCUGUUAUUGAAGACACUAAGAUUCAUAGACUGAUAAUAUUCCAAUGCUUAUACUAACAGUAAUGUUGAUGAUAAAAUAAUAUAAAAGUAGAAACAAAAUUAGUUGUCUCCCUUUUUUUUUUUCUUUUAGUUUCUUUGUUCUUCUUACCCCUCUUAUGUGGGGAGGGGGUGUGGGGCUCUUUGUUGUUGCCAAAUGUGAAAAAGAAGAUGCAUUAUGUCCUUUUAUUUUGGACUUAGAGGACCUAUUAUGAAGGCAUUGCUUUCUUCAAUGUAUAUUUAUGACUUCAAGACAUUUUUGUAUUUUAUUUUAUGGCAGCAUUUUUUAGCGUCACUAUUGAAGGAGAAAUUCAUAAACAUAUAUACACACAUGCUAGUGGGCAUACACAAACACUGAUGUUCCACACAGUAAUUAAAAAAUUAUUGCUUUGAGGAGUAUCUUUUUCCAAUACUCAUGUCCAUGUCAAAUGGCAACAUGCCAAUGACUAUUUGCCAGCAUUGCUGGCAACUCUUUUAUGGAUUGUGUGAGUGUUUAGCUAGGUUGGCAAUUCCGGACAAAAUUUCCAAUUCCUCUUCGGACUACUUGACUUUGAAGACUAAGACUUUGCUAAGAGGUCGAGGUAUGUAGCCGAGUGUGUGGUGAUUGAAUGUGUAUCAACCCGGUUUUUAAUCUUUAAAUGUGUUAGAAAGUUGGGAAAAAUGGUUUUUGGUGCAAGACUUUCAUUCUCCUAUUUCUGGAUCGAUCUAGGUGCAGGGGUGGAUUGAUCCAACUAAUUAUUUUUUGAUCAAAUCUUAGCCAUUAGAUUAAGGGCUUCUUUUUACACUUUAAAAAGCAAUCUUCUCUCAUUUUUUGGACAGGGACUGCAGAAAACGUGGAGAGAGCAUCCACUCCAUGUGUUCUUCAUUUUCUCAUAUUGUUUUCCUAAUUUGGGGUUUUUGAUUGCAAAGAAAAUCCACUUCUCUUAAUGUUUUCCAAACUAGUUUUUAAUGGAUUUUCUUGAGCAAUAAAUGAGUUGAUUCAUUCCUUCAUUCAUAUCUCAAUCUCAUUCUAUUUGGGUUUGUGCAAAAACCCAUUUUCUUCUUGUGUGGAUUCAAGAAGAGGCCGAGAUUGAGCUUGGUGUGGACUCCAAGUGUGCUCCGAAAGAAGAAGGUGAGAAGCUGAAAGUGAAGGUAUUAGUCAUGUAGUCCGGGAAGGAUUGGUUGGCUUGAGUUAGGUAAAACCUUGUACUCAGUUUUUAUUCUUCAUAAUGGAGUUUUUCAAUCAGUGAAAGGCCCGUGGUUUUUGAUCUCUUCGGAGGUUUUCCACAUUAAAAAUCCGGUGUUCAUUGUCUCUUUCUCUCACUCUACACUUUGAUUUAUUUUCUGUUUUUGCUAUCAUUGAUUACUUGGACAUACAUGUUGAAUGGAAGAAAUAUGAGGUGAUAUAAGUGUGAUGAUCCAUGGAAUAUCUUUAAUAAUUUUUCUGUUCAUUUUGUUUAAUGAUAUCAUGGAGUCAAUUGAUAUGAGUUGAGGAGUGUUGAAGCAUUUGCAUGUGUUUUGCAUUUAUAAAUUGUCGGGAGAGUGUUGAUGCAUACAUUCUUGCUUGUGGAUGUUAUGCUUUGUUGAAAAGUUGUUGGAAGAGAAGUUUCUUGACAUUGAGAUAGUCUAAGGUUAGGUAAUCUUUGUUGGGAGAAUUUUUAAAUUGUUUUACAACACUUAUUCACCUCCCCUCUAGGUGUAGUCCAUUAUUGAGAUUCACCUUUUCAGAUUGAAUGUUUUCUUUUCCCUUUUCCUUGUAGUGAGUACACUUUAGUUGCUCUUACAUAUCUGAUGCAUUGUGCUUCAUGCCCUAACUGAUGCAGAACAGAAAAGUACCAGAAAAAAUGAUGGGAGUCUAGGAAUUACUUCCAAAAACCUUAGGCUUCGCACAUAGGUUUAGUUUGCAUCACACAAAAAAGAAAACAUUGAAAGCUGGAAGGUUUUGUGUUUUCAUUCAUUGAUCCUUUUAGAAGAUAGAGUGAUCAACUUUGUAAACUACAACCCUAAGACCCCUAAGACUCUUAAGACCCCUAACACUCUUUGGAACCAAUCACAGUAAUAAUAAAGCUGAGAAAUCAGAAACUUGAACUGAUAAAUAAAAAUUAAAGGGCACUUGCAAAUAUAAAGCAUUAAUGACUUUGGAAAUAAGAACACUCCAAUACCCCCCACGCCCUUCGGAAAACUCAACCUUGACAAGUUAAAGGCAUGAAAUUUCUCAUAAAGAUCACAAUUCAACUGCUGAAAUUCAUUGCUUGUGAUCCACAUACAAUCUCAAAGUGGCCUUUCUCUCUAUUCCACAAGAUACUUUUGAUAACCUCCUCUACUGGUUGAAACAAUUUAGUGACCAACAACUUUUCAAUCUUCUCUUUCAAUCAAGGGGCUGGUAGAAGAUGACCAUUUGGAUCAUUAAUUGAUGUAGCAGCUUUAGGAUUAGGAUAAAGGGUGUGGUCUUCAAUAUUAGAGAUCUUAUUAAUGCCCAUAUUUUCUGGCAAGUCAAGUACAUAAGCGUUGGGACUUGUUUUCAUGAGAAUUUUAUAGGGACCAACAUUCUUUGAGUGGAGUUUCUUAUAGGCACCUCUAGGAUAUUGUUCAGGCCUUAUUCACACAAUAACCAUAUCACCUUCAAUAAGUUCAGCAAAUUUUCUUUUCACAUCAUCGUAUGACUUAUUUAUUUAUUUGAUAGGCAAGUGGGAAAAACAUGUAAUCAUACAACUUAUAAUUUCAUUGAUGAAAACAAUUUUCAUUGAACAUGAUAAUGUGUGUCAUCUAUAUGCUCACUAAAAGCAUCACUUCAAUGCUAGGUCAUGCAUCCAUUGGUAAAGGAACCAAAUCCAUAGGCUUUCUAGGAAGCAAUUCAGUCACAAUCUCAAAUGGACUGUGACUAAACCUGUUCAGGGAGCUAUUAUUUGCAAAUUCAGCCAUUAAUCUGAUCUCCAGCUAGGCAGUGAAGUAAAGAUCCAAGCUUCAAUUAACAACUUCUAUUUGGCCAUCUGUUUGAGGGUGAAAAGCAAAAGAAAACUUUAGUUUGGCAUUCAGUAUUUUCCAUAAAGUUCACCAGAAGUAACUCAUGGACCUACCAUCCAGUUUAGGAAAAUCAUGAAGGUGAACAAUUUCCUUGAAGAAGAGUUCUUUUUUUUGUUUUUUUGAUAGGUAUUCCUUGAAGAAGAGUUUAACAAUCAGGCAACAUCUUUAGUCCUUAAGCAUGGGAUAAAUUGUACCAUCUUGGAUUAAUGAUUUACCACUACAAUUAUGCAAUCAUGUCUCUGAUAGUUUUCGGCAAAUCAGGGACAAAAUCCAUGCAUAGGUCUAGCCAUGGCUCAUGUGGCACAGAAGUGGCAUGUAUAGACCUGUAUUCUUCCUUUUUCUCUUUGAUAAUUUGCAGGUUCGAUGUCUGGAGACAUUCUUAGCCACAUCUUUUUUCAGACUUGGUCAAUAAAAAUGAUUUUCCACCAUUGUAAUGGUUUUAUCUCUUCCAAAAUGACCAGUUGUUUCUCCAGCAUGAAGUUCCAAUAUUACUUGCUUAUGAAAUGAUGUUUUGGGUAAGCAAAGCCGAGUCCCUUUGAAGCAAUAUCAAUCAUGUAAAAAAUCACCAUAUUCUCCCGAAUUUCUAGGCACUACAGCAACACAUAUAGUGCUAAAAUCUUUGCUAGAAGGAUAAGGUCUCUUGAACAAGUCAAAUCCAACAACUUGUACGUCAAUAGAAGAAAGAGUGUAUGCCAAUUUGCUAAGAGCCGCUGCAAAGAAUUCUUUGUCAUAGGUACAAUAUUUCUGCUUUGCUUCAUUAAGCUUUUUGCUGAGAAAUGCAGUAGGGACACCUCUAACUCUUAUGUUUGAUGCAUUGCAUGCCGCUUCUAACACCUCCCGGAAAAUUUGGAAGCUGCAAAACCAGUGCUUCAAUUAACGUUUUCUCAAUUUCUUUGAAAGCCUGCGAUGUUGCCUUGGUCCAAUUCAACUGAUUUUUCUUCAUACAAUAAGUUAUAGGGGCUGUAACAUUGCUGAAACUUAUGAUGAAAUGUCCAUGGAACAUUUCUAGCCCAUGUUAACUUUGUACUUGUUGUGAUGUGUUGGGAAUUAGGAUGGCUUUUACUUCAUUCAUACUUCCAAUCCUUUUGGCAAAACAAUAAGCCUAAGAAUACUACUGCUGAGAUCAUGAAAGAGCAUUUCUUCAAAUUUAUGUAGAGCUUUUCUUGGUGAACAACUGUCAUAACUUGCCAUAGAUGGGGAGAUGUGAUCUCCUUUGGUCUUGCUGUAAUUAAGAUGUCAUCAAAGUAAACAACCAGGAAUUUUUCAAUAAAUGGCUGAAGUACUUGAUUUAUGAAGCACAUGGAUGUGCUAGGGGCAUUUGAAAGGCCAAAAGGCAUAACUAGCCACUCAUAGAGGCCAUCUUUUGUUUUAAAGUCCGUCUUCCAUUCAUUUUCUAGUCUACUGCUUAUUUGAUGAUAUCCGCUCUUUAAAUCCAUCUUUGAAAAUAUGCAAGAGCCAGCCAUCAUGUCAUAUCUAACAUAUGAUUGAAUCAAGGGAUAGGAAACUGAUACUUGAUGGCUAUCUUGUUAGUAGUGUGACUGCCAACUACUAUCUUUUUUUGGUGUUAGCAAGGCAGGGACAGCACGAGGGUUUAAACUUUCAUGAAUGGUUCCCUUGGUCAGCAGUUACUCCACUUGUCCUUUUAGUGUGUCAUGCUCACUUGGAUUCAUAUAAUAGGCUGGAAGAUUAGGCAAUUGAGGCCUUGCCAUAAAAUCUAUAAGCAUGCUGAAUGUUGCGCAGAGAGGAAAGUUUUUGAGCAACAUCUAUGGUAGGUCUUUUUGAGCAACAUCUAUUGUAGGCCUUUUCGAGCAACAUCUAUAGUCAUCAGGAUCAUGGGCUCUAUAAUCAAAUGAAUUUCGGUUUCUUCAUCUUUUUGUUGUUCUUGUUCUUCUUCAUGCUCCAUUCUGAUGUACAAAUUCUUGUUUGGACAAUUUAGGUUAUUUGGCCGGGUUGUUGACACUUAAAACACCUAUUAACCUUACUCUUAGGAUUAAUGGCAUUAGAAGAAUACAACUUAGACCCUGUAGGUUGGAUAAAUGGCUCGAAUUGGUCUAUUCUUGCACUGCAACCUAUAUCAGUGAACCUUCUCUGCACUGGUUCUAUGGAUGAAACUCACAUCCCAAGUACUCCAUAUCUAAUGCAAAUUGAAAAGCAUGUUCUAGGCUGUAAUGGCUGAUGCAUCAACUCUCUUCUCAUUUUAGGUCUCAAUCCAGCUUUGAAUCAUGCAAGAGUUUGCCCUUGGGUCUUCUACUAUUUGACUCCAAGUCUUUAGGUCAUGAAAUCUUUGCAUGUACUUUGGUCUCUGCAACUGAUAUGUUGUUCUGAUUCAUGGUAAUGAGGUGAUUACAUAACUUAUUACAAUAAUUGGUCCUGCAUGUAUUUUUCACAUAGCUUAUCCUUCAUCACCUGCCAUGUGCUGACAGGUGGUAGCCUCAUCUUCCCAUCUUCCUAGUAUCUCUUUCAACACCUGUCCACUAAUCUUUUGCUAAGCCUACUAGUUUCAUUUUAGUAAACCACCCUCUCUGUUCAUCAUUCAUACAUACCAAUCAAAACAGUCCUCAAUUGUAGCUAGCCAAUCAACAAAUUGAGUAGCAUCACCCUUCCUUCAAAUUAGGAACUUCUCCUUUUACUUUCCUUGUGAUAUCUUCAGCAGUUUCACAAGGUUUACACCUUGUUUCAGGUAGUCCUCUAGCCCAUUCAGAUAUAGGAUAUUGUGGUGCAUGUCCGAUGUUCCUCCAAGUUUUUGUUGUUAUUAAUUUGAGAUAAUUCUCCUUGUACAACACAUUCUAAAUCAUUAGUGGGCUGAGAUAUUUGUGUCUCAAUGUUGCUUAGUCGAAUAUGCAGGCUAUCAAGCUGUUCCAUCACCAAAAUAGUAUCUCAUCAAGUUGACUAUUAGAUAAAUCUAUUUUGAAACUCCUCCUAGGUCUUGUAAUCAUGAUCUCUGCUUGCUCUGAUGCCAAAAUUGAUGCCGAACAGAAAGGUAACAGAAAACAUGUUGGGACUCUAGGAAUCACUUCCAAAUCUUAGGCUUCACACUUAAGUUCAGUUUGCAUCACACAAACAAGUUGAACUAUCACAGUACGAUUGGUUCAUAAUAAGGUGUCAUCUGAUUGGUUCUUGUGGAGGGAACCUGUGAUCGUUCAAACUGGAGGCUGCACCUGAUUGAUUACAUUGAAAGUUGGAAGGUUUUGUAUGAGAUAAAUGAACCAACUUUAUACACUAACUCUAGACCUUAGACUCUUUGGGAGCUAAUGGCAAUACUAAUGAAGUUGGAAAAUCAACAAUGUGAACUGAUAAAAAAAAAUUUUGAAAGACUCUUGAAAAUGUAAAGCAUUAAUGAUUUUGGAAAUAAGAACACUUGUAAUCCUUUGACUAGACUCAUAAACAAAACUUAGACUGAAAUCCACAUUGAAGUAUAUAAAAUCCCAACUGGGCCUAUUAUCAUCCAAAGUAUGCCAAAUCAUAAUUUGGGCCUUAAGAGUCCAAUCUCUAUGCAUUUGUUAACCUUUCACAGGUGAUUGCCACUAGUCUUGAUCACUAAUAAACACGAUUAUAGCAUCAGAGAAGAGCCAUGUCCCCAAUUCUGGCAGUAAAAAGUUCUUUUUACAAGCUAACCUCAGGGAUCCAAUUACUACAUUAUUGUGUUAACCAUGAGCAUUGGUGCUCCUGUUCUGCUUGCAUGGUUACACUGAACCUGCUAUCCAAAUGUGUUGGUUGACCAAAUGAGAAACUCUAGGAAAAUGAAUGAAGUCAUAGUGACAUAGCUACAUUGAAUGCAACUUGUGUGUUUGUGUGAACAGGAUUGGGCGAGUUAAAGAGUUUUUAGAAGGGAGAAUACCUUUUUAAUUGGUCUUAGUGUUCAGUAUGCAGCUGGUUCAGUGAUCAUGAGGCCAGUUUAUAGUACAAUUUUCUUGAGAUUUUUAUUGAAGUGAUCCCUUGAAAAGUCAGGCUACUUUUUCAAGAAGUAAAUGUUUUAUCUUGUAGGUUGUAAAAGAUGCAUUCUCAGAAUAGGUGCCUUGAUUAUGUUUCUUCAGCAGAAGAACCUACAAUUAGGGUCCUGUGUAUAUCCUUUCUUGGAAUUUUCAUAAAUUUACCAGUAUUAACUUUCUAUUUUAGGACUAACUGUUCAGCAAAUCUAUGGAAAAGACUAAAGAGUGAGUACUAAGUGGUUCCUCCAAGGGCUGCUAAAAAGCACUUCCCAGGGUCAUGAGCCAAAACUGGGCCACUUGGAAAGAGGUUGUAACAAGUCACUUGACUAGGGGUUGUCAGAGGCCAUCAUUAGUCAAGAUUGGUUUUAGAUUCAACUUUAGGAAUUUAUUAAUUUUUCCUGAUUUCUCUUUUAUUUUUAGUUACAUAAUCAUAUUUGACUCUUGUUUUCCACUCUAAAUUCACAAUACCUUAUGAUAGAAAUUUUUAACUUCAGAACAUGAGUUGGGAUGUAUCAGAGAAGAAAGUUUCAAAUCCCUGGACUAGCAUUUCUGUAAUGCCUCAGUGAAAUUUUAUUGUAUGAUUAUCUACUUGAAGUAGCAAACCAUUAUCCUUUUAUUGCCAUUGAAUUGUGAAACCAUUAUGCCAUUACAUUGACAUCUCCAAAUGAAUGGUUUUAAUUUGAAUAGUUUUGUAUUAACUUAUUAUUUGACAAUUAUUGCCAUAGUUUUUUGGCGGAACUGCUAUGAUCUCACUAAGCAACAUCCAUUGAUAAUUUAUCAGGAGAAAUGGUUGGAAGUUUUAGGUUGUGGGGUGACAGAGCAAGAAAUAUUAAAGAAAAGUGGGAAAACAGGUAAUGUUGCUUGGGCUUUUGGGCUUGGAUUGGAAUGGCUAGCAAUGGUUCUGUUUGGGAUACCUGAUAUUCGGCUUUUCUGGUCAACUGGAGCGGUUCACCUCUCAAGUAAUUCCCUAAUUCAGUAAAUGAUACUGUAUUUUAUUUUAUUCUCCUUUUCUAUGUCUUUGUGGUUAAGCAAUCAUUUCCAAAAUUGAUAUCCUUAGGAAAAUAAAGCAUGCUGAAAAUUGACCUUGUUGACAUUCUUAAUGUCUGAUUUAGGUUCCCUGAAUGUUUAAUUUAAACACUUUGUAUGCAGUUCUCAAAGGGCCAGCUUGGGGUCAAGUUCAAGCCAUUUUCAAAGGUAUUGCUUAUAUUUUUCUCAGUUUGAUAAUAGUAGUAUCUUCUUCUGAUGUUGUGUUAAUUGAAACUGUUGCAUAAUUUUCAUGCAAAAGGAUCCAAGACAUUUUGGGGACCUGCAUUUUUAAGUAUAAUCAGAAAAAGUCCUUUAUGCAAAUUUGUCUUUUACAUUCUGAAAUCAAAAAGAUUAAUUACACACAACAUAAUAACUAAAUAUUUAUACCUGUUAGAGCCCCUUGUAACCUUCUCUAUUGGCUGCUAGAAACUGACUAUCGUCUUUUUGCAGUAUCCUCCUCGUUACAAGGACAUGAGUUUUUGGAUUAAUGAGUCGUUCACAGAAAACAAUUUAUGUGAGGUUAUAAGAGGAGUUGCUGGAGAUCUUGUAGAGGAGGUAUGCCUUUUUAUGUUUCUUCUUGUAAAUUGUUCAUUAGCUAUACAUCUCUUCAUGGUUCACUUGGUAGAAUUUUCCUAACCAUUUGUAUAGUUACACUGAAAGCACCAUACCAAUUUGUGUUUUAAUUAGGGGUGUUCAGGGUUUGGUUUGUUUAGUUUCAAACUUUAAAAUAAAAUCAAACCAGUCUAAUUGGUUUUAUGUAUUAGGAACCCAAACUGGCCUAAUCGGUUUUAUGUAUUAGGAACCAGACUAAUUGAACUAAAAGAGGGAACUGAUCGGUUGAGUUCAGUUUAAUAACAAUAAUUGAUAUAAGUUAAAAAUUGAUUGGUUCAACCCAGUUUGGUUCAGUUCUAUCAUUUUUGUCCAUUUAAUUGGUUUUUUACACACCCCUAGUUUUAUUUCACUUUUCAGUUCUUGGACUUUCUAUGAAAAUUAUAUUGUUGUCAUGAAGCUACUGAGGCAGUUGUGGACCAAUUCCAUCCUCUGAAGCUGUUCAUAGAAGAGAUCCUCUCUCUUCUUUUCUAUCUACCAUCAGUUGCAAUAAUAGAUCCAGUUUGCACAAAGUCAAGCUUAGAAAAUCUGGUCAUUGACAACCUGAAUAGUCUCUGGGAGCAUCCGGUAUCUUUUCUCCUUUGUGAGGGUGGAUAUGCUAACAUGUUCUGGGUCCCCUGCAUAAUUUUUCAUAGGUUGCAGAGCUGCUGUGUCCGAAUAGGAAAUAACAUGUUCUUCCUUCAUAGCUUUAAGUGCCAUCAGGAAUUGGAUAUGCUAAUAUGAGUGGGAGGACUCCAGAUGGGGGACUUAUGAGGACUCCAGAUGGUAGAAGCUACUUCUAAUAGGAGAUUGGAGAGGCCUAAAGCUUUUGCUUGCAAAAAACUCUCUAAAAAGGUUAGGAUCUUUGCCUCAAUGGCUAAACUCUGACUUGCAUAUAUAGAGAAUUCUCUUAUUAUUAUACCAAAGUGGUCAUCGAGUAACUCUGUAAUCCCCAACUCCCCUAGUUAUCCAAAGAACCCCAUUAACAAUUAGCAUAUAACUUAUGCAGCACAUGCUACACUGAUGGAGCCUUUAGGAACUAUUUUCAUGUUUUUUAGGCUAAUUCAUCCUCAAUAUUAUGUCAAUGCCAAUUUUUAGCUUGAGUUUGAAUUGCCUAUAUUAUGGAAAGGACAUAAGAUAGGAAGAAACAUGAAAUUCUCUUGUUUGAUUUACUAUGAAAAAUAUGACGAAAAAUAAAAUAUAGUAGAAAUUACUUAAAACCAUUAUACGUUCUUUUUCUAUGAUAGAAAAAUAAAUUUGAAGAAGCGAGUAACUUUAUUGGGUUUGAACUUGUUUCUUGUAUUGCCCUUCACAUUUUAUUUCUCUCUUUUUCCUCCCAAUUUUCUUUUUCACAUACUUUCCUUAAUCUAAUUCAAGCCUUGAGGAGUCUAGUACAGCUCAUAGCAAAUACCUAAAUACUAAUGCCCCCAUAUCCCAAAUGCAAUUAGCAAGACUAAUGGGUUAAACCAAUUCUAGAACCUGCACUAAAACAUUUGAAUAAAGCUUUAUUUGAGAAAGCUUCCUCAACACUUAAAAGGAGAGUUUGAAGGUCAUAGUUCUAGACUGUUUGAAAUAGAAAUCUCAAAAGUAGACCCUACAUUUCCUAAAGAGACCCCCAUUUUUCCUAAAAUAUGAUAUGGAAAGCAGAUUCUUAUUUACUUCAAUUUUUGGAAUUGUUAAUAUGAAGUAUUUUAUGAAUAAAUGAAAACAAUUUUAAAAAGCAGAUGUUAAACUUAAAACAAAUCACACAACACCAGUAGCUUGUGGAAGAAUCAGACAUUCCCAACCUUCCUUACAUUCAAGCCAUUGUUAGGGAAACACUAGGGCUUCACCCCGGCUUUACUGUACUCAGUAGACAAUCCUCCCAAGACUGCACUGUUGCGGGUUAUCACAUUCCUGCAAACACAGAGCUCUUAGUUAAUGUGUGGGCUAGGACCCAAACUAUUGGGAGAACCCACUCGAGUUCUCCCCCAGCAGGUUUCUUAAUGAGGACGGAAGUAUAAAGAAGGGGUUGGAUGUAAAGGGACAGCAGUUUCUUCUGCUGCCGUUUGGGAGUGGAAGAAGGAUUUGCCCCGGAGCUUCUCUAACACUGCAAAUUGUCCCCUCAACCAUUGCUGCUGUAAUCCAGUGCUUUGAUUGGAAGGUCGGUGAUGGAGGAAAUGGUAGCAUUAAUAUGGAAGAGGGACAUGGUUCGUCCCGGGCACAUCCCUUGGUUUGUGUUCCAGUGGCCAGGUUCAAUCCGUUUCUGACACGUGCAGGUUGAAGAAAGCCUAAGAUGAUUGAGUACUAUCUGGGAUUUGACACUGUUUGAAUAAUGUGCUGAUGCGGCAGUGCUCCUUCAGCAUAUAUGUAAAGAUGUGAAUGUGCGUGCGUGUGUGUGAAAGUUGAAUCAUAUACUUGGUCGUUUCUAAGGAUGAAAAAAUAUAUAUAAAAAAUCAAAAGUAAAUGUUUCCCCACCGUGUAUAGAAACUGAUACAGUUGAAUGACACUUCUACACAAAAAUAUAUAUUUGUGUAGAAUAUUUUAAUAAAUAAACUAAUUUUAAUCAUUUUAUUUUUAAAUUUCAUUUAAUUGAUUAUAAAAAAAUAUAAAAAAUCAUGACAAUUUUCUUAAGAAGUUUUUCUUUAUAUUAUUUCUAUAUUAAUUUAAAAAAAUCAUAUAUCAUAAUUUAUUUUAUAUCAUGGAAAAUAUUUGAAUUAGAUGGAUAAUUAUUUUAUUUUCAAGUUCGACGUAUUAUUAUCAAUUAUCACAAAUUUUAUUAUAGUGUCAUUUCUUUAAAAAAUUUCAUACAUUUUUAUAAGUUUUUAUUAAUUUUUAUUUUAUUGAUAUUUUUUUAUCAAAUUUUUUAUUAAUAUUUUUUUAUAUCGAUAUAUUCGUAAAAAUCGAUAUUUCCAUCAUUUAUUAAAUAAACAUUCUAUUUUUUUAAUAGUGCAACUAGCACAUCAAAAUUUAGAUAUAAUUAUUCUCCAUUAAAAAAAUAUGCAAAUUCGACACCAAUUGCAAAUACAAAUUGAAAUAAAAUAUAAAAAAUUUGCUAUACUUUUCAAUAAUUGAUGAGAAGUAAGAAAUGACCAUUUCAAUGCAAAACUUGAUACCUAAUAAAAUCUCUAAGAAUAGUAAUUUGGCCAAGCAUGGGCAGGAGAAGUGGCGUAGUUGGUUUGUAAGGAACAUCCAUAAGAACCGAGGAGCUGCAAUAUCAAAAUCAAACAAGAACAUAUAUAGCAGCAAAUAACCAUCAAAUGUAAUUAGACCAUUUACAUAUAUACAAUAACAAAAUGUUAUAAAUUAAAUAACCAGUGAAAAUCAUAAACCAAAAAAGUUAUAAUUUAAUUAAAAAAUAUAACAAAAAAGAGGAAGCAUAAAAGGAACUUGCCUUAUCAGAAGAGCAGACAUGUCGGGUUGUACCUAGUUAAUGAAAGGAAGGGUUGGUAACAACAACCUAAUAACAACAUUGAUUCAUCAGUCAUAAAAAUGAAUUUAGAAAGACAAAAAAAAGUGUAUAGUUCAAUACAAAAUAAAGUAAAAAGAAACUCCACCUAUUGGGAUUCAUGGAUGAGGUUGAGAAAGUCCCGAGACAAAAGUGACAAAAUCACCAAUAUGGUAGCAUAAUGCAGAAAAGUUUUCUUGAAUUUGGGUAUCUACGCACAAAUUUCAUAAAUUUUGGUCAUGCAAAAUUAGUAAAACAAAUAGAAAAAUAAUGUGAAUAAAAUAUUUAUUAAAAUUGAAAAUAUUGUGGGUACAAUUUCAAAAAAUAAUAUUCUUUCUAAAAUAAUAUUUUCCCCCUGAUUCUCUUACCUUGAUCACACUUUGGAAGACAACAAUGACAUUUUCUUGAUUUCGAAGAUCAGUCGAGGGCAACAAGUGACUUAUUCCCGAAUGAACUCGUUGAAUGGUGAAGAACACAUGUAGCAAUUCUUUUGCUGUUUACCGAACUUGUAGGGAGAUUUGAUGAAGUUUUUUCUUUUAUUGUGAAACCUCUUUUCCUGUACGAAGUCACCUUUGAAUUUUAUCCUUAAGAUUUUUCUUUAUAGAUUUUUCUGAUUUCUGAAUUUCUCCCCCUUCUUGAUAGAAAGACACCUCUAUUUAUAGGUGAAGAUAGAAAAUUUAAAUUUCAAAUUCCCAAAUUUUAGUUGUUUAAUUCAAGGGAUUUAGUUCCUUGAUUUUAGCAAAUUUUCUUCUCCUGAUAGGUUUUACGAACAAGAUUAUUGUUAUUAUUAUUAUUAUCCUUUUUAUUGUUGGAGAUUAGGGAAACUUAUCCACAAGAGGAAUGUUUUUUUUUUAAGACCAAAUUAGUGGUAAUUUAAUCCACUAAUUUUUUAUGUCUACAAAAUGCCCUCACUUCAAGACACAUCAUGUACAUGCAUUGUCAUGUGGAUGGGAUGAGUCUUGAAGUAAUUUUUUUUUUCAAAGAAAUAUUUUAAUAGGAAGUUUCCUAUUUUUUCCAAAAAAAUAUUUAUUUUCCACUUUUUUAGAAACUCCACUUCGUUUUCCUACUUGCUUUACACUUUGAAUCCUCUUCCAAUUCGUUUUCCUUCUUACUUUAUACUUUCAAUUCUCUUCCAAUUUGUCAUCCCUAUAUACAUUUUGUUUUUAUAUAAAGGGGAUAAUAGUUGAGAAACUUGACUUGAAUUUUUUUAGAGAGCUCUUUUAAUCUUUGGGUGUUCUUCAACCCAACUUAAGAAACUCGACUUGAAUUCACCGCGAGAAAUCUUCACCACUUCAAACUUGUAAGUGUUUUUUUUUUUUUUUUUUUUUUUUUUUUUUUUUUUUUAUGGAAAAAAAAGUUAAACUUUACCAUGGAGAAAUGUGGGUGUAGCAUAUGGCUUGUGGGUCUUUGAUACCCACUUUCUAGUUUUAUAUAUAUAUAUAUAGUUGACACGCGAACCCACUUUCCAAUUUCCAUGUACAUAUAUAUACAUGUUGACAAGUGUUCUCCUUAUUUAUUGAUUUUUUUUUUAAGGAAGAAAAAGACUUACCUUUUUUGAACACGUGUCGACCUUCAUUAUUCGCAAAGACGAAUUUGAUUUUAGAUAAUUUAAUUAAUUAAUUUUUUAAUUACCUUAAUAUUUGGGGGGAAUUUUUUUUAAUAAAAUCAAAUAUCCAUAAAAAAUAUGAAUAUUUAAAAUUUGACUCUCGUGCAAUUAAGUCGUAGCCUUGACGCAAAGCGGUGUCGUAUUUUCGACACUUAUGUGCUACAGUCUUCACCCAUGUAAAUUGGCUUGACUUGAAUGCAUAGUGGUGUUCAAGUAUCUAUGCAAACAAGUUAUAGCCCUAAUGCUACGCGGUGUUGUAUUUUCGGCACUUAUGUGCUAAAGUCUUCACCUAUGCAAAUUGGCUUGACUUGAAUGCAUAGUGUUGUUUUCAAGUUUUAACAUUUAAUUAAAACUAGAAUAAUACUUGGUAUCUAUGCAAACAAGUUAUAGCCCUGAUGUUAUGCGGUGUUGUACUUUCAACCCUCAAUAUGACUUAAGUGCUAAAGUCUUCACUCAUGCGAAUUGGCUUGACUUAAAUGCAUAGUGGUAUAUAAAUCUUAUACCCAUAUUUUAUUCAUCUCUCUUUCUACCUUCCUUUUUUUUGUGUAGGAUGUCGUUCUUCAAAUGUUUCAAAGAGAAGAUCGUAACCAUUCUUGAGGAUGAUAGUGAAGAUUUUGAGGGGUCUACUUUGUCAGUGCAUAAGUCACUUACUGACCUUCAAUAUUUGUCAGUGCCAGUGACAAAGGACCCAUUACACGUUUCUUCCUGGUCCCAAGUUGCAUCUGGCAAGCUCACAAAUAUCAAUAAUUCAAAACUUAAUAAAGUGAAACUUGUUUCUAAUGUUCUCUUGCUAAAUUCCUCUCAGCCAACUACUACUGAAGUUCAUGAUGAAUUUAGAUUGUUAGGUUCUCGUGUUCGUGAUGGAGAAGCCAAAUAGGGAAGCUCAUUCAAAGUACUUGGGGAAUCCUUCUUUACCGAAGGAUAUUGGGAAUGGGUUGAGGAGGUAUGGGGUCAGCAUGAACCAAUUAUUAAAGGAUGUAAGCUUUAGAAGUUAUUUUUGUAUCCUUAUUCAACUAUGAUUGUCAUGCCUCUGUGAUUAGGGCCUUUUGCGAACGUUGGUGUCUUACCACCAACACCUUGCAUACUUCCAUUGGAGAGGUUUCCAUCUCUUUUUGGGACUUGUAUCGUAUUGUUGGAAUACCCAUCAUUGGAUCUUUUUAUGAUGAGAUGGUACCAAGCACAAAAAAUUUAUCUAAAGAUGCAACAAAAUCCUCACUCCCACUAAGUUGUCGAAACUUAUUCCUUGCAUAUCAUUGAAUUUUCUCUGAGAUGAAAAGGAGGUCUUCAAUCAAGUUAGCCUCUUGGGUGUCAUUUUGGUACAAAGGCUCCAUGAAGUAUGCAAAACCUCCAAAGAAAAGUACAAGGAAUAAGGCGUAGAGGCCUAAAGAGACUCAUAACCCCUUUGGGGAAAUUGAUCUUGUUAAAUCUCGUACUUAAUCGAAGAUGGAAGUUUUUGACAACCUUGGCGUAGCCGAGGCAGAUGUUAAAGAGACUUACUUGGCCACUUUCUUGGCAUGUUAGUUAUGCAAGUUCGUUAUUCCUUAAAGGGGUGUCAAUUUGAUUCGUCCUGAAAUCUUCAAGGUAGCUAGUAGAAUGGCUCAAGGUGAAACAUUUAGCCUUGUUAUUCCGUUGUUAGCAAGCAUUUACAAUGGCUUAAAUGAAAUCGCUUGUUCUUCGAAGCUUGGGACUAAUUCAUCUAUUUUCCCUAUUCAUUAUUUAUACGGAUGGUUAGGUGAAUAUUUCGAUACCCAUUUCAUUUCUCCUUCUUAGAACCAUCCCCCACAGAUGACUUAUUAUGCUGACGAGUUUUCUGCUAAGUGUUUUAAUGAUUUGUAAACUCAGGCUUUGAUCAUGUCUUGCAAAGGCAUAAAGCUGGACUACUUGACGUUGCGCCACAAAGAGCGUGUGCAUUGGAUUGAUAAUGAAUCUAUUAGUGUUAUCAAAGCUUCUUAUCUAAUAAGUCUUUGCUCUAGCUAUUUAUCUUUGCGAUAAGAUAACCAUCGGGUGAUCCAAUCGUAUUAUUCUCAUCGGUUUUCUAGGCAAUUUGAGUAUCCUUAAGACCUUUCGAGGGGUCUACCAGAGAUUUUUCGCAUUGGAAUUUUAGAGGCGGUGUAUCAACAUUGGGAGUCAUGCAUUAGACUUGGUACCUACUCCAAAGUUAUUAUACUAGACUAUCAUAGUCUUGAAGAGUUUUCAAUCACCAAGGCUUAUGCGGAUUAGUGGAUCAGAGUUCGUAAUCCUGAUGAGGAAAUUCUUAUUGUUGCUUGUAUGGAGCCCCCUCUUGAUUAUCCUCGAAAAAUACUGAUGCGACUCAUGGUAGCUUAGCUUUAAAGGCGUAUCAACAAAAUUUAUACCUUGAACACUAUUACUAAAGUAGCCAAGCUACUAUAGCAUAGUGGUUCUAGGAUCGUUCACUGGGAAGGGUUUUCGCAAACACAAGUGAUAUUCAAAUUAGGAAAAUAGGUGAUUUUCUUAUGGAUGUUAGCUUUAAAAGAAGAUAUAAAUGUUUUAGAAAGAUUUAAACUAAUCUAAGCUAACAUUAAAGACUAAAAUGAAAGGGUGUAAAAACAAGUUUCUCAAAGAUAGGAUAGCUAUACUCUGGCUCUUAUGCAAAUUGGAAAUCUCAGGAUAGGCUCCUCGAGUUGGGGUUGCAACUAUGGUGAUGCUUGCUUCUCGAACCGGUAUGGAUUUAGCAAAUCAAGUUUUAAUCCUUUAAAAUGGCAAAACAGAUGGUAGUGAAUUUCAUCAAUGGUUAUUCACCUUAAACUUCCUUUGAAUGGCUCGUAAGAGAUAACUAAUGGUCUAAAGUCAAAAGCUUACCAAAUAUUGGCAACUCAAAGUCAUUCCAAGUGAUAAACUCACAUUUCAAUGGCCAUUGAAAUUGGUUCUAACGGAUUAAUGCAAAACUUGGAAUUGAAAACCUCACCUUCCAAUAGCUCGUAGGAGAUAACUAAUGGAUAGAAAUCCAAAAGCUUAUCAAGUAUUGGCCGUUGGAAGUUGUCCAAAGGAAAUAAAAACCAAACUUUGCAUUAAUGAACCUUUAAUGAAAAACGACUACCUUACCUUCCGGGUGCGAGAAAUUUCCAUGGGAUUGCAUCCAAGCCAUCACAUAACAUCCAUACUUUGAGAAACUAAAAGUUUUAGCCAAUCAUCCUCUGAGGAAAAGCCCUCAGAGGCUGUUUGGCUUCCAAGAAAAUAAAAUAGUAAAGAGAAAAAGAGAAACGAGAGAGCUCUGUAUCUAUUCUCUAAGUGUCAAACGUAAUAUGUAUUCUAUAUAUUCCAAGAGGUGAUUUCCACCCCUUAUAUAGUCUUUACAAAAGCAAAAGCUUGUGAUUGGUUAGUUACAAGGAUAAGAAAGGAAAUUACAUCACAAAAUACAAAGGAAAAUAUCUAAAGUGGAGUCGGCAAAAGCAGAGGAAAAUUCGCAACACGCAUGGGUUAUGUGAAUUUUGAAGGUGUUAUGCGAAUUUCGCAUAACACCUUGUGUUAUGCGAAAUUUUCGCAUAACGUGGAGCAGUUGGCUUCCGAAGGCCAUAUCUUCCUCAUUUCAGCUCCAAAUCGUACACGGUUUGAAGCGUUGGAUUCUUGACUUCCAGAGCUUUGAAAUGGUAUAUAGUAUGUAAAAAAUUGACUUCGGGAAGUACUCCAAAAGUGCGAAAGAAGACUGCAGCUGCUGUCCUCUUUGCUUCUCUUCACUUUGCUUGCUUUUCCUCUUUUCCAUUGUUCUUUCCUUGCAUACUUUGAACGACUUUGGCAAAGGGCUAUGGAGCUCCAAAGCUUGGUUCUUCAUAAAUUUGAGCUUCCAAAAGCUUUGCCUUGCCAUAACUUGUCCAAGUAGCUCCUCCAUCAUUUGGCAUGCUUGAAUUGAUUCAUAAGCUGAUAAAAACAUGUAAACUUGCCACAAAAUGGUUAAAACUAAUUACUAAGGACCUUAAUGAAUUAAUUGGGUUAAAUGAAUAUGAUUACUACUCAAAGGUGCUUAAAACCAUUAUAAUUAGGUCUACAAAAUAGCACUUUUUGGUAGUAAUCAAAUACCCUUAAAAUCUUUAAAGAGUAGAACGUGCAAGGUCGACUCAAGUGUUUUCACUAAGGAGAAUGUUAGAGAUAAUGUUGAAAAAUAUUUUGAUGAUUUACCUAAUGAUUCAAGAGCUUCUUCUAAGCACUCAAUGGGUGGACAUCAAACUAAUACCUCCACACACUCAAAACACGAGGAAACUAUUUUCACUGGUGGUAGUACUCACUGUCACAAGACUUUUAAGCAACAUAACAAUGCACAAGGUCUUUAUGUAUCACACGACAACUCUGAAAAUACAAGUGAAUGUCACUUCAAGUGCCGAAAGAUUAUAACCAACCCUAUGUACUAUGAUGAGACUAACUCUCAUCCUCUUGAUGUAGAUGUCUUCUUUGCUGACGUCCCAACUUUUACUCAGCCGAUGAAACUUGAUGGUGAAGAGGUAAAUUUUUUUUUUAAUACUAACAAAAAUAAAUAUUUUCCUUAGGUGGCAGGUGACAACCAAUUUUUCGAUGAAUGGGAUGAGUCCUCUCCUAAGGAUCGGUUCGAAAGUAUUGUUGCUACUAAGGAGUCAAUGCCCUUUACCUUGACCCUACAAUGAGAUAAUCACUCUAUCAUCUCAUUACCUUUGUCUCAUUCUCAUUUGGGUGAUGAAGGUAUUACUAACAUCUUAAGUGAUGUUUUGAUUGAAUCUCAAGGUCAAAAGACCACAAUUGGAGAUAUAACAUAUGAUGAAUUGACACUUUUAGUAGUUGCAGGUUUAAUUGUUGAACAACAAUCUCCAUGCCCUACUGUGGUUGCUCCUUCUAUUUCCAUUCACACAUUCGACGUCGAACAAAUCAUUCUUAAUGCCUAACGCCAAGCAUCACUUAUAAUAGGAGAAGACAUUGAGGAGAUGAUUAUCAAAACUUUCAAUGAGUAUCUCCCAUUAUUGAGAGGAAAAAUUGAUGAGCUUUUCAAUGCUAUCACGAAGAUUGGAGUGGACCCUUCACCAUUAAAGUCUCAAAUUGAGAAGUACAAGGAAAGUGUAGAUCACCUUGAUGCAGUGCAAUGCACCCAUUCUAUGAAGAUCUCAGGAAGUACAAAGCGAACGUUUAGCUAUUGUUGCGUCUUAGAUUAUGGAUGCUCUAAACUUUGAGGGUCUAUAGGCAAACCGUCGUCAAUCAUUAAAAGUUGACUUAGCUACUCUCAAUGCUAAACAAGAAGCACUUAAGAAGGAAUUGGAGCAACUAGGUAUACAAAAAGAGCGCCUUCACAACUUAAUCUUGGAGAUCGAUGAGAUUAUAACCAAUAAACAGAACGAUGUUUCUCGCUUGAGGAAAUAACACAUCAUUAUCGCCCAAACCCCCGUGCUUACUGAUGUCGAUGUCAAGACUUUAGAGACACUUCAAGAAGCCUUAAGGACUCAACGUGAGGAGCUUGCAUACUUGGUGUGGAUGUGAUCGUUUUACCUUUUUACUUAGUUUUAGCUUUCAUUCUUUUCCUUCAUUCAUUUAUUUAUUUUUAUUAAGAUAUAAUAAAGUCUAGCAUUUGUUAGUCAUAUUUAUUUAUUAAUAAAAAUAAGACUUUUUUUUUUUUUUUGGUAGUGACUGAACUUAAGUGGUUUCCCUGAGUUACCUACGUACUCUUCAAAGAGAGAGGAUCAAGUCAAAUGUAGUUCCAUUUUUUUUCAUGCUCUAACUUUUUCCAAGACUAGAAGAAAAAUUUAAUCUUACAAGCAUAUGUCCUAAUUUUUGCCUAAGUUGCCUUUUUAGGUUUUCAACUUAGCGGACUUUUUUUUUUUUUUUUGGUGUGCCAUACGCAAUUUAUGCUCAUGCAAGCUAGGAGCAUCACUUGUCUUGAGUUUGAUUGAAGGAUGAUAAAUUCACAUCCUUGGAACAAAGUUUAAUUGAGGGUCAAAGAUGACUUAUUCUCAACCAAACUUGUGAAGACCUUUCUUAAGCAUUUUGGAGAAUAAAAGAAGUCCUUUGAAUUCGUCUUGAUUUUCUUCAGCCUUAAAAGUGGAUGAAUGACACUUUUGUAUUGUGUUUGAUAUUCUUCCACGAAUUUGUUGAAGAAUGUGUCAAGCUUGGACUUGAUUUUAAUCCAAGGGUGGUAAACACGUGUUCUUGGAGCAAAAUAUAAUUGAGGGUCAAUGAUGACUUGAUCUCAAGUAAACUUAUCAACAAUUUCCUUAAGUGUUUUGAAAAACCCAACCUUGUCUUCUUUAGCUUUGAAGGUGGAUGAAUGACACUUUUGUUUGUGUUUGAUAUUUUUCCACGAGUUUGUUGAAAAAUGUUUGGAGUUUGAUUUUAACUUUUGAAGCUUCAUUUUUGGAUUUAGCUUCUAGGUUGCAUCGCCCUUUUGAGAACGUGUCAUGCUGAAAAAAAAAAACGCUUGUAUGUAGAGAAGCUGGAGAUUUUAGUUUAUAAUAUCUGAAUUUGACUUCUUUAAUACAAAGAGUUUAUUCCUCGGUUUAAGAAGUUUGCCAAGAAUGAUUUUUUUUUUUUUUAAGUUCUUGUAGGAUAAGAGCAAUAUGUAGUUUAUGCUCAUGCUUUAAGGAGCAUCAUUGGAAUGCUGAGGUUUGAAAACAAUUGUGGUAAAAUUUGAUGUCAUGCUCUCUUCAUCAUCACUGGUGAAAGUGAUGGUUGCACAACAUGUUGCAUAAUUGUGGCAUUUGUUCUCAAAUUGUUUUACCCCCUUUAUUAUUGUAGCAUAGAGUGAUGGAUUCCUAUGUAUCUAGAUCAAAGCAAUUUGUGUUUUCUCAGAAAGUUGUAGCAUUUCAUAGAUACCAAAGAAUGAGAGUAAGCAUUGUAGAUUUGCUACUACCUCAUCCUCUUCCUUGGUUUUGCUUGACUCUAUACCAAAAGUGUUUUCUUCAUUUUCACUUGGUUUAUCUUCUUUCGAAUUUUCAUGACAAGGGACCAUAUGGGUUGAUGUCAUUAUCCUCUAUUGAAGAACUCUAGAGGAAAGUAUUCUCCUAAGGUAACGGGGUGAUGAGCUUUUGUACCAAGAGGUCAUCAACUUGUACAAUCGCUUGUUUUCUUUUAGGUUUCUUUUCUUCUUUUUUCUUCGCAUGUCGAUGAAUAUUUUUCUUACGUUGCUCCUUCCUAGGAAGAUUUGGGUAUGGAUGAGAUUCUUGCUUCUUACAAGGUCUUCUUUGUGUCACUAAUGUCCAAUCUCCUUCAUUAUACGAUAUUGAUUCAUUAUCAAAAUAGAAGUGAAGAAGGGUGUCUUAACAUGACACUUGUGUUUGCUUUGGUUUUGGUGACUUGCAUUGGAUAGUACCGGUGCAUGACCCCAGUGUCUUAGGUGGAACAUUUAACGGAACAGGAUCAAAUGACCCAAAUGUGACUGUAGCAUGAUUUGACUCUACUACUUCAUCCAGAUCUAAAUGAAUUCUUUCUUGCUUUGCAAGUUUCAUUAUGAGAUCUUUUGAAAUGAAACAUUUCUCCAUAGGAUGACCGACAAUUCGAUGGUAAUGAUAGUAGUUUGGAUCAUUAACAUGACCCAUUUUUUUUGGACACUUUGUGGACCCGCAUUUUUCACGUGCGCCCCCACUCGAUUCGGCGAGACUCUCUUUUUUAUUUGUGAAAAAUUGAUUUUUGAAAAAAAAGUUGGAGUCGCCACUUAUUUUAUUUUUAUUUUAAAGGGAAAAUAAAACAAGAAAGAAAAACCCUAAAAAAAGUGACUCCAUAAUUUUUGGAAAAGCAUGUCUUUGAAAACCCAAGUCUUGGUCCGGGGAUCAGGUUACUUAUUGGGAAGGUACCUCUAGGAGGCAGCACCCCUCUAAGCCCUCUAAAGGUCUCUACUGACAAAGUUAAGGGAAGUGUGGCCAUUAAUUAGUUAAUUAUGGAUACCUAAGUAGACUAGAUGAUUUCGAAUAUUGCAUGCCUAACAAGAUCAAAUAACAAUGAAGGAAAGUUAAGGAUGCGUACCUAGACGGCUUCCCAAGCGCUAUCAUAAAACAUAAAAGUUAGUGUAGAAAUGUAGCACACAACAUUUGUUUUAUUCAAGCAAGUCAGGCAUAUAUCAAGUCAUCCAAGAAUCACGUCAAAUAUGGAUAUGGUCAUCAAUGGCAUACGAGUCUAUAGAGUUCUAAAAAAUAGAUGAGAAGAGAGCGUACUUGGAUAGCAAGCUAGUACUCCUCUAUGGGAAUCAAGAGCAUCUCAACAAUAAAUAUGAAACAAAUUCAUGUAUAUCAUCAAGAAGAAUAAAAAAUCAAAAUAUCAAGCAAACAAUAUUGAAGAAGGUAUCAUGAAUGUCGGGCCCCCACCAAAGCCCUAAUUAAUUUUGCAUGAAUUGAUUCCAUAAAAUCCAUGAUUUGGAAUUAUGAAGUUUAUUCAUGCUUGUUGAAAAUCAAGAAAAAUCAAGAAAAUAGUUAAAAAUCAAAGAAAACAGUGAAAGUGCAUACCCGAAAUAAAGUGGCAGCAAAUUGCAUGUUAAAAUCUGGAUUUUGUACCUAAAUGCUUCUAAGGAACCUUAGAGAAACCAAAUUCAUUUUUGAUAGAAAAUGGUUUUGAAAUCCGGCUUUAAGACGUAUAAGAUCAUAAAAAGAAGAAGAAACAAUAGGAGGAGUACGAUGUGAGGCAAGGCGGCCAAGCUGGAUUAGUGUCUAGGCUGCUUUUGAGACUGAGUUACUUAGGUUGCCUGAUGGAGUGGAGUUCGGGAUAGAAAGACCCAAUUCGUUGCCAAAGUAUUCAGUGAUCAGAAGCAUUUCCAUUUAUAAGAUAACUUGGUUCAUAAGCUCAGAUGGAUUCUCCCCAACGCUGGUCAAACACUGAACAUAAAGCUCAAAAUUCUUACUUUUCUGUAUUGCUAUUAUUUCCUGCAUUUUGUGCUAUUUUCUCAUCAUCAAGGCUUGAUUCAUCAGCUCCUCUAGAAUACAUACCCUUGUCGUUGCCUUUUUCUACCUUUUCAAUAUUUUCAGCUUGCUGCAUCCUUAUGAAUUCUCCUUAUUUUUGGAAUCUCCAUAUCUGACUUCUCAGGGCCAUUUUCUUGAACAUAUAAGCUCCUUGUUGCUCAUUGUUGUUAAUGCUCUUGUCUUCACUGGUGAAGUUAGCAAGCAAUGAAAUUCUGGGUUUUGCAUCAUUUUCCUUAGUUCAGGGUUGGAAUAAAGGGGGAGGAGUAUUGAAGCAUUUUUAGCAUGGUUGACGCUACCAAAAUAACCACCAUUUUGCCAACUGAUUUUAAUAUUGGAGAGAGUAGAAGCUGAAGCUUUUUGGUCUUCUGUGGUCAGAAGAAGGAUGCCUGCAUUUCAGGAAUACAACUUUAAACAAUUCCUAAUGAGACCUUCUUGUACCAGCCACUGUUUCAUUUUUUUAAUAUCUUCUUUCCCCAUAUUUCUGAAUUUAAAUUCUGGGAUCCCAUGCAAAGUUUCAUUGGAUACGAAUAUUUCUGACAGGUAGCCUAACUCCGACAUGUAAUAACUUUGAUGAAUUCUGGGUUCGCAUCUGGUGUGGAAAUGUAUAGAAGAAAGAAUCUCUUAUAUUAACAUCUAGAUUUUGUUUCUAUUGUCAACUUGCUCGUAGUUAAAUUUCUUCAACUGAAUACUCGCAUCCUGAUUGAUAUUCUGAUGUUCGAUUUCCCGAGUAACUUUUCAUUCUUCAAGCAUAUCAAUUUGCCUAUGAUCAGAAAUUAACCUUCAGCCAAUAGGUUUCAAUAACUUAUUCGCAUGGAUGAAGGUAAAUGAGCAGUAAGUUAGAGACUUUCUGAUGUAUCCUGCAUUUCUGGACUUUCAUGAGUGGCUGUCAAGAAGAUACCAAGCUCCACCAUCCUCUUGCUUCUCUUGUGGUUUCUUCUUUGCUAUUUAGAUUUGCUCAGACAUUUUUUGUUCUCCUUGAUUCUGCGAAUUUAACUUUUUGAGCAUUUGGAACAUGAAUCGUGACCUUCAAAACCCUUAUCAUGACAAAGAUCACCAUCCCCUCUGUUACCUCUUUCAUUGCAUAUCUCGUUUAAUAAUUGAUGUCGACAUCUUUCUGAACAAAAUCAGAAAUGAUGGUAGUCCAGGAGACUACAUUGCAGAUUGUCAUUCACAAAAAGUUCUUCACAGAUUGUUCAUUAUCCUUGCAUUUGGCAUACAAUACAAAUUGGAGUGGAGAGCAAGUUGAAUUCUUUUAAAUUCCAUCUUUCUCAUCAAUAAUCGUGACUGCAUUCUGAAUCUUAUGCAAGACAAUUCCUAAAUCCUCCAUUUUGAAAUAUAAUGCUUGCUUCAUAAUACUUUUCUGAUUAAGCAACUCCUUCAAUAGGCUUUCAAAUCUUUAGAGCGGUUGGAUAAGCAUCGUCUAACAUAGUGGCUUUGGCUUCGAAGAUUUCGGCUCCAAAAUUUACCGUGUCUAAUACUCCCAUGUAUAUCAUUGCACCAAGUCCUAAAAGAAUUAAGGACCUCAACAAUCUGGUCUACAGAAUCAUCAAUAGAAAGUGUGACUUCAUCAAAGCUGCUGGGUCCAAAUUUUGCAGUAGAUGAAGAGACCGUAUUCCUGUGAGCAUCAGACUCUGAAUUGUAUGAAAACUGGAUUGGACCUUUUCUUUAAUUGUAUAGACGAUGUGACUAAAGUAUCCUCCCUACUCCAUUGAAAUCCUUAGUCAGUUGAAGCUUUUGAGAGGUGUCCUUCAAAAAUAUUUUUGACAAUUGAACCUGGGUACUGGUCUAAUUGCUGCUGCCUUGAAAUUCUGGUUGUCAUUUCCAUGGGCUGAAUGCAGAGAUUUGCUUGAAGAAUUCGAAUGAAAUCCAACACUGCAGGCGACUAUAAUGGUAAGCGAAAUCAAACAGGAGGAGAACUUUUGACGAGAGGUCUUGAUGGGAUUCCGAGUCUUAGUGAUGAAAUUAUUCUCUCAGUGUGAACCUUGGCGAAGAUCCCUGCUUCCAUGUCAUGUGUCAUGGAUCCAUCAAUAGAAUCUGUAUCUUUAAACUUGGUAUUGUCCAAUCUAAUUGUAUCAAAAGAUGUAGAAGGAAUAAUAACUGGAUGCAAAUGUAGCUUAUAAAGAGUAGACAUAGAAACUGAAUUCGCGUUGGUUUGGAACUCGGAUUCCUUGUAUUUAUGUGAAUGAACCAAACAUGACAAAGCCAAAUCCUCUGGCCAAAAACAUAUGCGGCUGCUGGUCAAUCAGUGGGAGGAGAUUCCCGACACUUAUCCAAUGCAUGCCGAAGAGGAAGUGAUACAUCAGCAGGCAGUGAAUCCAGCUGUUGAAGUCCAAAUUCUUCCUCAACCAUUGCCAAGGCUGUCGACUCCUCAGAACUGGAAGAUGCUCCUGUAGCAAGGUUACCAUAAACACCAGAUGAAGGUUUUCUCCCCACUGGUUUCGCACCAGAUAACAGACUUUGGAAGGAAACUAUCUCUCGGGCCCAGAUAACUGAAUGGUCAUCUUUACGAAUCAGAGGUGAAAGGUCAUUUAUAUUAGCAGAAUUACAUCCUCACUACAAGCAGUGUUCAAGCCAUCUGAAUAGACGAGGAGGAGUUGUCUGGGAAAGACAGUCUUUACACAUCUCAAGUUUCUUAGGAAUACCAGGAAAAUCAUGAACAUAAUGGUCCAAAUAACUUCCCUCUCCUAGAAAAUUAGCAACAUUACAUAAUAGAACCACUAGAAGUCCCAAGUCCUUUUUGCGAAGAUAAUCUAAUUUCGAACUUUCAUAUACCGCAUGGAGGGGAUCCAAAGUCUCCUUCAAAGGCUCGGAAUAGGAUAAUUUUUCUGGGCUUCAUCUACCAUCCGAAUACGAUUUAGAAGAAUCUGAUUCCUGCAACUCAAGUGACAUUUUGGAAGAAAUCCCAGUGAUCAAAUUAAGUUCAAAGUAGUUCUUGUGUAAGUUGCUGUUAAUAAGAAACUCCCAGGAUGUGUGUGGCUCUAUAUCCAUGAGCUUUGGAGGAAUUAAUCUCGACUUUUUGCACAUAUACAUUUUGAUACUACUAAAAGACCCCCAUUCUGAAUCAACAUUAAAGUCACUGGCAGUGAUCUUUUGUAUUAUUAUCCAACAAGAAUUACCCUCUUUGUGAGACUUUGGGAAGGCGGGUUGAGAGUGGAUUGUCCACAAAUUUUCUGGUCUCUUACUGAGUUAGCAUCAAGAUAUUCUCGAACAGCUUCAUCGACAUUUUCUGCAGUAGCUUUGACCAGCUUAGCACUUUAUUACUCGGUUUGCUCUGAUAGGCGAUUUCGGAGGGGUUCCUCACGGUCAUUUCCAAUCUAAUUGGACACCAAUGAAGUAUUUGAAGUUCACUCUUUUGGUCACGCCUGGGCUGCAAGUGGAAUAAGUUCCAUAAUUUCUUUCCUCUCUUUGUGUAAUUGAUCAACCGAACAGUGAUUUCAUAAACUGUAAUUCACGGUAUUUUGGCCAGCUUUCAAUCCAAGGGCCAUAGCUUUUUGAGGGUUGAAUUUCUCCUUAAAUGAUGAUCCCAUACUAGACACCUCUGCCCCUCCCUUCAGACCUGUUGCCCUCAUCAGCACCUUUUCAGAUAAAGGCCCACAAUGAUCUCAAGCAUACUGCCGCGCAUGCAUCCGUCGUAGAAUAAGGUGAAAAUUCUGAUGCUUCUCGUCAGACGCUAGUUUGAAAUCCAAGAAAGAUGGGAAUUUCUGUAAAAAAAGAUUUAAGCCCGCUAGACUCAUCAUGUUGUAAUACCUCUGCUUUGUGAUCAUAUAUUGCUGAUUGCCUCAAGUCAACUAACUGAACAGAACCUCCUGAGAUCUCCAUACAACCCAAUUGCUCUGUUCGCAGCAAUAUCCUCCUUAGACAUGUCUUCCGCAGCCCCAAAUUUUCUUCCUCGCUUCCCUUUGAAAAAUUGAAGGGAACGAGCCAUCUUCAAAUUUACCUUCGAAUGAGCAUCGAGCACAAUUGUGUAAGCGAUAACAUCAGGUUUAAUACCUCGCUCCUUCAUAUCACUGAAAAUAUCACGGGCUUUUCGCAAGCAAUUCACCCUGCAAUAGCCAUUUAUCAUCAUUGUGUAGGUGAUGACAUCAGGAGUUAUUCUUCUCUCAACCAACAUAUCAAACACCAAUUGAGCCCUUUUCAUAUCUCUAUCCCAACAAGAGGCACCUAUAAGUUUACCAUAUCAAUGAAGACGACCUCUGCUCCUUUUAAUUUUAUUUCACUACAGAACCCACGAAUGACUGCUGCAUAAGCAAAGGCAUCAAUUGGCCACUUUGCUGCUCUUAAUGCUCGGGGGGCUUCAUAAUCCAAAUCCGACCCCUUAUGGGAACAAAACCUUUCAAUAUAUGUACUGCACAUUAGGGCAGUAGGGUUCACUCCAACUUCUUCCAUCUCCCUAAACGCAUCAACAACUUCUUCAAAAUUCCUCUUCCUACAAAGCGCCUUUAUGAAAAGGCCAUAAGUAUAAUCAAUUGGGUUCAAGCCCAACCUCUUCAAAUGUCGAUAAAUUGCCACCGCCAUAUCAAUCUUCCCAUAUUCAAUCAAACGAUUCAUCAAAAAAAAAUUGCAAGACAUUAUAUGAGGAACAAACCCUUGUCUUCUUGUUUGAAACAGAGCAUCAUUGGCUUUAUCAAACAUACCAACCCUAACAUAGGCCUUAGCCAACAUAUCAAGCACCAGAAUCAACGCACUCGAAUGCUCAUCCUCAACUUUUGCCCUUAUAUGCAGCCUCCGUAGAACUAAUUCGAAUUGCUACUGAAGGGAAACGGCCCAGAUUGUUUUUCAGAUUCUGACACAUCCUCUGUGAGAGCUCUUGAUGCAGGAAAAGAGUAUCCUUUUUUUUUAUUUUCAAUUUUUAAUUCCAAAACAGAGACCAAAUCUUGAAGACCGGGAAUAGAGCUUGUUGAGGUGUGGGCCAAAAUAGAAGAAAACAACAAAAACGUAUGGAAAGAGGAGAAGGAUGACCAACAAAAGUCACAAUUUUACAUUUCAAUCUAUUAGCUCAGAAUAGGGGAGUGAUUCAGGAUAAGAUUUGAAAAAAAAAAAGGGAGUGGUUUCUACCAUCCAGUCCGAAGAUGGACAUGUAUGCAAUUUAUUUUCAGAUGGGAUUAAUGACAUUAACAGAAUGAAGAACAUACCAAACAAACAAAGAUUUAAUUUCAACACAGCAAUUUGUGGCCCUUUCUGUCCACACCAAUCAGCAAAAUAAACACCCAGAACCGUCAAAGGAUCCUCAAGAAUGGAAUAAGAUAAAGCAUAGGUAAAUAGUCGCAAAACAUACCUGGGUGGUCUUGGCUGCAAUGGUUCUUUUUUCCUCUCCUUGCUUCCGCUGUGCUUCUCCGCAAAAAAUCCUCCAAUGCGUGCUGCUCCAAAAAGAAUCUCCUCCCUCAAUCGAAAAAAAAGCUCUCUUUCCCUCUUUUACCUCUCUCACGUAUAUCAUAUAUAUCACCUCCCAAAUCCUAAAUUUGUUCCGAAAAGAAAAUCCCCUCUUUUCUCUCCUCUUUUCUCCUUAUCAUUUUUUAAAUCUUCCAAUUCAAAAGCAAUCUUCUCAAUUUCAAAUUCCUCUCCAAAACCUUCCAAGGAGAGUCCCACCUUCCUUAAACUCCAAUAGUAAGUUUCCUUGCAAAAGCAUGAAAUUUUAGAAGUUAAACAAUUGCAUGAAUAGAUAAAUAAGUAAAUAAAUUAGAAAAUGGUAAAAAUAAUAAAUAAAUAAAUAAGUUAAGGAAAAUAAUAUAAAGAGGAAGAUAACCAAUAAAAAGUGACUGAUAAUCAUAAAACUAAAACUAAAAAUAAAAAAAUAAUAAUAAAAAUAAAAUAAAAUAAAAUAAAAAUAAACAAAUUAACAAAAAAUGGGCCCCACGAGCCAUGCAAACACGCAAGUCAUAUAAGUCACGCUAAAAAAAGUCUUAAUAGACCCAGUAUACCUAAACGGGCCUAAGGUGAGACUAAGUGGGCCUAAGGUGGUGCCUAAUGGGCCAAGUGUAUCUAAAAGCUAUCCUAAAAAAAACAAGAAAAGCCUAAGUCUAAGUUAGGGCUGCCAAGGGUCACAAUAAGGGACCAAAUAAUCCAUCAACAAAAGUCUCCAAGGUGACUCAGAAAAAGGUAAGUGGUGAGUAGUAUUGGGCCACCAAGGAACUACUGUGGAGCAUUGAAAACGAACUUAAAGACAUGUGUUAAAGGGACAAAAUUGAGGGUCUACACACUUGCACUCAGGUAACUCAAUAACUUUUUUCUGGAGCAAGUCUUCCAAUAUGUUCGGCACAUUAGAGUCAGGAAAAGGAUACUUCUUUUCCUCUAAUUCCUUCAAGGUGAACCGAUGCCUCUCAUUUUUCUAGGUUGGUCUAGCCUUUUUUACUUCCUUUUUUUUUAUCUAUUGCUAAGAUUUUGGCAGGAGCCGUAUUUAUCGUCAUUGUCUCUUGGAUAGGUUUCUUUGAGGUCUUGUCACUCUUUUUCCCAUCAUGUCUCUCUCUUUGCUGAUCAAUGGUAAGGUCUUUCUUAGAACCAUGGUUGGCUAUGCUGAGUUCCAUAUCAUGUGCUCGAGUAGCUAAUUUUUCAAAGGUACGGGGUUGUAUCCCUUGGAAAAUGUAUGAGAGACCCCAAUGCAUUCCUUAUAUGCACAUCUCCAUGGCUGAUACCUCAGAUAAUCUAUCUUUGCAGUCAAGGCUUAAGGAAUGCCAAUGGUUGAUAUAGUCUACAACUGGCUCGUCUUUCCAUUGCUUAGUGUUAGUAAGUUCCAUCAUGCUUAUAGUUUGUCGGGUGUUAUAAAAACGGUUGAAGAAUUCACAUUCCAUUUGGUCCCAACUAUCGAUACACUCAGGGGCAAGGUCUAUGUACUAAUCGAAAGCAUUCCCUCAAAGAGAACGAACGAAUUGUUUAACUAAUAAGUCACCAUAUGUACCUGCAUUAUUACAAGUUUCGACGAAAUGGGCAACAUGUUAUUUUGGAUUUCCACUCCCGUCAAAUGAUUCAAAUUUUGGAGGUUGAUAACCCACAGGUAUACGUAGGUUAUCAAUCCUCUUAGUGUAAGGUUUAGAGUACACAAGUGUACUCUGUGAGGGUCCACCGUACUGCGCUUUAAUGGUGUUAGUUAUCAUGUCCUAAAGUUGUUGGACAGAUAAUGAUGCCACUGAGGCAGAUUCCGCCGUUUGUCUCUCAACUUGCAUUGUCCUAUACGUAUGUGGUGCAUCAUCGAGAGGAGAUGCAACAUUCAAAAUGUGGUUGAGUCCUUGACUUGACUCACCCAUAUUUUGUAUUUGUGCCUCAACCUUGUUUAUGAAGGAGACUAUUUGCAUAUCCUUCUCUUCAACCGUCUUGGUGAGUUUGGCGAUGGUGCGAGCCAUCUCUACUAAUUAUUCCUUUAUGGAUGUAGUGUCGGAUACUAUUACUGGCAUAGUCAUCGAUAAGUGAGAAGUAAAAAAGUCGAAAUGAUUGGAGUAGUUUUCCUUAUUUGGCAUUCUGGUUGGCGAUCCGGAGUAUAAGCCGGUGCUAGAGUUGGCAUCGGGUAAUAGAGCAAGGAGAUUUAUCCCCAAAGUCCUGUAGUGUUGAAGGGAGUUUUUCCUUGCUACGAGGACUAUGACUCUUUGCCCCCAGAGAUCAAGGUGAUGAGUGGUUAGUGCUCAUCACAUGUCCUUACUGGUUUUAGCAAACAAGUAGACUCACUUGUUUGUUUUGUUGAGAGUGAAAUGUUGAUUUUACUUUGCUAUGAGUCGUGGGGCCCGUAGAGGCGUCAUGUGUCGAUUGUGCAAUGACAAUCUUGUCAUUGCCGUUGUUGACAUGCACAACUUGAGUUCUUUUGGGUAUCAUCGACGUAGUAGAGAUCAAUCUUCUAACAAAAGAGAUGAGAGACAGAGAGGUUCCACCGGGUGUGCAAAAAAUUUGUACACACAAGUUUCGUAAAUUUGGUCUUGCAAAAUGAGCAAAACAAAUAGGAAAAUAAUGCAAACAAAAUAUUUAUUAAAAUUGAAAAUAUUGUGAGUACAAUCUCAAAAAAUAAUAUUCUUUCCAAAAGAAUAUUUUCUCUUUGAUUCUUUUGCCUUGAUCACACUUUGGAAGACGACAAUGACGCUUUCUUGAUUUCGAAUAUCAAUCGAGGACGAAAAGUGGCUUAUUCUCGAAUGAACUCGUUGAAUGGCGAAGAACGCGUGUAGCAGUUCUUUUACCUUUUACCAAACUUGUAGAGAGAUUUGAUGAAGUUUUUUCUUUUGUUGUGAAGCCUCUUUUCUCGUAUGAAGUCACAUUUGGAUUUUCUCCUUCAGAUUUUCCUUUCUAGAUUUUUCUGAUUUAUGAAUUUCUCCCCAUUUUGAUUCCUUUCUAGUUGCUUAAUUCAAGGGAUUUAGUUCCUUGAUUUUAGCAAUUUUUCUUCGCCCGACAGGUUUUACCAACAACAACAACAACAACAAUAAUAAUAAUAAUAUUCUUCUUAUUAUUAUUAUUCUUUUUAUAGUUGGAGAUUAGGGAAACUUAUCCAUAAGAGGAUAUAUACAUUUUUUUUCGGAGACCAAGUUAGUGGUAAUUUAAUCCACUAAUUUUUUAUGUUUACAGGGUCAGUCUAAUUCCAAGGCCCAAUAGUAGCAAUUAGUUUUGUUGAAAGAGAUGGGUGUCAAGAUUAAUGCAUCAUGUGCUAUCAGAGCUUUCUUAUCUUACAAAUUUGACCAAAAAUAAUUUAUGUUUUUAAAAAAAAAUUCUACAAAGUAAAUCAUCUCGCAAAAUAAUUCUUAAACUAGUACUUCUCAUCUAUGUGGAUAUCCAUGUCAUAAAACUGUAAUUGAUAUUUACAGUUUUAAAUUUAUUUUAAAAUGGUUAAAACUAUAGUUACCAACUAUAGUUUUAAAUUUAAACUUAAAACUAUGGUUAAUGGUGAUGAUUUUAAAGAUAAGUAAAAAUAUUUAAAAUUGUAGUUACUAAUUACGGUUUUGUGAUGUACAAAAAAUUAAAUAACAAAUUCUUAGGUGACCAUAUGGAUGCCUAGGUGGUUGAUUGAGAUUCAUUAGUUUGGAAACUAUUUUGAUAAGAAAUUUAUUUUGUAGAUUUUUUUUAAUAUAUUAUUUUUGUUCAAAACUCAAUUUUAAAUUUUAAGCCACCAUAUCCAACCACUAGCCAUCAACCUCCACAUGUCUCCUUCCAUUUAUUGUAGAAUGAGGUGUUUCUAAAAUAGUUUUCUAUUCUUAAAAACUAAAAAUUGUUUUCAAGACUCAAAAACAUGUUUUGUAUUUUUUUUUUUUUUUGAUGAAAAACAAUUUUAUGAGAACUUGUUCUAGAAAUAGGGUAUUUCCUAAGAACAAAUUUUGAUUGUUUUUCAUAGAUUGUUUUAAAAAAUAUUCAUAAUAAUUUGUAAAAAUAUAGAGAAUGAUUGAAAAUAAAACAUUAUGAAUAAAAGACAUUUUAGAAAAUAUAAACAUAGAAAAUAGAUUAGUAACAUUUUAAAUUCUUAAAUAGAUCAAUCACAUCCUAAAUUCAUUGUCACUUUUUAUUCAUUAGUAUCAAAUUUUGUCUAGUGUUUUUUCAAGAGCCACCUCUCAUGUUACCUUCAACUUUAUUACAUCCCACUAAUAUUGACAUAAAACUUGAACAAUAGGCUGCUUGAUUAAAGUGCAAGUGUUUUGAGUAUCGGUUGACCAAGAAAUUCAUAGGGGAGACAAUAAGGCCUGAUAUAUAAGGCAAAUGUGUUAGUCUAGGUACCAUUAGAUGCACAUCAUUAUUGGGAGUCAAGAUGUUGAUAUAUAUUUUCAUAACCCUAUCUAAUUCAUCUUUUUAUAGAGGAUUUUGAUGUCUUCCUCCUCUAUAGAGAAGUAAAUUGUUUGACUAUGCUAAAUUAUGCUCUUAUUGGAUAAUUGUUUACUUGUACUUAUAUUCACUAUCAUUGGACUGCUCUAGUUUAGACCCGACAAAAUAGCAAAGAAUGAACACUUGCUUUCUUGUUGCAUGUAUUUUGAUCAAAUCAAGUUUUAGUAGUAGUUGAAUCUAUGUCUCUGAAACCAGGUUCUCUGACUUGAAAAUGAUAUUGAAUUGGCUUUACUUGAAUAUUUUAUGAGCAUAAAUUCCAUUGGCAUUGACUGAACAUUACAUGGAAAUUAUACAAGAAUUUAGUGGCCAACAACUUCGCAUUUGAUGGCUCAAGCAGAAGGUGAGUUAUAGUAUUUUUAAUAUAAUUUAAGUCAAGGAAUAGCAUAGAUGAGAAGCAUAAUAGAUUCUAAAAUUGUUGAGACAUACUUAUUCUUUGUGUUUGCCGUCUUUUGCCAGGAUUGAAUUGUCUUCAAAUAAACUUUCCAUGCAAUAAGAAUAUGUACACUAGCUGUAAGUCUCUUUUCUCUUGCAUAAAUAAUAUAAAAAUAAAUAUAGAAGCAAUCAUUUAGAAAACAAUAAGAUAUAAGUAAUGGCAGACACCAACUUCUCGAUCAAGUGUGGUGACUUAGAGAUGAGAACUGCUGAAGGCAUACUAUAUGAGUCUAAAAACUCAAUUCUUAAAGCAACAUCUAUUGGGAUUGAACACUUAAAAGUAUGACAUGAUGUAAUUGAUUGAAAUUCAUUUAUAAAUUUAUUAUUUAUGUUUUUUAGCUUCCCUUUAUUAUCCCAUUUGCAAUAAUUUGUUAUCUGAGCAUAUAUACUCAUAUAUCUCAUAUUGUACAUGACUUAGGUGCAUUAGGAGUUGUAUAGAUGAUACAAGUCAUGGGUUCCUUAUAAGUAAAUAAGUUAUCCAUAGUUAGUUUAUGGAUUUGGGAAAUCUAAUAGAGAUUGUAGAGUACUACCUCCAAAUCGGAGAGAUGACUUGUCUUGGCCAUUAAGAUGAGUUUUCCAUGAUAUGAGUACACUAGUGUGUAUGGUUAUAAAUUGGACAGGAUCUAUGAUGAAUCAUAACGUAAGGCUAUUGAUUGUUAUGAUUCACCAAACUACUAUACUGCAUGAACUCCUAUCCUUAAGAGAAUAUUGAGCCUAUACCAAAGUCAAUAAGAGACUUUGACCUAUGGUGAGAUCCUAAUGUGGUCACAUAUCUCUAUGGAUUAGGUCACUGUUGAUGAAGGUAGGUGGUAACAAGUAUUCUCAAUGGAGGCACCAUGAUAUCUCAUGGUAUUGAGACAAUGUGUCCCUUUGCGUAAUCCAAAGAACUUGUGAUCUAAAAGACUAUAGCUAUAGCUAUUCCUUCAGUGGAAUUUUUACACAUGCUUCUUGAAACUAAAGUAUGUCAAUUGAUCACAUAAUAAGUAAGAUUUGUAACUCAAUGAUUGUAGAAAUGAUCUUGAUAGGUAAAAACACUACCUUAUUAGAUUGUACACACCACUUCAUGGGGAGUCUUCACGUAGUGAAUAGUAGGUACGAACUUGAGCUUUAUCUUAUUGUUAUUUACAUAAGGUACUAGAAUGCAAUUGAUUCUCUAUAAUGGGAUAUUGUAUCAGCUUCAAAAUUAGAUUUUGAGGGAGUCAAUACUCUUAUGGGUUCCAAUGGUCAUUGCUUGAACUCAUAUACCUUGAUGACACGGUUUAUGAUGAUUGGAUUAACUCUAAGUUCACUUUUAUGUAUAAAGGCAUUUUGGUAAUUAUGGAAAAUUGCAUAAGGGUUAGUGAACAAAGUCUUUGGAUUUGGCUAAUUAAUUAAUUAAUUAGAUGAUCCUGUGAGGUUAAUUAAUCAAUUAAGACUAAAUUUAAGUUAGAUUAAAUAAUCCAAACCCUUGGUAGACUUAAGUAACUUAAGCCUAGUUGGAGAACCCUAUAAAUACCCCUUUAGGGGUUAGGAUUUCCAUAGAGUUGUCUUCCACCUUUAAAGAGAAAAGAAAGCUAUAGUCUCCAUCUUCCCAAACCUCCUCAUUGGUUGUGUGCCAAGAUUAAGUUCAAGCCAUCGGGUAGAAGAUCUAGGGUUUAUGAGACUUCCUGUAACUACAUGUUAGGAUAGAGCCCUUAAAAGCAUGACAUGAUGUAACAAAUUUAGGAAUUCAUUAUUUAUUUAAUGGAAUUUCCGUUUCACUUUUAUCUAUCUUUAUUCCAUGCAUUGUACUUUAUAAGCAUUCUUGUCUAGCAUCUCUUGAAUUGUACAUGACUUAGGUACAUUAGGAGUUAUACAAAAGAUUAAAGUCAUGGGUUCUUUACAAGUAGAUUACUUGUUCACAGUUGGUUCAUGAACUUAGAUAAUCCAUUAGAGGCUGUAGUGCACUACCUCCUAAUUAGAGGGAUGAUUGGUCUUGACCAUCAAGAUGAGUUUCCCAUGAUGAGUGCAUAAAUGUGUAUGGUUACACAUUGGACAUGACCUAUGGUGAGUCAUGACUUAAGGCUAUCAAGUAGACCGUGACCUCACCAAGUUACUUUAUUUUGUUGUCUCUCAACCUUGAGAGAAUAUUAAGUUUGUGUUAAAGUUAGUAGUGACUUUGACCUAUGAGUUAGAUUAUAAACUAAUCAUAUAAAUAAACUAAUCAAAAAAGGUACCAUGAUAUCUCAUGCGAUUGAGAUAGAGUGUCCUCUUGGGUGAUCCUAAGGACGCGUGUUCAUGAAAACUAUGGUCAUAGUAAUUCCUUAAGUGGAACUUGACAUAAAAUUUUGGAGGGCUAAGAUAUGUUAAUUAAACACACAAUAGGAGAAUAUGUAACUCAAAGAUAGUUGAGAUAGUCUUGAAAGGUUGAUAGCUUUCACCUUGUUAGACUAAAAACGCCAGUUCACAGGGAGAUUGAAUGUAGUGAAUAGCAGGUCACAGAUUUGAACACUUAGCGUCUUGUUGUUAUUUACAUAGGUUACUGGAGUGCAGUUGAUUCUCUAUAAUGGGAUGUUAGAUCAACUUCAGAAUUAAAUUUUACGUCCAGUACUACUAUGGUCCCAAUAGUCCUCACUUUAAGCUCAUAUACCUUGUUGGCACGGGUUAUGAGGGUUGAAUUGACUUUAGGUUCAGUUUUAUGCAUAAGAGUGUUUUGGUAAUAAUGCAAAAUUACAUAGGGGUAAGUGAACAAGGUCUUUAGAUUGGGUUAAUUGAUUAAUUAGUGGGUCCCGUUAGGUUAAUUAAUCAAUUAAGACCCAAUUUUGGACUAGAUUAAGUGACUUAAGCCCAUGUGGGCUCAAGUUAUUUAAGCCUAGUUAGAAACCCUAUAAAUACUUCUUAGGAGUUAGGAUUUCCAUAACUUUUUGUCUUCCACCAAUUAGAUAGAAGAGAGAGUCCUAACCUUUGCCAUCCCAAGCUGCCUAUCAUUUGUGUGCUAAGAAAUGAGGUUGAGAUAUCGGGUGGAAGAUCAUGGGUCUACGAGACUUCCAAUGGCAUCGAUUUGAUUUUUCAAUACUUGUAUUCAAGGUUUUGAAACAUCCAAACUUAAAGGCUAAUAUUUUAACCCUAGAGGUUAAUUUUUUGAAAAAUUGGUAUUGCUUCCAUUACUUAGAUCUAAGAUGCCAACACUACGAAACUAUUCUUCAUCAAAAGAGUUGAUUUAGGAACAUCAAAAUUAGAGGUAAAGUUUUUUAAUGCACACAUCUAGAUUUUUUUUUUGUGUUAAAAACGUAAUUUUUGUUUUCGUUGUAUAGGAUUUAAAUGCCCUAGGGAGUAUUCAUGUACCCAACUUGAGCUUAGGAUAGAGAAUAGAGAUAUCUAGGAUUCCCUAUAACAUGGUAUUAUGUAAUGAGUAUAGAAAAAUGGUCACUUGGCAAUAUAGGACCUUACAUUGUAAGUUUGGAAUUUGCAAAAACAGUGUUUAAGAAUCAUGAUACACAAACAUGGGAGAGUCUAGGAAGGUGUGUUUUGAUAUUUACCUUCAGGUAACAAUUGUAAAAGCCGAAAAAUCUAACAUCCUCAUUUGUACUUCAACAAUCCUAUGAAAUAUCUUUCAUUUACAAUCCCAUUUGAUUAUUUUAAUCUCUUUUCUUAUUUUUUAGGGAGCCCUUUAAUUCAAAGACUUUGACAUGUUGAAAGAACUUGGUGGGGUUGCGAGAGCAAUUGACAAAAAAAAUUUAUUGCUACUGUAUCAGAAAACAAUCUUAAAGGUCAUUUGCCUUGAGUUGGUAAGGAAACUUACUGCAAUUCAAUCUAGGGUUAUUAUAGACCAUCCAUUUCAAUUCUCAAUGUUGUUUCAGGUAACAUAUUUGAAUGAUAUUUUAUGGAUUUCAUUUAAUACAAUAUGUGUUCUAAAUAAUGCUUCUUUUUUAUAAUUAGAGUUAAUCCCUAUUUACUUUUCUUAGAUUUUACCAACUGUAACUAGAAUUCCACCCAUUCCUCUUUUAAAGAAAAAACAACAUUGGGUUGAUUGUGGGUGUUGCAAUUUCUAUUAGAUGUGUGAGAAUCAUACUAAUAUGUGAAGUUUUUUUACAUAAAAAGGAAUUCUUUAGAUGUUAAUGAGGAUGAAGGCACUUCUUUUGCUCAACAUUACUAAAUUUAAGCUUUAGAUGUCAAUGGGCUCUUUUCGUCAGAUGUCAUGGUAGCAUCUUUAGUUAGUAUUAUUUGUUGCCCAGUUACAGAAGACUCAAGAAGUUGGAUGGGCUUAAGAUGCAUGGAGUGGUAGUUGAGUGAUUUAUCUUAAUGUUGUUGAUUCAACUUUUUGUAUAUAAUGUAGCAAUGACAUUUGCCUAAGAAUAACAUCAGAGUUGAUUCAACACAACAUAAUUAAGCUUAAGCUUCUAUAUUAGGCUCACACAGAUCAUGUAUAUUCUUAUAUUUAAUAAAAAGGGGUCAUAUCACGACCAUGUAUUGUUCAACAAAUCAUUUUUCACCUAUGAAAGUGAUAAUCAUUUUAAUGGUUACUUGGCUAUGUUUGAGUAACAUUCUUCACCUAGCCAUUACCUUGUCCACAUGAUAACCUAUAGUAGCAACUAAGAAAAAUUUGCAUCCAUAUCAAGACUUAUAGUAGCAGCCAAAGCAUAUCCAUCUCCAUAUUAGCACAUAUGGUUGUGACCAAAAUUAACUCACACUUUUAAGCAUUAUAGGCUCAAACUUUUUAUAUUUUUACAACCUUAUAGUUGUAGCCACUCUUAACUGCAACUAUACACUACCUUUAGUUGCAAGUAAAAUGAGGUUGUGGUCAUAGUUUUAAUACUUAUGGCCACACUUUUACAUGUGGCCGCAACUAUAACAUUUCUCUAUACCCCCAUAUGAUCACACCUUGUUGUGGUCUAUUUUGUUCGCACCCAUAUCUUUUAGCUGGGCUAAAUUUUUCUUUUAGCCAUGGUUAGUGGCAACGACCAAGAAAGUGAUUUAAGAGUUUUGAGAUUAUAAUAACUCCUUUGAUCUUCUCUCCUUAUGGAUAUAAGUGUAUUUUCGUUAAAUCCCAUGAUUCUCAUUUAUUUAUUUAUUUUUAUUUUUUGUUUAUUGUUCCCUUAAUUGAGCAUAACAUAUUGAGAUGAUUGUAUUUUAGAGUUUUCAAUAAUAUAUAAUAGGCCUAAAGGAUAUGGAAGUUUAUGAUAUAUACAUGAAUAAAAAUACUCUUUGACUUAUAAAUGAUCUAAAUAUGUAAAAAAAGAAAAAUUGGAAUAAUUAAGUGUGUUUAAAAGGGAUAAAGAUUCCGUAGAUUUUUUUUUCUUCUCUUUUCAUAAUAUAAGCAAUAUAUGUGUAUUCUCUUCCAUGGACAAAUUAGUUGAUUAAGAAUAUUAAACAACAUGCAAAAUAUUUAUUAAAGAAAAAAAAUGCAUUUCUUGAAUAUUCAAUAUUUAAAAAAAAAUUGAACAAAAUAAAAAACUCUCUUAUUGCUAAUUAAUGUCUAUGUUAAGCACUACAGAAUUCAAAUUUUAAUUUCUCACUAACACUUAUUUUUUUCUCAUAUUAUGUGUAUAUACUGGAGGAGGAGAUAACUACCUAUCCAUAUCUUAUUUAUCUUCUUUAAUGGGAAAAAGAUGUUAGAGAGUGAAAAAUAUAUGAACAACUGAGGGGUAAAGGUUCUCUAGUCUACAAGUGAGUAUGUGAUUUUAUCCAUUUGAUAUAUAUAUAUCGUGAAUUUGGUUGCUAUGGUUGGAGAUAUGAUCUAUGACUUUUGCUUUUAUAAUUUCAUGUUUUUGAAAUAUGGAGAUUUUAAUAUUUAUUAUUAUAUAUAUUUUGCAUACUCUAGUAAGGUAAUAUAUUAUUAUUAUACAAAGGCAAAUUAAAUUUUAAAUGUAUUUAUUAUAUUUUGAAUUAUAAAUUUAAAUGUAUUUUCAAAUUCAAACCCAAGUUGAUUUUAAUUACUUUAAAAAACAAGUUGUUCUUACAACCUACAUUAACUUACAGGAAAUCAACUGUCUAAAUUGAAUCAAACUGACCUUAAACAAGAUUGAUUUUAUUGUCGAUGUAGCACAACUUGAAAUAGGAGUCAAUUUAUAGGAAGCUUUUGAAAACAUAGUGCACCACACCCAGGGAAAAAAGAAAUGUGGGUUUUUCACUCAUCACUAAAAAAUUAGUUUGAUUUUGAUUCAAGUAUAAACCGAUCAUGUUAAUUUAGUAUUUUUUUUCCUAGUUAUGUAAAUUUUUCAUCCAUUAAAACCCAUAAGUCUCAAUCUAAUGGCUGGAUUUUAUAAUCUUAAUGAUAAUAGACUUACAAAUCAAUUAUAUAUAAAGAUGGUUAGUGAAUUGAAAAAGUUGUUGGCUCAUAGUUCAUAACCAAUAAAACUAGUGGUUCAAUUGUAAUCAAACUAUCAUAUCAUCAUAAAUAUUUAACUUAUAUAUUAUUUAAAUUAAAAUAACUAUAAAAAGUUAAAAAUCUGUAAAUAAUUAAAAAUUUAAACAUAUUUUUAUUAUAAAAUAUGAGAAUUUAUUAUUGUUGUCGCCUCGCGUAUCCGGUGGUCCACGUUGCUGCUAGAUGGAUGGACACGCGAUUCUCAACACACAAAGGGUUCUUGAUUCAGCGGUUGUACCUGCAAAAGGCAUCCGGACAGGGUGUCCGGACACACCCUCCGAUGGUUUUGUUAGCCAUGGUAAGAGAGGAAGAUAUAUGAGGCAGUUGGCUUUUUACUAGGUAUCAGGAGGUUACUCAGAGAGGGAGAGCCAGAGUUCUUCUUCGUGUGAAGACUUAUAUAUACAGCUUUAAGGGUACUGUUCCUCUCAUUAAUGGUGAGGAGAUGUUUUAUGUUGUCAUGAUGACAUUAAGUAGCAGUAGGGACAUCAUCACCCUACGAGCGGCUGUCAGGAACCAUGGUAGGUGACGCGACUGUCAGAGAUCGUGGUAGGUGAUCAUGUAGAAUGAUCGUGGGAAGUGACUUGCUAUCACUUCAUCUUGUCUUCUCACUUUGCAGGUGACAAGAUGUGGGCCAUGGCUGCUUGUUGUGAUUGCGUGUAAGACUCGCUUUACUUUAAUUGACCAUCCAGACGAUUUAUAUCCGGAUGGCUCAUGCUGAUUAUCCGGAUGUGUUGUGGAGACUAUCCGGAUGUCUACGCUCUGCCAGCGUCGUUUGCUCUUCCUUGGAUAGGAGAAGCUGAAACGUCGUUUGCCUUUCCUUGAGGCGGUUCGGAUAGGAUAACUGCACCAUGCAUAUCCUUAGGGGAAUCCGGAUGAUGAUGGUCCGGCUGAUAACACGUGCCACGCGUCACCAUGAGCUGCGUGCCACGUGUUUCCCAAGGGGAGGGGUCCCUACAUUGCCCCCCUUUUUAACUUGCCUAUUUUGCCCGAAAAAUGGGCGGGUUAAAAAUAACUGGCUUUUGAAAAUUGAAGAGGUCCCUUCGUCUGACUGGGCCACGUGGCGAGUGGGGGUGCGGAAGCCAAAAAGGCAUUUAUGACGAGCCGCCGACCCUGUGUAUCCCCAGGCAAUAUGUCGUUUCAAUGAUAACAUGGCUGUCCUGCUAUAAAUAGGGCACUGUACCUCUUUUUGCAUUUUUUCCUACUGCAUUCUCUUGAGAUCCUUUCUUCUUCUUGCUUUUUUCUGCGCCCUUUGCUUCUCUGAGAAAAAACUUUGAAAGCUCUUUUGUACCGGUGUUUUUGUAUCGCGACUUCGUUUGUUUGCUGCUGGUGAUUUUGUACCGAGACAGUAACCGUUCUUCUUCUUCAGAGCUUUAUUUGGUACGUACCUCUUUGCUACUGUCAUUCCUUUGGUUGCGUUUGCUGGUUCUUUAAACUUGGUUUCUGGCUUGCUUGGGCAUUGUUUUGGACAAGUCGCUCGCAAUUGUUGUUGAAUGUUGGUAUUUUGAUGGUGCUCGGGGGGGNNNNNNNNNNNNNNNNNNNNNNNNNNNNNNNNNNNNNNNNNNNNNNNNNNNNNNNNNNNNNNNNNNNNNNNNNNNNNNNNNNNNNNNNNNNNNNNNNNNNGGGGGGGGGGGUUUUGAGGGGUUUUUCUGACUGCUUUGGGUUAGGGUUUGUGUAUUUUCUGACUGCUUGGUUUGAACCGUUGCAUUGCUUUUGUAUGUAGAUUUUGGUUUGGCUUUGUGGUAAGAAAUGACUUCAAAAAAUACUGUUUCAUCUGCCCGGGUUAGCGAGGCUGGCGAAAAGGCGAUAGACAAAUUAGAUGUGAAGGAAUUCCGGGAGCGGUUCUGCAUCCCAAAUGGCGUAUCUAUAGACUUGGUGAACGAGGAGGCGGCUAUGCCUACUGAGAAAGGUGAAGAAAACGUUAUCCUCUUCACAAAGGAACAAUUCAACGCAGGGCUCCGGUUCCCUCUGCCGGCGUUGUUCAAGGAAUUCCUCCACUUCUCUCAGAUUCCACCCAUCUUCAUUCAUCCCAACCUUGUCCGGGUGCUGAUGGGAUGCAGCAUCAUCAACAUGCUGUACAACCUCGACCUUACGCUACUGGAAGUGUUCUUUGUCUAUUCCCUGAAGAAGGCAAAAAAUGAUAUCUUCAGUGUGUCCGCGCACCUGCCCUCCCUUCAAGUGGUGACAGAGCUGCCAGAUUCGAUAAAGGGAGAGGCGAAAGGGCUGGUGGCGGUCCGGGGUGGAUGGGCGGGGCUAUCGGAGCGUGCGUCGAGGCCCUUUUCUCCAAAUUAUACCUUAAAAAUUCCGGGUAUUCUUGUUUUGCGAUUCUUUGUCCGGAUUUUACUUUGCUGUUUUUUUGCUGAUUUUUCCGGACGGAAUUCUCACCUUUUGUUGCUGUCAAUGCAGGUCUGGAAUUGAGGGGCCACCUUGUGGAUUGGGUAGAAAAGGCGUCCUUCGCCUGUGUCUGCAAAUUAUUCGAGAUAAAUCCCAAGGAGAGGGCCUGCAAGACAUUGCUUUCCGCGCGGAAUUUGAUGGCGGUCGUCCGGGAGUCCCAAGAAUAUGUUAUCAAUAUUCUCCCUAGGAAACUGCCAAAAGAUGAGGUAGUGCCUGGGGAGCAUUAUACUGUGAAGGAGCUCCCCCUCUAUUAGGAAGCUAAAGAGGCUGAUGCUGAAAGACGGCGAAAGCUCCUGGAGGAUCGAGAUCAGAGAAAAAAUGAAGGCACUAUCCGGAAGGCUCCCGGACAGAAGCGGGGUCCGGACUCUCCUCCAAAGAAAACUCCAGCAAAAAGGAGGAAGCUGGUGAAGAAGAAUGGGAAGGAUGUGAAGGAACCCACUCCUCCCAAGGAGUUUCCUCCUCCGCAAAUUACCUAUGAGGGGGAAGUAAUGAUAGAGGAGCCAGUAAACGCCGCUCCGCACUCUAUCUCAAGCGGCCCCAGACGCAUCUCGGGGUUGAACCAUUCGGGCACUUCCUUGGCCGCGGUUGCGCGUCUGGCUAACGUGGCUGAGGAAGCUGCAUCUAUCAACCAUCCGGGCAACCUUAAUUCGGAUGCUGAUGCAGCUGAAACGAUCCUGUUGGAGGAAGCGGGGGCAGAAAGCCAAAGUCAGCCUUCCGACGACCCGGAUCGCUUGGCCAUAAUCCCGGUGAAAGGGCCUCCUUCAAAGAAGCCGCGUUCGACGCGCAAUCUACUGUCCGGACUCCUUGGGCGGCUUCAAGAGCGGCAGCAAGAGAUUGAAGUUAGCUGCGCUUCUGCCCAUGACGCUCAUCCGGAUGGAGGCGAGGUGGAGAUGGCAACUGAGACUUCAGCCGCCCCUGCAAUAAUUCCGGCUGAAGAUGCAUCCGGACAGAUGCGUCCGGACGAAGAUGUGGGGGUCCCGAAUCCGGGACAAGAGUCACCUUCUGUUUCCUCAUCUGAGGAGGAACCUGCUGACGAUGCAGCUCCUGCUAGCCCUUUCAGCUACGCGGAGUUGGAAGUUAAGCUAAAACAGAUUACACCUGGCUGGACUGCCAUCAAGCCCUCUGCUAAGAUGUUUGAUAUGAUGGAAACGGUAUACCGUUGUCUUGUGCUUUUGCUUUUUGAUUCUUUGUUGCGCUGAUGUGUUUGUUGUAGUAUGAUUUAUGUCUUUGCUUUUCUUGUUUGCGUGUCAGCUGGUGAGGGGCCUCCGCGGCAUGGCUCAACAACACGAUCUUUUUACUCACCUGCUGCAGACUGCAGACUAUAUGAAGACCUUCUCCUCUCGGCGUCGAGAGAUUGAAAAUCAGCUGCGUCUGAGAAUGGAGGAGGCUGAGGCCAGUCUAUCCACCAUGCGAGAGGAAAAUGAAGCCCUCCGAGUGGAGUUGGCUGAGGCGAAGAGUCGAGAAGAAUCGACUGCGGGCCGCCUACAUGAGGCAGAAGGUGAGGCAGCCCGGCUGAGGGAUGAAGUGAGUCAACUCCGGACAGAAGUUUCGAAUGAAAAGAAACAGAAGGAAGACUUGCAGCUGCGCCUGGAUGUGCAAAAAGAAGAACUUGAACGGGAGUUUGCUGUGGAAAGGGAGGAACUUGCAGCGGAUUACCAGCAACAAGUGGAUGAUACGUUUAUCUUUGGGUAUCGCUGCUGCAUGAAGAAGAACGGUAUCAAGCGAGAUACCCCUUCAAUUCCUCCGGGUGAANNNNNNNNNNNNNNNNNNNNNNNNNNNNNNNNNNNNNNNNNNNNNNNNNNNNNNNNNNNNNNNNNNNNNNNNNNNNNNNNNNNNNNNNNNNNNNNNNNNNNNNNNNNNNNNNNNNNNNNNNNNNNNNNNNNNNNNNNNNNNNNNNNNNNNNNNNNNNNNNNNNNNNNNNNNNNNNNNNNNNNNNNNNNNNNNNNNNNNNNNNNNNNNNNNNNNNNNNNNNNNNNNNNNNNNNNNNNNNNNNNNNNNNNNNNNNNNNNNNNNNNNNNNNNNNNNNNNNNNNNNNNNNNNNNNNNNNNNNNNNNNNNNNNNNNNNNNNNNNNNNNNNNNNNNNNNNNNNNNNNNNNNNNNNNNNNNNNNNNNNNNNNNNNNNNNNNNNNNNNNNNNNNNNNNNNNNNNNNNNNNNNNNNNNNNNNNNNNNNNNNNNNNNNNNNNNNNNNNNNNNNNNNNNNNNNNNNNNNNNNNNNNNNNNNNNNNNNNNNNNNNNNNNNNNNNNNNNNNNNNNNNNNNNNNNNNNNNNNNNNNNNNNNNNNNNNNNNNNNNNNNNNNNNNNNNNNNNNNNNNNNNNNNNNNNNNNNNNNNNNNNNNNNNNNNNNNNNNNNNNNNNNNNNNNNNNNNNNNNNNNNNNNNNNNNNNNNNNNNNNNNNNNNNNNNNNNNNNNNNNNNNNNNNNNNNNNNNNNNNNNNNNNNNNNNNNNNNNNNNNNNNNNNNNNNNNNNNNNNNNNNNNNNNNNNNNNNNNNNNNNNNNNNNNNNNNNNNNNNNNNNNNNNNNNNNNNNNNNNNNNNNNNNNNNNNNNNNNNNNNNNNNNNNNNNNNNNNNNNNNNNNNNNNNNNNNNNNNNNNNNNNNNNNNNNNNNNNNNNNNNNNNNNNNNNNNNNNNNNNNNNNNNNNNNNNNNNNNNNNNNNNNNNNNNNNNNNNNNNNNNNNNNNNNNNNNNNNNNNNNNNNNNNNNNNNNNNNNNNNNNNNNNNNNNNNNNNNNNNNNNNNNNNNNNNNNNNNNNNNNNNNNNNNNNNNNNNNNNNNNNNNNNNNNNNNNNNNNNNNNNNNNNNNNNNNNNNNNNNNNNNNNNNNNNNNNNNNNNNNNNNNNNNNNNNNNNNNNNNNNNNNNNNNNNNNNNNNNNNNNNNNNNNNNNNNNNNNNNNNNNNNNNNNNNNNNNNNNNNNNNNNNNNNNNNNNNNNNNNNNNNNNNNNNNNNNNNNNNNNNNNNNNNNNNNNNNNNNNNNNNNNNNNNNNNNNNNNNNNNNNNNNNNNNNNNNNNNNNNNNNNNNNNNNNNNNNNNNNNNNNNNNNNNNNNNNNNNNNNNNNNNNNNNNNNNNNNNNNNNNNNNNNNNNNNNNNNNNNNNNNNNNNNNNNNNNNNNNNNNNNNNNNNNNNNNNNNNNNNNNNNNNNNNNNNNNNNNNNNNNNNNNNNNNNNNNNNNNNNNNNNNNNNNNNNNNNNNNNNNNNNNNNNNNNNNNNNNNNNNNNNNNNNNNNNNNNNNNNNNNNNNNNNNNNNNNNNNNNNNNNNNNNNNNNNNNNNNNNNNNNNNNNNNNNNNNNNNNNNNNNNNNNNNNNNNNNNNNNNNNNNNNNNNNNNNNNNNNNNNNNNNNNNNNNNNNNNNNNNNNNNNNNNNNNNNNNNNNNNNNNNNNNNNNNNNNNNNNNNNNNNNNNNNNNNNNNNNNNNNNNNNNNNNNNNNNNNNNNNNNNNNNNNNNNNNNNNNNNNNNNNNNNNNNNNNNNNNNNNNNNNNNNNNNNNNNNNNNNNNNNNNNNNNNNNNNNNNNNNNNNNNNNNNNNNNNNNNNNNNNNNNNNNNNNNNNNNNNNNNNNNNNNNNNNNNNNNNNNNNNNNNNNNNNNNNNNNNNNNNNNNNNNNNNNNNNNNNNNNNNNNNNNNNNNNNNNNNNNNNNNNNNNNNNNNNNNNNNNNNNNNNNNNNNNNNNNNNNNNNNNNNNNNNNNNNNNNNNNNNNNNNNNNNNNNNNNNNNNNNNNNNNNNNNNNNNNNNNNNNNNNNNNNNNNNNNNNNNNNNNNNNNNNNNNNNNNNNNNNNNNNNNNNNNNNNNNNNNNNNNNNNNNNNNNNNNNNNNNNNNNNNNNNNNNNNNNNNNNNNNNNNNNNNNNNNNNNNNNNNNNNNNNNNNNNNNNNNNNNNNNNNNNNNNNNNNNNNNNNNNNNNNNNNNNNNNNNNNNNNNNNNNNNNNNNNNNNNNNNNNNNNNNNNNNNNNNNNNNNNNNNNNNNNNNNNNNNNNNNNNNNNNNNNNNNNNNNNNNNNNNNNNNNNNNNNNNNNNNNNNNNNNNNNNNNNNNNNNNNNNNNNNNNNNNNNNNNNNNNNNNNNNNNNNNNNNNNNNNNNNNNNNNNNNNNNNNNNNNNNNNNNNNNNNNNNNNNNNNNNNNNNNNNNNNNNNNNNNNNNNNNNNNNNNNNNNNNNNNNNNNNNNNNNNNNNNNNNNNNNNNNNNNNNNNNNNNNNNNNNNNNNNNNNNNNNNNNNNNNNNNNNNNNNNNNNNNNNNNNNNNNNNNNNNNNNNNNNNNNNNNNNNNNNNNNNNNNNNNNNNNNNNNNNNNNNNNNNNNNNNNNNNNNNNNNNNNNNNNNNNNNNNNNNNNNNNNNNNNNNNNNNNNNNNNNNNNNNNNNNNNNNNNNNNNNNNNNNNNNNNNNNNNNNNNNNNNNNNNNNNNNNNNNNNNNNNNNNNNNNNNNNNNNNNNNNNNNNNNNNNNNNNNNNNNNNNNNNNNNNNNNNNNNNNNNNNNNNNNNNNNNNNNNNNNNNNNNNNNNNNNNNNNNNNNNNNNNNNNNNNNNNNNNNNNNNNNNNNNNNNNNNNNNNNNNNNNNNNNNNNNNNNNNNNNNNNNNNNNNNNNNNNNNNNNNNNNNNNNNNNNNNNNNNNNNAAAACUUUCUAAGUAUAGCGUACCAUUUUUGAAGUUUCUGGGCCUGACUUUUCGAUUGUAAUGCGAUGAUGCCCUUUGUUGAUAAUCUGCCAUCCGGAUGGCCGCGCUUUCUCUGACUUCGUCUGCCCAGUCCAAAUUUCUUCCUAGUUCCAUGUUGGCAUCUUCUUGUUUUGCUGCAUCGGUCCGGAUAGUAGGAAGACCUAUUUCAGUGGGAAUGACUGCAUCCAUUCCAUAUGUGAGGGCGAAAGGAGUGUUUCCUGUCGGUCGUCCGGGUGUGGUUCGAUAGGCCCACAGGACGCCGGGUAGCUCCUCCACCCACUUCCCUUUGGCUUGCUCAAGCCUUUUCUUUAAGGCAUUGAUUAGAGUUUUGUUUGUGGCUUCCGCUGCCCAUUGCUUUGAGGAUAACGCGGCGUGGAGUAUGAAUUUCGGAUAUUCAGUUCCGAACAGAAAUUCCUGAAUGCAAUGCUGUCAAAUUGUGGACCAUUGUCAGCUAUGAUGAUUUGGGGAAUUCCAAAGCGGCAAACAAUGUUCUUCCAUACGAAUUUGGUGAUAUCUUUAUCUUUGAUGCUUGCAUAUGCUUCAGCUUCUACCCAUUUACUGAAGUAAUCAGUGGCGACAAGGAGGAAUUUCUUCUGGGCAGGUGCUGCUGGGAGGGGUCCCACUAUGUCCAUGCCCCACUGCGCGAAAGGCCAUGGGCCUGAGACCGAUUUCAAUGCUGCCGAUGGCAUAUGUGGAAUGGGAGCGUAUCUUUGACAUUUAUCACAUUUUUGGACAUAUGCUGCCGCGUCUUUCUUCAUUGUUGGCCAAUAGUAUCCUUGUGAAUGAGCUCUAUGUGCCAGGGAUCGUCCUCCCGUAUGAUUUCCGCAUAUUCCUUCAUGUAAUUCAGCUAGCACAUACUGGGCCUCUGAAUGCCCAAGACAGCGAAGAUAAGGCCCUGUGAAGGAUCGCUUGUACAGGUGCCCCCCAAUCAGGGUGAAACGGGCAGCUUGCACCCGGAUUUUGUGCGCUUGUUUAGGAUCUUCGGGCAAAGUGCCUGUCCGGAGAUAUUCUGCAAUAUCAUGCGUCCAUUCUUGAUCAUCCGCUUGGUUUGCCUCAACGGUGUUGCAAGUGGAAUUUUCUACGAUAGAGGGAUUGGCUUGUACAUGGAUAGGCAAUAGAAUAGCUUCUCUGAUGGGGAGGGAAGCAGCUAUACCGGCCAAGGCGUCAGCGCGCCCGUUGUCAGCUCGCUUAAUUUUUUCGAUUGUCCACUCGGUGAAUUGCUGUAAGGUGCUUCUUAUUUUGGCCAAGUAUCGCGCCAUGCGUGCGUCCUUAGCCUCAUAUUCUUUCUGGACAUGCCUUACCACUAGUUGCGAGUCGUUGUAGAUCCGGAGUUUGGAGACGGAUAGAGCAAGGGCGAGGUCCAAUUCGGAUAGGAUGGCCUCGUAUUCUGCUUCAUUGUUAGACGCGGAGAAUCCCAGCCGGAUGGCUUGCUCCAGAUGUUCCCCAGUUGGGGACUGUAGUAAGAGCCCAACUCCAGAGCCUGAUGAGCGUGAGGCUCCGUCAACUCGUAGAGUCCACCACUCCUGUUCACUUGAUUCGUGGUGCUGGUUGGGUCUUCGUGAAUAUUCGAGCACGAAGUCGGCCAUUACUUGGCCUUUUUUGGAUAAUUUGGGUUGGAAUUCGAUUCCAAAUUCGCUCAAUUCGAUGGCCCAUUGUAGCAUUCGCCCAGUUAAAUCUGGUUUGUGCAGAAUGCUACGAAGGGGUUGGUCGGUCAGUACAAUCACUAGGUGGGCUUGAAAAUAGGGGCGGAGCUUUUGGGCAGCACUUCGAAGAGCUAAGGCUGUUAGCUCCAUUUUUGAAUACCUGGUUUCUACAUCUGCCAAUGCCCUGCUGACAUAGUAGACAGGUUUUUGCUCCUUUGGUGAAGGGCAGCGGAAUAGAACGGCGUUGAUUGCCCAUUCUGAGACAGCCAGAUACAUGUAUAGCUUCUCCUUUGGGAUGAGGCUGCUUAGGAUGGGUGGCUGCAUAAGACAAUGCUUAAUUUUUUCGAAAGCACUUUGACAACUGUCCGUCCAUCCUUGUGCUCCAGCUUUUCGUAUUGCCAAGAAGAAGGGUCGCAAUUCUUCAGUGAAGCGGGCUAUAAAGCGCCCUAAUGCGACGAGCUUGCCUGUGAGUCGUUGUAGCUCCUUCUUGUUCCUGGGAGGGGGUGUUUCCAUGACUGCCUUGACUUGAUCCGGGCUGACUUUUAUGCCUCUCUGGCUGACCAUAAAUCCCAGGAACUUGCCAGCACUUACUCCAAAGGCGCAUUUAGAAGGAUUUAGCUUCAUGCCAUACCUUCGUAAGAGGUGAAAAACUUCUUGUAAGUGAAGAUCAUGCUGCUCUCGGGUUUUGCUUUUAACCAGAAUGUCAUCAAUAUACACUUCUACCGUGUGGCCUAUUAGAGGUUUGAAGAUUUUAGUCAUUAAUCUCUGAUAAGUGGCGCCAGCAUUUUUGAGUCCGAAUGGCAUGACUUUGUAGCAGUAGAGGCCAUGUGGUGUUAUGAAUGCUGUCUUUUCUUCGUCAUCCGAAGACAUGGGAAUCUGGUGAUAUCCGGAGAAGGCAUCCAAGAAAGAGAGCAUUCCUUGCCUGGAAGUGGAAUCCACAAUUUGAUAUAUUCGUGGUAAGGGAAAACUGUCUUUUGGACAUGCGUUAUUGAGAUUGGUGUAGUCAACACAGACUCGCCAUUUGCCCUCUUUCUUUGGUACCACCACUACAUUUGCCAACCAAUCCGGAUAAGAUACUUCUCUGAUGAAUCCGGCUUCCAGCAAUUUGUCAAUUUCAUUUCGGAUAACUUUUUGUCUAUCCGGAUGAAAGCGUCUAAUCUUCUAUCGAACGGGUCUGGCUGCUGGAAAGACGUUAAGCUUGUGAGAGGCAAUAGAGGGAUGAAUUCCCUUCAUAUCCGAAUGUGUCCAUGCGAAGAUGUCAUGGUUGCUUCGAAGGAUAUUUUGUAUGCUCUGAGUUUCUUCUUGUGUCAUGAGGGAACUGAUGUUCAUGAGGUGAUCAUUCUCUUCUGAGAUUUGGAUUGUUUGUAAGGGAUCUGCUGCCGGGGGAUCCUUGUCCGCCAGACCCAAUAAUUGCUAUUGGUCAUGCGUAUGGCUGGGUUCAGGGGGAGAUGCAUCCUCCUGGCUAGUUCCCGCUUCUCGUGCUAUUUGAUAGCACUGUCGAGCGGCCAACUGGCUGCCAUACAAGUCAGUUUGCCCUUCGUUGGUGAGGAAACUCACCAUUUGAUGAUAUGUGGAAGGGAUGACUUUCAUGUAGUGAAGCCAUGUGCGUCCCAAGAUGACAUUGAAGGGUGAUAACUCUUGUACCACUGAGAAUUGCACGUUGAGAGUGACUGGGCCAGCUUGGACCGGCAGUAUAAUGUCUCCUAAGGAUGUGGUUGAUGACCCGUUGAAUCCGGAUAAGAUUUGUCCGGGGUUUUCGAGACCCGCGAGACUAUGUCCCAUAUGGCCAACGACUGAUGCUUGCACCAGAUCGGCUGAACUGCCUGGGUCGACCAAGAUACGUCUUACAUCGAAAUCUCCUAUUUCUAGGGAGAGGAUGAGGGCGUCGCGAUGUGGCUGUAGCGUCCGGGUGGGAUCUACUGGUGGGAAAAUGAUUGUCCCAUCUAUGGGGCGAGGGCCCUCUCCAGUGAGACCCGGCCGGAUGGAAUUAAUGCGUUCGCGUAUUGACGCGGCUCGCAGCAAUUUCUGCCUUUUCCGCCUGGAAUCGUAUUCCUCGUCAGAUGGGCCCCCGUUGAUAUAGUUUAUGACAGCCUUGGGGGCGACUGGGGCCCUCGGGGCCCCAGAGUUAUGAUGUUGAGAUGCGUCCCUUCCUCCAGUAUCUGAGCGGAGGUACUGUUUUAAAUGUCCUGCUUUGAUGAGCCUUUCAACUAGAUACUGGAGGGACCGACAUGUCUCUGUUGUAUGACCAUGGUCUUUGUGGAAGGCGCAUUUCUUGCUGCGGUCUCUCAUGGAUGGGUCCGUUUCGAGGGGUCUAGGCCACCUGAAGUCGGACAACCCUUGGAUCAUUGGGAGAAGUUUUUCGUAUGACACGGAUAGGGGUGUGAUGGGCGGCCUAUCCGGACGACUCGGCCCGUCCUGCCUCCGGUCAACUAGUUUUGGCCGGUCCGGAGGUUUGGCAUGUCUGUCCGCGUCAUCUCUAGAAGCCCGUCCGACAACCAAAACUUGCUGAGUGGCUGCACGUACGUCAUCUUCGAGCAUUGAAUAUUUGUUAGCACGUCUGAACAAAUCGUCCAUCGUUGUAGGAGGCUUUUUGGCCAGCGAUUCGAAAAAUGGAGUGCCUGGACAGAUGCUUCUCUUGAAGAUCUGUAGGACAGCAUCCAUGCUGCAAGCCUCUAUUUGAAGUACGGCUUGGCCAAAUCGUUUCACAAAUUCCCUCAAGGAUUCGUUGUCUCUCAUUUUUAUGUUCUGGAGGGUGCUGAUAUUCUGCUUGUGUCGAGCAGAGCACAAGUACUGUCCCACGAAAGCUUCAGAGAGGUCCCUGAAAUUGUUAACAGAGUUAGGAGGUAGGCGAUGAAACCAUGAGAGGGCCUGCCCUUGAAGGCUGGCGGGGAAUACUUUGCAUAGCAAUGCAUCGUUGCCAAUAUCGAGCGUCAUAAGCUGUCGAUAGUGCAUGAUGUGAUCGAAGGGAUCGUUGGUCCCAUCGUAUGUGGAAAACUUUGGUAUGAGGAAUCCCCUUGGGGGCUCGUAAUGGGUGAUAUGAGAGCAAAAGGGCGUGGAGAGCAUGUCAUCCAGCCUUUUGCUGAUGGAGCCAAUGGGUGGCUCGUUUGGGAGGUUUCUCCCAGCUGGUCGUUCCGCUAGGUGUGAGUGAACGUUCCGCAUUGCUGGGGUGACCAUGGGGUCACGAUGCGGAGGUACAUUCUGCACCAUGGGAGCGAUCAUAGGAUCGGGGCGUGGUGCCCGGGUUGUGGCUACUGGUGGCCUUGAUCUCCCAGGCUCUUGUGGGCCUAGUCUUGCGCGCAUAGAACUUGACAACUGUGAUUUUCUAUCACGUUGUCUUUUUGCUGAAAAAUGAGUGGAAUCUGAGCUUUCCUCACGGGGAGCUCGAGGCAUAGGUGUACGUGGCUCAUGGGGCCUUGCGUUGUAUGCUCCUGGGACAGCUCCUGUUGACCCAGGAUAUAUUGAUUCUGGCUCUGGCCUUGAGUUUGCCACCUGGCCUCUUGAACGCUGACGACGAGGAGGACUUGACGUUGAGGCUUGAACGCGUAACACAGCGUUUUCUUCCCUUAACCUCUCCGUCUCCUGGAGGAGAGCUCUUAGCUGUUUUUCGCUCGCCAAUUGUCUUUUUUCGAUGGCCUGACGCCAUUCGAGAUUAUCUUCCUCCCCUCUACUAGAUGAUCGACUUUGGGAAGGUGUGGCCAUCUUUGCUAGUGACUGAAUCAAAAUAAAAAGUAAAGUUUCCCACAGACGGCGCCAAUGUUGUUGCCUCGCGUAUCCGGUGGUCCACGUUGCUGCUAGAUGGAUGGACACGCGAUUCUCAACACACAAAGGGUUCUUGAUUCAGCGGUUGUACCUGCAAAAGGCAUCCGGACAGGGUGUCCGGACACACCCUCCGAUGGUUUUGUUAGCCAUGGUAAGAGAGGAAGAUAUAUGAGGCAGUUGGCUUUUUACUAGGUAUCAGGAGGUUACUCAGAGAGGGAGAGCCAGAGUUCUUCUUCGUGUGAAGACUUAUAUAUACAGCUUUAAGGGUACUGUUCCUCUCAUUAAUGGUGAGGAGAUGUUUUAUGUUGUCAUGAUGACAUUAAGUAGCAGCAGGGACAUCAUCACCCUACGAGCGGCUGUCAGGAACCAUGGUAGGUGACGCGACUGUCAGAGAUCGUGGUAGGUGAUCAUGUAGAAUGAUCGUGGGAAGUGACUUGCUAUCACUUCAUCUUGUCUUCUCACUCUGCAGGUGACAAGAUGUGGGCCAUGGCUGCUUGUUGUGAUUGCGUGUAAGACUCGCUUUACUUUAAUUGACCAUCCAGACGAUUUAUAUCCGGAUGGCUCAUGCUGAUUAUCCGGAUGUGUUGUGGAGACUAUCCGGAUGUCUACGCUCUGCCAGCGUCGUUUGCUCUUCCUUGGAUAGGAGAAGCUGAAACGUCGUUUGCCUUUCCUUGAGGCGGUUCGGAUAGGAUAACUGCACCAUGCAUAUCCUUAGGGGAAUCCGGAUGAUGAUGGUCCGGCUAAUAACACGUGCCACGCGUCACCAUGAGCUGCGUGCCACGUGUUUCCCAAGGGGAGGGGUCCCUACAAUUAUAUCAUAGGAAGUUAGGGAUAAUCAUCUUGCUAAGUUGUCAACCGAUUGAAGAAAUUGUAGUAUUUGUUUUCAAAUCCCUUCCUUCAAGGGUCAAUUAGGAUUUUAGCCUUAGAAAGUAAUAUAUAUAUAUAUAUAUAAAGAAAUUGAAUGAGAAAAAAUAUUCCCAUUUUAUCACAUCUCUUAACUUCCUAUAAAAGAGGGAGACUUGUUAAUGACAUAUUAUUCAAUUUCUUUGUUAGCAUUUUAUUUCUCCUUUCUAAGUUUCUUCUCUUUCUACUUUCUUUUCAACAACAUGUUAUCAACACAAGCCUAUAACAACCGGUUUGAAACAUCAUUCUUUUUUUCUUCUUCUAAGAUUUCUACAUAAAACAUUAUGAGAAGGUAUUUCACAAUGUAGUUUUUUUUUGUGAUUAUUAUAAUUAUUCCUUGUCUCGUGUGAUAUAGAAUAUUACUUAAAUUUUAAUUAUUCAUAGACUUAAGUUAUGUAAAAUAUUUGUUAAAAUUCAUAUAGUAAAAAACUAUAUGAAAAUUAUUGUGUUUAUAGAUAACCAAAAGUUAUGUAAACUAUUAAUAUUAUUCAUAACUAGAGGUUAUGAGAAGUCAAAAGCUAUAUGAAAAUAUUAUAUUAUUAUACAUAGUCAAUGCAUUAUUAUUCUUAUUCAUAAUAAGAAGUUAUAAUAUGAGAAUAGUAAUUUAUAAUGUUUAUAUUAGCUAUAGAGUAUGUCAAAAUAAAAUAAAAUAAAAGAAUUGUGUCUUGGAAGUAUUAAAUUUUUUCAUUGUUGCAUGAUGUCUAUCUAAAUGAUAAUAGUAAUAAUUAAUUAAUUAAUAGACAUCCAUGCUUACCGUAUGUGCAUACAAGUCGGAACGAGUUUUAUGCACUGGCAAAGCCAGCCAAGGCCUAGGAGGGGUGCAUAACCCCAUUAAAAAUUAAAAUCAUAAUAAGGGUUUUGAACACCCUUAAUCUUCUAUUUAAGGGGAAAGCAUGCUUUCCACUGCACUAUAUAUAAUUGUCUCUCCAUAUUCCCCCCCCCCCNNNNNNNNNNNNNNNNNNNNNNNNNNNNNNNNNNNNNNNNNNNNNNNNNNNNNNNNNNNNNNNNNNNNNNNNNNNNNNNNNNNNNNNNNNNNNNNNNNNNGGGUUUGGACCCCCCUUUUUUUUUUUUUUAGGGGGAAAGCACCUUUUCCCCCGCCCAAAAAAAUAUGUUUUUCCCAUUUCCCCCCCCCCCCCCCCCCCCCCCCCUAAAAUAAUUCUUUUAUUUGUACCCCUCCUAGAGCAUAUUCUUAGCUUCACCACUAGUUUUAUGUAUGAAUUAUAAUACUUCUAUUUUAUGUUUGUUUCAUUUUACACUCAAAACUAUUAGUGGGAAUUCAAAUAUAUAUAUAUAUUCAUAAUUCAACGAAUCAAUGAAAAUGAAUAUUUUAUUUUUGUGAAAACUAUACCCAAAAGAAAGCUUUUUAUUAUUAUCUUACUUAAAAUUUUUUUUUUGGAUGGUUCAUGAGAUUAAGGUUUGGGUAUAGGAAUUUUUUUUUAACCCUACCCAAUCAUUAGAAAAAAAAGAAAAGAAAGGUUUAUUGCUUGUUUAAUUUGACCUUAUUCAACCACCUAAGUCAUUACUUGAAUUUUUCCCAUCAUGCUACUCUAGUUAGGAUUAUUUAUUUAUUUAUUUUGAAUGGUGUAUGAUUUCUUUUAUUUAUCAUAACGAGUUUAAACCAGUAGAGGAUUAAAAAUCCACUAUUAGAUAGACUUUUAUAAUUUUAUUUUUAUUUCAUUAUCUAUGAGAUUUUUCAAUUGUUAAUUAAAUUCGUCUUAGGCAUUAAUCUUCUUUUGAGGACUUCUAUGUUUGUUGGAUCAACAUCAUACAUGGGGUUUUCUAGUACUUUUCUUUUUAGAAACUUCACACUUGUUUAACACUAUAACAUUCUUAUAAACAGUCCUACUAAAUCAUGUAGCAUAGUCAUUGGAUACUUACUAUAGUAAUAAUAUAUGUAAUUUUAGGUUACUUACAUGUUUAUUUUGGGUUUAAUAAAAUGGGAUAUGGUGAAACAUUUUUAUGCACUCUUUUGAUCUACAAUAACAUUGGUUUAAGCUAAUUUUAUGUUAUAGUCAAUCUAGCUUUGGCUAUUGUGUGUGUGUAUAUAUAUAUAUAUAUAUAUAUUAAAUUAUAUUACUCUUCUAUGAAUUUGGGUUUUUUUGUUUGAAUAUCUUCUUCUUGAAAUAUUUCAUACAUAGUUCUCUAAUAAUGUCAAACCUCAUCAAACUGGGGUUUGGCACCCUUGAUAUCUUAAGAAAAAGCUACUUGUUAUGGAUAUUAGAUAUCAAAAUCCACCUUGAUAUCAUAAACCUUGGGAUAACCUAUAAGGAAAUAAAUGACACACCUUACAAGAUCACGUAAAAGCCUUAAUAUUCCUUUGCCAUCAUAUUGAUCAAGGGUUAAAAGGUGAUUAUGUCAUGCUAAAAGAGACUCUCAUUCUUUGAAGCAAUUUGAGAAAACAAUAUGACUACCAAAAUAUUGUGAUCUUGCCUAAAGCCCAUUAUGAUUGGUUGUAUUUAAGAUUACAAGAUUUUAAGUUUGCCAACAAAUACAAUUGUAAUAACCUUGAAGUAUUAAAAUAUAUAAAAAUAUUAAAAACAUUGAUAUUAGUAUGUUAAAUUAUGAGAGUUGGAAGUAGAGAUUUUGUAUAAAAGUUCCAACUAAAUUUGAGGAUUUAUAACUUGUUUAAUAAUUUUAUCAGUAGAAUGAUUAACCACAGAAUGAGAAAAUGAUAAUUAAUGAUUUAUCUAUAAUAGUGAUCUAUGGGGAUGGUUAUGGAGGUUUGGAGUUAGUUAAAUUUGAUAGAGAAUUGUUGGGUUUCUUAAAAGAGAUUAAUGUUCUCAUAAAUAUGAAGAAGAUAGUAGUUGAAAUUCUUGGAUGAAUUGGGGAUAUAAUUAGCCAUGUACUUAGGAUGAUCAACUAGUUGUGAAGUGGUUUAAUGAUGUACUAAAUGUAGUGAAAUUUUUUUGUAAAGGAAUUGCUAGCAUCAACAAUUAGGAUAACUAUGAUCCUAUGAGUUAGUUGAAAUAUUGUUUGAACUAUUGAUAGUUGUUGCUAAUAGUAGAUAUGUUCUUGGUUGUGAUAUUCUCUAUUAUUGAGACUUACUGAAAUUUGCACUAUGAGCAACAUGGAGAGUGUUAUAGGCACUUAUAAUUCAAAUUUAAAGCACCAUGAUAGGUGUCCUUAUAAAAAGUAAUAGAGGGCAAGGUCCCUCGGUGAGAGUCCUUAAAAGAAACAUUGUAAAGUAACCUAGGGUGAAAGACCCAAAAGAUCCUUAGAAGAUCCAUGUGUUGAUAUAAUAUGGGACAUGCAUAGACAUAUAUCCCUUAGUGAGAGUCCCUAAAAUAUAGGUACCCAUGGCUAUAGACAAAUGAUGUGCUACCUAAACAAUAUAUUAAAGUCUUAUGAAAGACAUAUGAUAAACUGGAAAUGAGUGAUUUUAAAAAUAUAUGUUUAUUUGGGUGAUAAUACAUACUUUUGAAUGAGUUCUUGUUUGGUGUUACUAAAAAGCAUGAAGAUGACAUUUUGUAUGAUCCAUUUUGUGAACAAAUCCUUUUCUACUAAGCUAUGAUUCACCUUUAUUUAAAAGUCUAUUUAUCAAACAUAGCUUAAGGGAUUAAGAAAAAAAAAAAAGAAUAGUUAAAGUAUUAUGCAAAGCUUGAAGAUUUUCUAUCGUUUGUGUUCAGUGUAAUUUUCUAUUGUAAAUGUAUAUUAAAAGCUACUUGGUAUCGUACAUGGUAGGAAAAUGAGAGUUUAGAAGUUGGUGAAGUAUUGUACAGUUGUGUGUAGGAACCUAGGUUGAAGGUUUUUAUUUUAAGGUUAAUAAAAUUUGAUUUUGAUUGCAUAAACUCAAGAUUUGCAAUUGUAAAUGAGUUUUUAGUGUUUAUAAUUUUUCAAUUGAAAUGUAUGGAAAUUUAAGAAUGAUUUUUUAGAAUUUUUGAUAUGUUGAAAAAUGGAGAAAAUAUGAAAGUGGGGAAAUCUUAGGGGGUCUAGUGGAGGUGUUGGAGGUACGCAACUUAAGUGGCAUACCUCUUUUCCCUUGUGUUAUAGGAGUGCAACUUAAAUGGUGUGUAAUUUAAGUGGCACACCUCUCUUCCCUUAUGGUUGAUGCACCUUUCUUCCCUUAUGUUCCAUAGGUGCACAACUUAAGUGGCACACCUAUCUCUUUUGCCUUAAAAUGGUUAUUUUUUUACCUUAACAUAGUUGUUUUACCCUAGCAUAGUUAUUACACCUCUCUAUUUUACUUCAACAUAGUUAUCUUUUUACCCUAGCGCAAUUAUUGCACCUCUCUGUUUUACCUCAUCACAUGUAGUUAUUUUACCUCAACAUAGCUAUUUCCUUAAUACUAUAUUUCUAUUUGAAAACUUAAAGUAAAUGGAGAGAUAAAUGAUAAAAUAAUAAAUUUUAAUUACAAAUUAACAAUAUUUUUUUUUUCAAAUUUUCUUCAAAAUAAAAUUCUCCCAAGUAAAAUUGUUGAAGAUAAAAAUCCCAUAAAUUUAAUUUGAGUAUCACCAAUAUGAAAACAAUAAAAUUUGUCAUUUUUUUAAAAUCUUAAACUGCAAAACUUUUAAAAAUGAAAUAUUUCUCAUACUUAGUCAAAUUUUCAACACAACAAAGUCCAUAAAUAAGAAAGACUUGAUGUUUUUCCAACUCAACAAGCUUUAUUUAAAAAGCUUUUAAAUGAUAAAAAUUUGGUCUCAAACACUAAAAUUCCCUUCUUAAUUCACAUCUCAAGUUCUAAAAUUGUAGGUUAGUCUUUAAUAAUAUCUUAAAACCAUAGUUUUAGACUUUAGGGCAUGAUAACCACUUUGCAUGAUGAUUCAAAAUUAACACUCAAUUGAAGCUAUGUGGAGAAAAGGUUAUUGAAAAAGACAUGAUAAAAAAGUCAUUUAUUACUUUUCAUACUUCAAAUAUGCUCUUAUAGAAGCAAUAUCAACGUAGAUUUACCAAAUAUUUAAAAUUAAUUUCAUGCUUUCUAGUUGUAUCCAUUUUUAUCCUUCAUAAUAUUUUCUACCAUAUAGUAUAAUGUUCUUUCUUAUCCUUGGAGGUAAGCAUGGUUGGUCGAACCACACUAAAACCUUGUGUACUUUUUGUGUGAUUGCUUUAUUUUUAUGCUUCUCUAUUAAUAUGUUUGCAUAAGAACUUUUUGCAUACCUAAUAAGUGGUAUUAAAGCUUCCACACAAGGAUGAAAAUAUCGGUUUUGAUGGAUAUAUCGGUAACUCGAUUUUACAGAUUUAUCAGGAAAUAUUGGCGGAUAUUUUGACACAAAAUAUUAAUAAGAUGAAAAUUGAUCAAAAUUCAUGAAAAUGUUGGAAAAAAAUCUAAAAAAUAAUAAAAGAAGUAACAAUAGACAUUUUGAAAUUAUUUUAUUGAAAGAAAUUGAUAUAUAUAUAUAUAAACAAAACCUGACUUCCUUUCCCGUGGCUCUGAUACCAUAGACACCUCGGAUGAGGUAAUAUGCAAUAAAAACAUGAAUUAUGCCAAAACUCAAAAUCAAAUAAGAGAAAUCGGAAACACACAAAGAUAUUUAAUAAAGAAAUUUAAAAAAAAACAUCAAACUUUAUAUUACAUAACUUGAAAAACAUACUUAUAAGGAGAAACGGAUAUAUAUAUAUAUAUAUAUAUGAUAUAAUUUGUCAUAUUCAAUAAUAAUAACGUAUGCGUUAAUAAAAAAUAUGAAUUUUUUAAGUGCACAUUUAUUAUUAAGUUACAUUAAAUAUUAUUUGACAAUAAUAUUAUAACAUUGAUACUAAUAUGUCCAACUUGAAAAUAUAUUUAAUUAAUAUUAAAACUAUAAUUUAUUUAAUUCAAAUGUAUUCAAUAAUAUAAAAUAAAUGGUGAUACAUGUAUAUUUUUUUUUUAAAUUUAUUUUUUAUACUAUCAUAUAUGAUAUAAAAAAAGACUAGUUAAGAAAAUUAUAAUGUUGAUUUUUAUAUUUUUAGUAAUUAAUUAAUUUAUUAAAAUAUUCUUUUAGUAUUUUGGUUUUAUCGAUGGAUUUUAAUAUCUUAAUGUUUGUGCAUAUAUACAAUCAAGGGUAGCUUUGCCUUGGUGGUUACCCAAGGUUAGUUUGAGCCUUUUGACUUGAGUUCAUUUUUGGGUUUGCUCAUGUUGACUAGCAAGAGAAGCAUCUUUUGAUUGCAUUAAUGGAUUGGAAAUAUCAAGAAAUUCCAAAAAAAGUUGGCAAAAAAAACGGGUAAAUGCCAAAGUAUCGAUGAUAUUUCCGAAAAAAUAACGAAAAAUCUUUCAUUUGAAAUUCCGAUGGUGGAUAUCGUGUCAACCCACAUCAUUCCACGAAAUAUCGAUGAUAUUUCGUUGAUAAAUCCCAAAAUUCAAACCUUGCUUCCACAUGCACGACAUAAUAAUGUAGUGUAUUAAUUUCUUCCUCCAUGAUAUAUGACCACGUUAAAUCCUUGUUUCUCAUUUUUUAUUUAUUUUUUGCUCCCUCAAUUAUGGAUAAGAUAUUUUAAUAAUAUGACAAGUUGAGCUUCAAAUCAAAUUGUUUAAAAAGCAAAUUUCAUUACAAGAUGACACAAACGAAAAAAAACUAGACCCCUCCUAACUAGUUCUAAGUGGACAACUUAGUUGAUUGCAAACCUCCAUUUAAUUCAUAACAAAUAUUCAUAUUUUUCUAAGUGGACAAUUUAGCUUAUUUCAAACUUCCAUUUAAUUCAUCUAAGUGGAUAACUUAGUUGAAGUUAAAUCUCCAUUUAAUUGAAAGUAAAUAUUCAUAUUUUGACGAGGAAUAACUUAGAAUAGUUACAAGUGAAAUAGUUAGUUGAUUUGAAGACUUCAACUAAUGCAUAAUAAACGUUUAUAUUCUCUGUUAGGUCCACAAGAAUUAGAAUAGUUCAAAGUGGACAAAGGAUAUUUCAAAUCUCCACCUAAUGUACAAUAAAUAUUCAUAUUUCUAAUACAUAAUAAAUAUUCAUAUUUUCUCGACAGCAUAGUUGAAUUUAAAUCUCCAUCUAUUGCACAAAAGAUAUUCAUAUGUUCUAAGUGGACAAGUUUGUUGAUUUGGCAUCUUCAUCUAAUUCAUAAUGAAUGUUUAUAUUUUCUAUCAGGCUACACGCAACUUAAAAUAAUACUAAGUAGGCAAGUUGGCUUAUUUGGAGUCUUGACCUAAUACAUAUUUUUUAUUAGGCCCAUGUGAUUUAAAAUAAUCCAAAGUGGACAACUUGUAGAAUACUUCUAAAUUGACAAGGAUUUAAUAUUACAAUACAAACAUUUACCAUUAUAAAAUUAAGUUGUAAAACAAAACUUAGUUAUCACUAUCUUAAUAAAUUAUCAAAUCAAGUUAGAUAAUAUAAUUAUCAAAGUAAAAAUAUCGAGAAAACUCUAAAUUUUAAUUUAUAAAAUUACAUAUCUCUUCCUUAAUACACUUGAAAUAUAAGUUAAUUAUCACUAUCUUGAUUAAUUAUCAAAUCAAGUAUAGAUGAUAUAAUUAUCAAAGUAAAAGCAUCGAGAAAACUAUAAAUUUUAAUUUAUAAGAGUACAUAUAUCUGUUAAUAUACCUAAAGCCUAUUUGAUAAUGAUUUUAGGAAGCACUUUUAACCUAAAAAAUAUUUAUAAAAAAAAAAAAUUAGGUGUUUGCCAAAAUAUAGAAAACAUUUUUAAAAGUCUAAAAAAAAUCUCUUAUAAUGUUGGAAAAUCACCUAUAGUAUUUUCUAAAGAAACACUUUAUAGGUGAUUAUUCUAAAAUAUUUUCAGAGAAAAUACUUCUACUAAAAAUACUUCAAAUAAAAACACUAUUAAACAUACUCUUAAGUCUUAAUAACAUACAAAAGUGUUCUCUACAACAAAUGAAAAUGAAAUUUGAUAUGUUUAUAAAGAAAAUCCAAUGUUAAUUUCAUCUUACAUUUUAAAUACAUAAAUAUCUUUACUUGAAAUCAAACUAGUUAACAUUCUUACUUAGCUAGGUUUCAACUUGAACAAUUAAUUGUGAGAGGUGCUUAUUAAUGAUGCUUGUUAGCUUUGCAUAUUUUUAUAAAUGUCUUUUAUUAAAAUUUUCAACUAUUUUACAAAGAAUAUGAACAAAUUAGGUGAUUUGAAUUUUUAUUAAUAUGAGCUUGCCCAUUUGGUUUUCUUCCCAAGUUUCACUUACAUCCUUGUGCUUUAUGUAAGAAGUAAUUCAUUGAUUAUAUCUUCUCAUCCAUUAAUUUUCUCUAAAAUAUUUGUAUGCUUCCAAAUUUCACAUGAUAAGAAAAAAGACAUCCAUUAUGCACCAUUUAAACCAAACCAAUAUUUUAAAUUAUGAAAACUUUGAAAUAUUAAUUUUUUUUUUCUUAUUUAGUGCUUAGGUUAUAUGUUUGGUUCCCAAAAAAUAUUAUGGAAAGAAAAAAAAAUUAAGAAAAUUUGUUUUCUCAUAUUUGAUUCCACCGUAAAAAAUGUAAAAGGAAAUAAAAUAUAAUUAAAAUUUAUAUACUUUUAAAUUAUUUAGUACUUAGAGUUAAAUAAAUAAAAUGAGUUUAAACAAGCAUAUACAAAUAAUUUAUAAUUGACUUUAAAGUUAUUUUUUUAUUUUCCUUUAAUAUUUCUUUCUUCUACUUUGAUUUGCAUUUCCCCUCAAAUUUUUUAAGAACCAAACAUAGCCUUAAUAAAUAAAAAGAAUUUGGCCAAUUCAUUUUUGUAAUAAAUUUAUUAUAUGGUUUUCUUUUAGUUGAAGUAAUAAAUGGUAUUUUGAUUUUACGAUGGACUUUAAUAUCUUAAUGUUUGUGCAUAUAUACAAUUAAGGGUAGAUUUGCCCUAGUGGUUGCCUAGGGUUAGUUUGAGCCUUUUGACCUAGUUCAUUUUUGGGUUUGAUUGUGUUGACUAGUAAGAGGAGUGCCCUUUGAUUGCAUUGAUGGGUUGAAAAUAUCAAGAAAUUCCCAAAAAAUGUUGGCAAAAAAACCAAUAAAUGUUAAAGUAUCGAUGAUAUUUUUGAAAAAAUAACAAAAAGUCUCUCAUUUAAGAUUUCAACGGUGGAUAUUGUGUCAACCCACGUCGUUGCACGAAAUAUCAGUGAUAUUUUAAUGAUAAAUCCCAAAAUUCAAACCUUGCUUCGACAUGCACGACAUAAUAAUGUGGUGUACUAAUUUCUUCCUCCCUAACAUAUGACCACAAUAAAUCCUUGUUUCUCAUUUAUGAUUUACUUUUUGCUCCCUCAAUUAUGCAUAAGAUAUUUUAAUAAUAUGAUAGUUGAGCUUGAAAUAAGAUUGUUUAAAAAACAAAAUUCAUUAAAAGAUGACACAAAACGAAAAAAAACUAGACCCCUCCUAGUGCACAACUUAGUUUAUUUCAAAUCUCCAUUUUAUUCAUAACAAAUAUUCAUAUUUUCUAGGUAGAUAAUUUAGCUUAUUUCAAAUCUCCAUUUAAUUCAUAAUAAAUAUUCAUAGUUUCUAAGUGGAUAACUUAGUUGAAGUUAAAUCUCCAUUUAAUUGAAAGUAAAUAUUCAUAUUUUUACGAGGAAUAACUUAGAAUAGUUACAAGUGGAAUAGUUAGUUGAUUUGGAGUCUUCAACUAAUGCAUAUAUAAUAAAUAUUUAAAUUCUUUGUUAGGUCCACACGACUUAGAAUAGUUCUAAGUGGACAAAGGGUAUUUCAAACCUCCACCUAAUGCACAAUAAAUAUUCAAUUUUUCUAAGAAGAUGUGUUAAAAUAAUUCUAAGUGAACAAAUUAGCUAAGUUGGAGUCUUCACCUAAUAAAUAAUAAAUAUUCAUAUUUUCUAGGCGGACAACAUAGUUGCAUUUGAAUCUCCAUCUUAUGCACAAUAAAUAUUCAUAUGUUCUAAAUGGACAAGUUUGCUAAUUUGGCAUCUUCAUCUAAUUCAUAAUGAAUAGUUAUAUUUUCUAUCAAGCUUAUUAGAAAUCUCAACCUGAUACAUAUUUUCUAUUAGGCCGGCCCAUGUGAUUUAAAAUAAUCCCAAGUGGACAACUUGUAGAAAUAAUUCUAAGUUGGCAAGGAUUUAAUAUUACAACACAAACAUUUACCAUUAUGAAAUUAAGUCAUAAAACAAAACUUAGUUAUCAUUAUCUUAAUAAAUUAUCAAAGCAAGUAUGGAUAACAUGAUUAUCAAAGUAAAAAUAGGGAGAAAACUAUGAAUUUUAAUUUAUAAGAGUUCAUAUCUCUUGCUUAAUAUACUUAAAAUCAAAGUUAUCAUUGUCUUAAUUAAUUAUCAAAUCAAGUAUAGAUGAUAUAAUUAUCAAAGUAAAAAUAUCAAGAAAAUUAUAAAUUUUAAUUUAUAAGGGUACAUAUAUCUAUUAGAGUCCAUUUGAUAGUGACAAUGAUUUUAGGAAUCGCUUUUACCGUAAAAAGUGUUUUUGGAAAAAAUUAGGUGUUUGAAAAAAUUUAAGAAACACUUUAAAAAAAUCUAAGAAAUAACUUGUAGUGUUGGAAAAUCACUUAAUGUUUUAUGGAGAAACAUUAUAAUUAUAUGUAGAAAAAAAAUAAUAGAGUUAUUGUGAACUGAUUUUUUAUCCAUAAAUUUUUUGUAUUAAUGGGUUCACUAUUUGAGUUUCAAAUACUUUUUAAAUAUUACUAGACUCAUUAUUGAAUCCAAUGCAUUAAGUCUUGUUUAAUUUGGAGUUUAUUUGCUUAGCGAAAAAAAUUUGAAAAAUAUAAUUCUAUAUAGAAGAAAAAGAUAGAGUCGUUCGAUACCAAUUUUUGUUCAUAAAUUUCUAGUACUAUUUGAGUUUUAAGUUAUCUUUAAAAUUAUUAAACUUAUUAAUGAAUCAAACACAUUAAGUCUUACUUAAUUUAGAAUUUAUUUGUCUAAUGAAAAAUUUUUCAAAAAUAUGAUUAUAAGUAAAGAAAAAACUAGACAAGUCAUAUGGUCUUCCUUUAAAUUGCAUUUACUUAUCUGAAUUUUUUUUUUAAUUUCUUAAAAAAAAUUCAUUAAAUAGAUAAAUUUCAAAUCAAAUUAUACUUGAUACAUAAAAUUGAUUAAUUUUCUAAAAUAAAUUGAAACUUAAAAAUUGAUUUAAUUAGCACUAAAAAUAUAGAACUUAAUAACAUUAGAAAGUCAUAAACCAAAAUUUAUUUUAAAUGACUUUAGUUAGUUUUUUCUUUAUAUAUAUAGCAAAUAAACUUCAAAUCAAGCAAGACUUGAUGUGUAAGAUUUAUUAACGAGUUUAGUAAUUUUUAGAAAUAAUUUAAAACUCAAAUAGUGAUCUUCCAACAAUUUAUGGACAAAUAUUGGUAUAGAACGACUCUAUUGUUUCUCUUCUACGUACAUAGAAUCAUAUUUUUCUGAUUUAUUUUCACUAGACAAAUAAAUUUCAAAUUAAAUAACACUUAAUAUAUUAGAUUCAUUACCAAAUACAUUAAUUUUUAAUUUAUAACUCAAACAAUAAUUCAAUUAAUACAAGAAAUUUAUAGAUAAAAAUUAGUCCAACUAUUAUUUCUUUUUUACAUAUGAUUAUAUUUUUAUAAAUUCUUUUAUUGGAUAAAUGAACUUUAAAUCAUGUGACACUUUGUAUUGAAUUUAAUAAUCUUUAAAAAUAAUUUAAAAUUUAAAAAAUUGAUCAAUUAAUUGCAAAUCAAAGCAAAAUAUUUUAGAAUACUUUGUUUCUAAUUGAGUUCUAAAUGUGUGUAUGCAAUAAGAAAUUUAAAAUAGUUUAAAAAAUAUUUUCAAAUCCAUUAGUUAUCCCAAACUUUUCUCAUCAUUUUUUAAAAGAAAAGAAAAUGAUUUUUUAAUGUUUGGUUUUCACAUGGAAGAAAUUGAAUAUAAUUAAAAUUAGUUCAAAACUUUUGUAUUUUCAAAUUAUUUAUUUUUUAUGUAGAAAAAUUAAAAUAAAUGAAAUGAAUUUAAAGAGCAUACUAAAUAAUUUAUUGAAUUUAAAACUAUUUUUAAUUUUCAUUCACUUUUUUUCCUCACAUUUUCUGUUAAAUUUAUAUGAGAAACACACAAAAUCUUAGUAUUUGCCUUUUUUUUUUUUGUUAGUUAAUGUUGUUUUCCCUUGUCUUUUUCCGAUGGUAUUUAAAAAUAAUAAAUUUGUUCCCUUUCCUCGGUAUUUUUCCAAAUUUCGGAUUCGUACGUUGGAAUAAUCAGCCUAAUGUCCAUCCACCCCUAUAAAGAUAUCUCUUACUUUGUUCCAUAUUCUCUCACAAUUCCCUCAGCUUCUCAUCUUGUACGUGCUGUAUUUUCUUCGCUUUCUGCUACUUUGAGUUGUUCCAAAAUGGCUGACCAAAUUCCAUUCGGUGUUGUGGAGCACAUUUUGACCAAGUUGGGGUCCAAGGCGUUUCAAGAAAUUGGAUCCAUGUAUGGUGUUCCAAAGGAGAUGACCAAGCUCAAGGACAACCUGGACGUCAUCAAAGGUGUACUUCUGGAUGCUGAGGAACAGCAGCAGCAGAAAACUCGUGGAAUAGAAGCUUGGGUCCAGAAGCUCAAAGGCGCCGUGUAUGACGCAGAUGACUUGCUGGAUGAUUAUGCAACCCAUUAUCUACAGCGAGGAGGAUUCGCAAGGCAGGUCAGUGACUUCUUCUCACCUGUAAAUCAAGUUGUUUUUCGCUUUAAGAUGAGUCAUAGACUCAAGGAUAUCAAUGAAAGGCUGGACGCUAUCGAAAAAAAAAUCCCCAUGUUAAAUCUCAUUCCACGGGACAUAGUACUACACACACGGGAAGAGAGGAGUGGGAGAGAAACCCACUCAUUCUUGUUGCCGUCUGAUAUUGUAGGAAGAGAAGAAAACAAAGAGGAGAUAAUAAGGAAGCUGUCAUCUAACAAUGAAGAAAUUCUUUCCGUUGUUGCCAUUGUUGGCUUUGGGGGAUUGGGUAAGACCACCCUCACUCAAUCGGUAUACAAUGACCAAAGAGUAAAACAUUUUCAGUAUAAGACAUGGGUUUGCAUUUCUGAUGAUUCUGGUGAUGGUCUUGACGUCAAACUGUGGGUCAAAAAGAUUUUAAAAUCUAUGGGAGUUCAGGAUGUGGAGAGUCUGACCUUGGAUGGUUUGAAAGACAAGCUUCACGAAAAAAUAAGUCAAAAGAAGUACUUGUUAGUACUUGAUGAUGUUUGGAACGAAAAUCCUGGAAAAUGGUAUGAACUGAAAAAAUUGUUGAUGGUUGGUGCUAGAGGAAGUAAAAUUAUAGUAACCACCCGAAAACUUAAUGUUGCAUCCAUUAUGGAAGAUAAGUCUCCCGUUAGUUUGAAAGGUCUAGGAGAAAAGGAGUCUUGGGCUUUAUUUUCAAAAUUUGCAUUUAGAGAACAGGAGAUUUUGAAGCCAGAAAUUGUAGAAAUUGGAGAAGAAAUUGCAAAAAUGUGCAAGGGAGUUCCUCUCGUUAUUAAGUCUUUAGCAAUGAUAUUGCAGUCUAAAAGAGAACCGGGGCAGUGGUUGUCUAUUAGAAACAAUAAAAAUUUGCUGUCACUUGGAGAUGAAAAUGAGAAUGUUCUAGGGGUGCUGAAAUUAAGUUAUGAUAAUUUGUCAACUCAUUUGAGACAAUGUUUUACAUAUUGUGCUUUAUUUCCAAAAGACUAUGAGAUUGAGAAAAAGUUGGUGGUACAUCUAUGGAUAGCACAAGGUUAUAUUCAAUCUUCAAAUGAUAAUAAUGAGCAAGUAGAGGAUAUAGGGGAUCAAUAUGUUGAGGAAUUAUUGUCAAGGUCAUUGUUGGAGAAGGCGGGAACCAAUCAUUUUAAAAUGCAUGACCUUAUACAUGAUCUUGCACAAUCAAUUGUAGGAUCUGAGAUCCUUGUUUUAAGAAGUGAUGUAAAUAACAUUCCAGAAGAAGCUCGUCAUGUAUCAUUGUUUGAAGAGAUAAAUCCUAUGAUAAAGGCUCUAAAGGGAAAACCCAUAAGAACCUUUCUUUGUAAAUAUUCUUAUAAAGAUAGUACAAUUGUAAAUUCAUUUUUUUCAUGUUUUAUGUGUUUACGUGCAUUGAGUUUAAGUUGUACGGGUAUAAAGGAGGUGCCAGGGCAUUUAGGCAAAUUGAGUCAUUUAAGGUAUCUUGAUCUUUCCUACAAUGAGUUUAAGGUACUUCCGAAUGCUAUUACAAGGUUAAAGAAUUUGCAAACACUAAAACUCACCAGCUGUAAGAGAUUAAAAGGAAUUCCAGACAAUAUAGGAGAAUUGAUCAAUCUUAGACACUUGGAGAAUGAUAGUUGUUAUAACUUGGCUCAUAUGCCACAUGGAAUCGGCAAGUUGACUUUACUUCGAAGUCUACCAUUGUUUGUGGUUGGGAAUGACAUAGGGUUAAGGAAUCACAAAAUUGGUAGCUUGAGUGAAUUGAAAGGCCUUAACCAACUAGGAGGAGGGUUAUGCAUAAGUAAUCUUCAAAACGUGAGGGAUGUUGAACUGGUAUCCAGGGGGGAAAUUUUGAAAGGAAAACAAUAUCUUCAGUCCUUGAGAUUGGAAUGGAAUCGGCGGGGCCAAGAUGGGGAGUAUGAGGGUGAUAAGUCAGUGAUGGAAGGCCUUCAACCACACCGACACCUAAAGGAUAUCUUUAUAGAAGGUUAUGGAGGUACGGAGUUUCCAAGUUGGAUGAUGAAUGAUGGGUUGGGUUCCCUGUUUCCCUACCUAAUUGAAAUUGAAAUUUGGGAAUGUUCAAGAUGCAAAAUUCUGCCACCCUUUUCUGAACUCCCUUCUCUCAAGUCUUUGAAGCUUGAUGAUAUGAAAGAAGCGGUGGAGUUAAAGGAGGGUUCAUUAACAACGCCACUCUUCCCAUCUCUUGAAUCGCUCAAACUCUGUUCCAUGCCAAAGUUGAAGGAAUUGUGGAGGAUGGACUUACUAGCAGAGGAGGGUCCUUCAUUUUCUCAUCUUUCGAAGUUAUAUAUUUAUAAAUGCUCUAGUUUGGCAUCACUGCAUCCGUCUCCUUCUCUUUCUCAAUUAGUGAUCAGAAAUUGCCAUAACUUGGCAUCACUGCAUCCUUCUCCUUCUCUUUCUCAAUUAGAGAUCGGACAUUGCCGUAACUUGGCUUCCUUGGAACUGCAUUCAUCUCCUUGUCUUUCAAAAUUAGAGAUCAUAUAUUGCCAUAGCUUGGCAUCCUUGGAACUGCAUUCAUCUCCUUGUCUUUCAAAAUUAAAGAUCAGCUAUUGCCAUAACUUGGCAUCCUUGGAACUGCAUUCAUCUCCUUGUCUUUCAAAAUUAGAGGUCGGAAAUUGCGAUAAUUUGGCAUCCUUGGAACUGCAUUCUUCUCCUUCUCUUUCUCAAUUAGAGAUCGAAGCUUGCAGUAACUUGGCUUCCUUGGAACUGCAUUCAUCUCUCUCUCCUUCUCGAUUAAUGAUCCAUAGUUGCCCAAACUUGACAUCCAUGGAACUGCCGUCAUCUCUUUGUCUUUCUCAAUUAUAUAUCAGAAAUUGCCAUAAUUUGGCAUCCUUGGAACUGCAUUCUUCUCCUUCUCUUUCUCAAUUAAACAUCCAUGAUUGCCCAAACUUGACAUCCAUGGAACUGCGGUCAUCUCUUUGUCUUUCUGAUUUAGAAAUCAGUAAAUGCCCUAACUUGGCAUCCUUCAAAGUGGCUCCAUUACCUUCUCUUGAGACACUAUAUCUGUUCAGAGUUAGAUAUGGUGCGAUAUGGCAGAUAAUGUCUGUCUCUGCUUCUUCUUCGUUGAAGUCUCUGCAUAUUGGAAGCAUAGAUGAUAUGAUAUCUCUCCCGAAGGAGCUACUUCAACAUGUUUCUGGCUUGGUAACGUUAGAGAUCCGUGAGUGUCCUAACUUGGCAUCCUUGGAACUGCCGUCAUCUCCUUCUCUUUCUGGAUUAACGAUCCGUGAUUGCCCAAACUUGACAUCCAUGAAACUGCCGUCAUCUCUUUGUCUUUCUCAAUUAGAGAUCAUCGAUUGCCAUAACUUGGCAUCCUUGGAACUGCAUUCUUCUCCUUCUCUUUCUCAAUUAGUGAUCAGAAAUUGCCAUAACUUGGUAUCCUUGGAACUGCCGUCAUCCCAUUGUCUUUCUAAAUUAAAGAUCAUAAAAUGCCCUAACUUGGCAUCCUUCAAUACGGCAUCAUUACCUCGUCUUGAGGAACUAAGCCUGCGUGGAGUCAGAGCAGAGGUACUGAGGCAGUUCAUGUUUGUCUCUGCUUCUUCUUCAUUGAAGUCUCUGCGUAUACGGGAGAUUGAUGGUAUGAUAUCUCUCCCAGAGGAGACGCUUCAAUAUGUUUCCACUCUCGAAACUCUCUACAUUGUUAAGUGCUCUGGUUUGGCAACAUUACUACACUGGAUGGGCAGCCUUUCCUCGCUUACGGAACUUAUUAUUUAUGACUGCUCUGAAUUGACAUCACUGCCAGAAGAGAUCUAUUCCCUAAAAAAACUGCAGAAAUUUUAUUUCUGUGAUUAUCCACACCUACGGGAAAGAUACAACAAGGAAACAGGUAAAGACCGGGCCAAGAUUGCUCAUAUCCCACAUGUUCGUUUCUACCUUGAUUCCGAUAUGGAAUGGCAGGUAGGUCCGAAAUCCCUAACCUUUCUUCCCAUUUUUAUUAUUUAAGAAUCAAAAUGCUAUGUUUUCAUUUUGUCUCUGGUAGUUCUUUUAUGUUGGCACCUCAUAUGUUUGUUUAAAUGCUCACAUCAAUAACUUUUUGAAAAAUUUUCCAGAUUAACAUCAUUUGCUGAUGCUGUGCACUAAACUAAUCAUUUUACUUGGGAGUUGUACAUUCUAAGAGUUUGAGGAAAUAUUGAGGUCUGGUAUGAUAACUCUCAAUCCUUGGAACUGCAUUCAUCUCCUUCUCUUUCUCGAUUAACAAUCCAUGAUUGCCCAAACUUGGCAUCCUUCAAUGUGGCAUCAUUACCUCGUCUUGAGGAACUAAGCCUGCGUGGAGUCAGAGCAGAGGUACUGAGGCAGUUCAUGUUUGUCUCUGCUUCUUCUUCAUUGAAGUCUCUGUGUAUACGGGAGAUUGAUGGUAUGAUAUCUCCCAGAGGAGCCGCUUCAAUAUGUAUCCACUCUCGAAACUCUCUACAUUGUUAAGUGCUCUGGUUUGGCAACAUUACUACACUGGAUGGGCAGCCUUUCCUCGCUUAAGGAACUUAUGAUUUAUGAAUGCUCUGAAUUGACAUCACUGCCAGAAGAGAUCUGUUCCCUUAAAAAACUGCAGAAAUUUUAUUUCUGUGAUUAACCACACCUAGAGAAAAGAUACAACAAGGAAACAGGUAAAGACCGGGCCAAGAUUGAUCAUAUCCCACGUAUUAAUUUCCAAAGUGAUCGAGUUAUGGAAUAUAAGGUCCGAAAUCCCUAACCUUUCUUCCCAUUUUUAUUAUUUAAGAAUCAAAAUGCUAUGUUUUCAUUUUAUUAUUAUGUUUUCAUUGUAUCCCUGGCACCUCAUAUGUUUGUUUUUACUGCUCACAUUAAUAAUUUUGAAAUUUUUUUCCAGCUUGGAUACGCUUUCCGAUGAUGUGCACUAAACUAACAAUUUUACUUGGAGUUGUACAUUCUAAGAGUUUGAGGAAAUACUGAGGUCUGAUAUGAUAACUCUCAAUCUUAAACGUUGUUUUGUGUUUGGAACGUUACUACACUUGAUACAUACCCUCACCUCACUUACAGAGCUUGGAAAUCGUGGCUGCCUUGAAUCGACGUCACUGUCAGAAUAUAUGUUCCCUCAAAAACCUGCAGACACUAAAUAAUCUGCAUCUGUUCACAGAAAGAUGCUGAAAGGAAAGGUGAAGACCAACCCAAGAUUGCUCAUAUGCCACAAAUUGAUAUCAUACAUCCAUGAAGAUUGAACUGAUACACAAUGCCUUUCAGGUCUGAAAUCCCUAACUUUUCUUCUCAUUUUCUAUGACUUCAUUUUCAUUAUCUUACUUUUAAAAUGCUCUGUUUUCAUUUGUUUUGGUAGUUCUUUGUAUUUGUGCCUUACUUGUUUGAUUAAAUGCUUACAUCUUCAAAUUAUUUUAUUCUAAGUGUUUUGCAUUCUAAGAGUUUGAGGAAAUACUGAGCUCUAAUAUAACUAGUAGAGUCCACCAUUCCUAAGAAGCUUACCAUUUCCUAGUGCCCAAAGGAUCCCGAAAGGAGACAACUUUGGAUUGGCUUGAAGAUUUCCCAUGGUCCAAAAAUUUGUAUUUACUAGACGCUUGAUACAAAAAGUAGUUUAAAUUUAGCCAUUAAUAUAACUUUUUUAUUAGAGAAAUAAUUGCCAAACAAAUGCAAAAUAGAAAAUGGUGUUAAUGAAUUCAGUCCUUCAUCUAUAUUGCAGUUUAGCAGCUUUUGUUAGAUAACAGGUAUGGGGUUGGGUUUAUUAUGUUACCAUUCCAAAUAUUCUUAAAAAAAUCAUCAAGGCUUUGUUUGUUUUCUUGAAAAUUUGAAGGAAAAAAUAAAGAGAAAAAGUGGAAGGAAAAAAAAAAGUGGAAGUCAAUAAAUUAUUUUUAUAUUAUACUUUAAACUCAUUUCACUUUUUUUUAACUCUUUGAUUUAAAGAUUAAAUAAUUUGAAAAUGUAUAAAUUUAUAAUUAAUCUUAAUUAUAUUUGAUUUUCUUUGGUAUUUUCCAUAGGACAAUUAAACUUGAGAAAAUCAUUUUCCUUAACAUUAUUUUCUUAGUACUUUUCGGGAACCAAGCAUAACCUAAAUGUUCUAGUUUAGUUUAGCAGCUUCAUCAAAUUAGAUAGACAACCUCACAUCUCUUAUUCAGCUGAGGUGUUAUGUUAGUUAAUGUUUUGUCUCUGCUUCUUCAUUGAAGUCUGUCUAUUGGAUGCACAGAUGAUAUGAUCCAAACUUAAAUUGAACGUUGCUCUUGUUUUGCAACAUUACUGUACUAGAAAGGCAACUUGAACUCACUUAUAGACCUACCUAUUGGUGACUGCAUUGAAUUGACAUCACCUUAGAAGAGAUGUGUUCCACAUGGAAAAUCUUUCAUUAUAUGCACCUACUUGCAAGAUACCAAAAGGAAACGGGUGAAUACUUGCCCAAGAAUACAAAGGGCCACACUUGGUGAAGGUUUCAUCAGUAAGGAGAACCAUUUCAAGUAUGAAAUCCUCCAUUCUCAUUUUUUGAUGACUUCAUUUUUAUUCAAUAUCCAUUUGAAAUAAUUUAAGUUCAUUUUCUUUAGAUAUUAUAUUUUCUUGCUUGCUCAAUAAUUUCAUUCAAGUAAGUUGUUUGGAUAUCACAUUUUCUUUGGGUUUUUUUCUUUUUAGAAUAAUUUCAAAAUGUCAUUUUUUACUAUUCACAAAAUUUGAUCAUAGUUGAGUGAUUAAAAUUCAAGUUUAUUCUUAUUAUCAUUAGUAGUUAUUUGAUAUAUUUGUUUGCUAAUACAAAAAUAAGACUAACAAGUAAUGUGCAUAGAGUUUGUAGAAGAGAAGAAAGAUUUGAUCCAAGAUAUUCCUAAAGAUCGGAAACUUUCAAAGCCACCCAAGAUCCCACAGGUUGAAUUCAGAUUCAUUCAGUUUACAAUCCAUUAAUUCUACUUAUAUCAUCUUUGUUAUGUUACAAUUUGCCUUUACUUGUUAUGCAGCCUACCUUAAUAAUUUGGGGAGACCAAGAUAAGGUAUUCCUAGUAGAAUUGGCUCACAAAUUGAAAAGGUAAACUUGUAUCACCUACCUACAUACCUACAACAAUACAAACACUAGCUCAUGUCUUUCUCACUAUUGAAAUUGUUAUUGCAUGCAGACAUUUCAGGUGAGGAGGCCCAACUUGUGAUCAUAGAGCAUACUUUUAUUAUAGAGAAGCCCAAGGAAAUAUUUAAGCACUUGAAAUCCUUUCUCAUUGAUUUGCUUCCACCUCCCAAGCAACACCUAGAACCACUCGCACCAUGACGAAGUUAAAAGGAACUAAUGCAACAUUCUCAAUAUAUUAGAAUAUAUCGAAGGAAGGGUGGCCACAUAUGAAGACCCUAUUCCAAGGUCAAAUUUUAGAUUUUUGUGUUUUUCUUAUCACUAUUCCUAUACUAUUACUAGUGCACCUUAUUUGUCAAGAUGAUUAAAAGGGAAUUCCCUAGGAUAACUAGUGUCUCAAGUGAUCUUGAGGUUCAUAAAUUUUUGGUUUCCAUAAGAUAGGUGCCAACUAUUUUUAUUUUUUUUACACCCAUGCAAUAUUCCGGUCAUCUAUUAACAAAGGCUAAAAUUUCUUGUAGAGAAUAGAAUAAAGAACUAAAUUACAUGCAAAUAGGACAUUAUUAUUCUAUUUACAAGUAAGGGCCAAAAAUUAUUGAGGGCCAUCAAGCACAUUGUUCCUAAAAUAAUAGCAUCCAUGUUGUUGAGCAAAAGUUUUUUUAUAUUGGCACCUCAUAUGUUUGUUUAAAUGCUCACAUCAAUAACUUUGAAAAUAUUUUCCAGAUUUUCAACAAAUUGUAAUGUUGUGCACUAAAUUAAUCAUUUUACUUGGAGUUCUACAUUCUAAGAGUUUGAGAAAAAACUAAGGUCUGAUAUGACAACUCUCAAUCUUAAAUGUUGUUUUGUGUUUGGAAUAUUACUGCACUUGAUAGAUGCCCUUACCUCUGUUACAGAACUUGGAAUUCAUGGCUACCCUGAAUUGACAUCCCUACCAGAAGAUAUGUUCCCUUAAAAGCUUGCAGACACUAAACAAUUUGCAGCUGUUCACACUUAGAGGAAAGUUGCUGAAAGGAAAAGUGAAGACUAACCAAAGAUUGCUCAUAUCCCACAAAUUGAUAUCAUACAUCCAUGAAGAUUGAACUGAUACAGAAUGUCUUUUAGGUCCGAAAUCCCUAACUUUUCUUCUUAUUUUCUAUGACUUCAUUUUUAUUAUCUUACAUUCAAAAAUCUUCUGUUUUCAUUUGUUUUGGUAGUUCUUUUUAUUUGCACCUUAUUUGUUUUAUUAAAUGCUUACUCCAGUAAGUUUGAAAAUUUUUACAUCUUCAAAUCAUUUUGCUUGAGUGUUUUGCAUUCUAAGAGUUUGAGGAAAUACUGAGCUCUAAUAUAAAUAGUAUUGGUCAUAGAGUCUUCCUUUCUUAAGAAGCUUACCAUUGACCUAAUGGCCAAAGGAUCCCAAAAGGAAACGACUUUGGGUUGGCUUGAAAAUUUCACAUGGUCCAAACAUUCAUAUUUACUAGAUGCCUGAUAUAAAAGAACUUUUGUUCUCUUUUCAAUUUAGCCAUUGAUGUAGUCUAAAUGUUUUAUUAGAGCAAUAAUUGUCGAGUAAAUGCAAAAUAGAGAAUGGUGUUAAUGAAUUCAGUACUUCAUCUAUGUUGUAGACUUGUAGUUUAGCAGCUUCUGCUGAUAAUGAGUGUGGGGUUGGCUUUAUCAUGUCACUGUUCCAAAUAUUCUUUAAAAAAUCAUUUAAGCUCUGUUUGGUUCUUAGAAAAUUUGAGGGAAAAUGUGAGGAAAACAAAAUAGAGAGGAAAAGUGGAAGGAAAAAAAAAGUGAAAGUCAAUAAAUUAUUUUUGUAUGCUACUUCAAACUCACUGCACUCUUUUUAACUCUUUAAUAUAAAAAUUAAAUCAUUUGAAAAAUGUAUAAAUUUCUAAUUAAUUUUAAUUAUAUUUGAUUUUCUUUGGUAUUUUCCAAAAGACAACCAAAUAUGAGAAAAUCAUUUUCCUUAACAUUUUUUUUCUUAGUACUUUUAGGGAACCAAACAUAACCUAAAUGUUUUAGUUUAGUAGUUUCAUCAAAUUAGAUAGAUAACCUCACAUCUCUUAGUGAGCUGAGGUGCUAUGUUAAUUAAUGUUUUGUCUCUACUUCUUCAUUGAAGUCUCUAUCUAUUGGACGCACAGAUGAUAUGAUCCAAACUCAAAUUGAACACUACUCUUGUUUUGCAACAUUACUUUACUCAAUAAUUUCAUUCAAGUUCUUUGGAUAUCGCAUUUUCUUUGGUGUUUUUUUUAGAAUAAUUCAAAAUGUCUUUUUUAACGGUUCACAAAAUUUGAUUACAGUUGAGUGAUUAAAAUUCAAGUUUAUUAUUAUUAUUAUUAUUAUUAUUAUUAUUAUUAUUAUUAUUAUUAUUAUUAUUAUUGGUUAUUUGAUAUAUUUUUUUUCUAAUAGAGACAAAAGACUGGCAGCUAAUGUGCAUAGAAUUUGUAGAAGAGAAUAAAGAUUUGAUCUAAGCUAUUCUUAAAGACCAGAAACUUUUAGAGCUACCCAAGAUCUCACAGGUUGAAUUUUGAUUCACCUAGUUUACAAUCCACUAAUUAUCCUUAUAUCAUUUUUGUUAUGUUACAAAUUGCCUUUACUUAUUAUGCAACUUGUCUUAAUAAUUUGGGAAGACCAAGAUAAGGUCUUCCUAGUAGAACUGGCUUACAAAUUGAAACGGUAAACUCAUAUCACCUAUCUACAUGCCCACAACAAUAUAAACACUAGCUCAUGUGUUCCUCACUAUUGAGAUUGUUGUUGCAUGCAGGCAUUUUGGGCGAGGAGGCUCGACUUGUGAUCAUCAAUAACACAAGGCAUGUUUUUAUACAGAGAAGCCCAAAGAAACUUUUAAGCAUUUUGUUAGCCCAAGGGUUCUCCUAAUCAGGUUUUGAUGAUAACAAACCAUGGUUAAGUGACUAAUUGGUUUGAAUGGUAAAGAAUCUUAGGUAUAAAUUUGGAAAUUCAUCAAAUGACCAAAUGGAUACAAGAUCGAGACUUUUGGAAGACUUUUGAUUAUAGGAAACAAAUGUAAGAUGAAUGCAUGGGUGCACUUAGGUUUUACAUAUCUUUUUAUGCAUCUUUGAAAACUCGGUUUAUUCCUUAAAAUUACGAUUUCAUUAAAACCCAGGUUUUAUCAAAUGUAUCUUAGGCAAAACGUUUCAAAAUUGGCAUAUCAAUUUACCUAAAGACCUUGCCUAAGUGUUAGAAAGGAAAAGAAUUGAAAAAUAUAGGUUUUCGGGGCUAAAAGACUGAACCGAUCGAGGCACAGUCAAUCGGCUCAACCAACCAGGGAACCGAACGAUCGGUUGCUCUUGUCCGACCGAGAUCUGGUCGAGGAGUGUCAAAAACACACUCUCUCAUCCAGUAGCCUUCUCUUCCCAGUCGAGGUACUCUCCUUCCCGAUCGACCUCUAGUCGAGGUUCAGUCGAGGCAACGGUAACCUACCAAAGCAUUAAAUGCUCCAACGGCUAGUGAACCAAUCGACCCCCAGCUCGACCGGUUAAGGCUGUUUUUUGCUUUUUUUGGCUCCCAAGCUUAGAAACCUAUAAAUUGAGAGCUCCACUUCAUUUAUGACAUAAAGAACACUUGCAAUCAAUUUUCUACCCACUUGUUCUUGCCUUAAAAGCUCUCAUUUAUUUCUUAGUGCAUUAAAUCCUCACUUGCAUAUCCUUUAGUGCACCCUUGUGAAUCAUCCUAGCUUUGAUUUGUAUUUGAGCUAUCAUUGAGCUAGAUUGAGGGCUUCAUUCUUGUAAAAAUUGAGUGUUAAAGCCUUCAAGAGGUUUGAAUCUUGAAGAGAUUAUGUAAGAGCCCAUUGGAGCCAGAAUCCAAGUUUAAAGGAGAUUGGAAGCUUUGUUGAAGCUUCAAGUUAGUGGAACCCUCACUCGGUUAGGAGAUUGAGGAGAGUGGACGUAGGCAAGGAAAUGUCGAACCACUAUAAAAUCCGAGUGUAAAUUUUCUAACUCUAUCUCUUUAUUUUUUAUUAUAUUGUGAUUGAAUUUGUUGUGUUGAAAAAGUUUUUGAAAAACCCAAUUCACCCCCCUAUUAGGUGUUUUUCUCAUUAAUUUGCUUCCACCUCAUAAGCAACCCUCAGAACCACUUACACCAUGACAAGGUGAAAAGAAACUAAUGCAACAUUCUCAAUAUAUCAGAAGAUAUCAAAGGAAGGUUGGCCACAUAUGAGGACCCUGUUUCUAAGGUAGAAUUUUAGAUUUUUGUGUUUUUCUUGUCACUGUUUCUAUACCAUUACUAGUGCACCUUAUUUUUCAAGGUGAUUAAAAGGGAAUUCCCUAGGAUAACUAAUGUCUCAGAUAAUCUUGAGGUUCACAAAUUUUUGGUUUCAACAAAAUAGACGUCAAACCAUUUUUAUUUUUUUCUACACCCAUGCAAUAUUCCAUUCAUUUAUUAAUAAGGACUAAAAUUUCUUGUAGAGAAUGGAAUAAAGAACUAGAUUAAAUGAAAUAAGACAUUAUUAGUCUAUUUACAAGUAAGGGCAAAAAAUUCUUAAGGGUCAUUAAGCACACUGUUCCUAAAAUAAUAACAUCCAUGUCAUUGAAGUUUAUUGCAAUUACAUUAGCAUAUAAAACAAAACUAUUUUUUUUUUCUUUAUGUUCACACCUUAUCCAUUUGAUAAAAUGCUUAAACAAGUAAGUUUGAAUUUUUUUUUUUUUUUUUUUUGUUUUCAAAUCAAUUUAAAUUUUACAUUCAAAAGUUGAAUUAUUAUUAUUUUUUUUGGAAAAUUUAACCGCACUUUAGAAGUUUGUGAUUAUUCUUUGGUCCAUCUUAAAAUGAGUUCCUGCAUUCUUCCAUUCCUCAAAUUAAAAUCACAAUAAAAAGUUUUAGAUUGACCUAAAAUUUUCUCAUGGCUUAGAAAUUCAUAUCUACUAGAUGGCUAAAGCAAAAAACACUUUUGCCUUGUAUUUUAAGUAAUCCUUGCCUGCUAUUUGUUUAUUGAGAGCAUCAUACAAGUUGUGAUUAUAUUUCUUAAUUUUUUUAUAUGAUAAGACAGUAAUUGGAUUGAGAAAGAUGCAACUUGUGGAGCAGAAAAUUUCUUAACUACUUCCCUUGUAUUUGCUUUGUGUGUAUCAACUGUUCUAUUAAUUAUUUUUUAAAAAUAUCACUAAAACAAACCUAUUAUGUCAGUGCUCUCUAUUGUUAUGUAUCAUAAUUUAGCUAUUUUUUCCCUAGAAAUCAUGCUUGUUAUUGUGUUAAUCAGUAGGUAGCAUAAGAACUAUUUUGUUCAAGUUAUUUUGUAUUGGCAUUCUUCAUGUUUCAAAAUAUUGUCAGACUAGCAAUUUUACUGCAGAUAUAAUGUUCUCAAAUCAAUGCAAAAAUGGACGAUUGUGGGUCUUGGGCACAACCUUCCUUGAAGAGUUGAAUUGAGGGUUUCUAUAAACUAGGUCUCUAUAUCAAUAGAUUCUACAUUUCAUCACUAUGGAGACCUUACAAUAAAUAUCGCAAAAAGCUUCAUUUACUACAUAGUAAGGAUAAUCCUAAGGACUUAAAAGUUUGAGUUGUCUCUUCCAUGGCAGCUUCAGAUCUCUUAAUGAGCUCCCAGUCAUUGCCUACCUUGAAUAUAAAUCACUGCUAGAAGUAUGUGCCCUCAACAUUCCCAUGUUCCCGAUAUUGACUAGAUAUUUGUUGCUAAUUCAUGAAGAAUUGAAGGGAUCUUUGAUAAUGACAUCUAUAAUGUACUUCAAGUUCAUGAUCCAAACUCUCUUCUUGCUUUCAAUAACUUCAUUUUUUUUUAUAUUACUUUAUGGUCAAUGUUAUAAGAAUGUUGUAUUUUGUUUACCUGAUUCUCAUCCAUCAGCACACAGGAAAGGAAAAGUUUUACAUUGCUUUCCUUCCCUUUGCUCUGUGUUUAUAUAUGUUUAUGCAGCUAAUGUGAACUUCCACCAUAACUUUUUAAGUUUUUUUCAUUCUCGAGUUUGGGAAACAACUAGAUUUGAUUGUAAUAUUUUCUUGUAGAUAUCACCUUUCUUAAAAAGCUUGCAUUUAUUCACAUUUUCAAGAUGACUAAGUCAUCUGAUUAUGCUUAGAACUAUUGGUUUCUAUUAAAUUCAGGUAUGAUGUUUGCAAUUUUAAGCCUCUUACUCCUCUUGAAGACUACAUAAGUUUCUAGUGCUUUUACUUUAAUGGUUAUGGUCAAUGUAUCCUCUUGUUACUUCCUGUUUGCAUUCUAUAUGUUCAAGAGCUUUAUUAAAGUAAUUAUUUUAUUGAAGAUAUAAUUGUUUUCAAGUCAAAGAAAAAUUGAAUAAUGACGUGGUUUCAACAACUUCUCAAAAGUAAUUGGAAAGUAAGGAACUUUGUGGUAGUAUUCUGAUAUCACAUUGGGCUUUCAAAUCGUUGUCUUGAAUUGACAUAAAUAACAUAAUUUCUUUUCUAGUUGAGCUACUUCAACAUGUUAUUAUGCUUCAUACUCUUUCAAUUAUGUUUUGUUUAGGUUUGGAAACAUUAGUACAUUAGAUAUGUUGCCUCGAGUUACUUACACGACAUAAAAUUCAUCUUUGUUGUUAACUGGCAUCACUACCACAAGAUGAGUUCCCUCAGCAUUCUACAGACAACUAUAAUUUGGGACAAUUCUGGUUUGGCAACAUUAUCGGAGUUGAUAGACAACCUAUCUUCAUUAACAAAAACCUUUAAAUUUAUAUUUAUCCCGAACUAGCAUCACUGUUGGAAGACGUGCAUCCUUAACACCCUAUAACCACUCAUAAUUGGAGACUGUUAUGGUUUGUAAACAUUCAACAAACUUGAUAGGUAACCUUGCACCACUUACAGAGCUUCAAAUUCAUGGCUAUCUUGAAUUGACAUCACUUUCAAACUAGAUGGUUCAUCCAAACCUCAAUUAACACCCACAAUUCAGGACUUCUCCAUUUUGGCAAUGAUAGCAUAUUUGAUAAGCAUCCCUACUUCACUUACAUACACUAAAAUUGAUAGCUACCUUAGAUUCACAUCAUUAUCACAAGAGAUUGGUUCCUUCAUAUCCCUGCAGACACUUGUGAUCUUUUAUCGUCCAUGUAUAUUAGAAAGACUUAAAAGGGAAAUAAGUGAAGAUUGGCCCAAUAAUCUUCAGUCCUAGAUAUUCAUAUUUGGUGAAGAUUGGACUAAUAUAGAGUUAGUUUAGGUUUGAAAUCCCAAUCUUUCUUCUCAUUUUUUAUGGUUUUGUUUUUAUCAAUAUGCUCUGUUUACAUUCUAUAUGGUAAUUUUUGUAUGUAUUAGCAUAUAAAUAAAAAAGGACUUAGAUGAUUAAUUUGAAAAGUUUGCAUCCUCAAUUAAUUAGUAAUUAAAGACCAAACUGAUCAUAUUACUUUAAGUCUUGCAUUGUAAGAGUUUGGGAAAAUGUUAGGGUUGACUGAACUACUAUUUUAUAAUAGAUUUUGCCUUACUCAAGAAUCUUGUGAUUAUCCCUUGGCACAAUCAUUUCUCGUGUCUAAGAAAUUCAUAUCUACUACAUGACCAAAGAAUUUAGUAGCAUUCAAAAUUUCUGUUUUCUUUCAAGUCAGGUGUAUUGCUUGCAAUUCUAACAUGUUUCCUAUUUUGAACGUUGUAUUGUUAUUUUACUAUCAAUGUGUUAAGAGCAUUAUACUCUAUUUUCUAUAAUGUUGUUUACUUGUCAUAUGUAUUAAUUAUUUUAUUGCAAAUGUACUUGUUGCCAAGUUAAAGCAAAAUAGGAAAGUGAGGAUUUUUCAUGGACCAAUGCCUCUCUCAGUUGCUGCCACACUUUACUUCUCUCUAAGUUGUUGAAAAUUUAGAAGUGUGGUAGCAUAAAGUAUUCAACUCAAGUGCUUUAGUGCCUCACUACCCUUGAAGCUUUAGAAGUUGUCAAUACAAUUGGGGUUUCAACAUGUAACCAUUUUGGAAAUUCUAAGAAGUGUAAGUAUUAUGGUUUUGCAACUUUAUUCUACUAUAUAGGCAACUUCAAAUUGCUAAAUGCCCUGAAUUAAAAUCACUACUAGAAGGAACCCAUGAGACUAUAGAAACUCAUAAUCUACUACUCUUGCCACUUAUUAAGAAUGCUAAAAGGAAAAAGUGAAGAUUGGCCUGAGCAUGAUUGAUUAAUAAACCACACAUGGUCUCUUUAAUUCAAGUGUGUCAUAUGUUAUAUGUUUCAUGUCAGUAAUCCUACAUUUCUCUUGUUUCUAUUGGCUCUAUUUUUUUUGAAUUAUUUUACAAUCAAUCUUCUAACAAUGUUCUACUUUUUUUACAAUUUUUUAUUAUUCUAAAAUGAAUUAAGACAUAUAAAGAAAAAAAUCACCUUGUUUGAUUUUCAUAUACUAUAUGCUUAAAUGUACAUGUUUUUUUUUUUCAUAUGUAAUAAGAUACCAACAAAUUGAGUGAGGAGCACAUCUUACUAAGUCGCUUGUCAAUCUAUUCACCUUCCUAAUCUCAAGAUUCUUCAUGUUUGAAUUAAAAUACCAUGAAGUACAAAAACAAAAAAUGAUGAAAAGUAUUUCUCAUCAUCUUUAUUUUUAUUAGAAGGCAAUUUGUAGCAUCCUCUUUCCCAUUCCUAAAAAAUACUACAGCUUUGUAGGUUGAGAAAUUAGACAUGUUUUCUUAAAUGAUCUUCUUGGUCCAUGCAUGCUUAUAUUUGGAAGAUUUUUAAACCAAGUAUUUUAUGACAUAUAUGAUAGCUUUCAAGUUAAUGCAUAAAUGGUGAUGGUUAGGAUGCAAAAUAUAGUCUAUGCUCAACCUAUUUAUUGACAAACUACCAAGGGCUAAUGCUAAGGUAAACACCCAGCACUUGCAUCAUACUCGCUCUUCUCUGCCCUCUUUAUUUGUUUUCCAAAGUUCAUAUAUAAUGUCUUUAUCAUUCAAUUUUUCAUUUUCAACCACUUUUUAAACUUUUGUCUUUUUAUGGUUUAUUACACGACGAUCCAUUUCUAAGAAAUUGUUGUACUCUAUUUAUAAAUCUUAUCUUUUUGUUCUUAUAGACAAUAGAACAACGUGGUAAUUGCAUGACAUACAAUUUGUAAUAGAUGUUCAACUAUAUAUUAGGUAAUCUUUAAUUGCCUUGGAGUUGAAACGUUUGAUGUUGAUAAGGUUUGAUAAUUCUCGCUUUGGUGCUUUGUUGGAUUUCAAUUUAGGUAAUUAAUUGAUCUUGUUAUGAUUCUUUGAUUGUUAUUAUAACUAUUGUGAUAAUCAUUCUUAUUUUAUCGUGGUAAUUGACUUCACUGACUUUUUAACAAUUAUAUCAUGAGUGAAAUGCCCAACCUAUUAUUGUUAGUAUUCCAUUAACAUACCUCUAAUGCCACCACUAAUAAACAUCAUGUAUUAAUAUUUAUAACACGUUUCAUUACUGAAAUAAUUUAAUAUUUUCAAAUUUCUUUUUAGAGUGUGAGAAAUAACCAUUAAUCUUUACAACAGCAUAAGUAUCAUUGAUUUGAUAUUGCUUUCUUGAGUAAUUUGGCAAUUUAAUUAUGAAGUUUAGUUGGACAUUACUUGAGAUUCAUGUCUUAUGUAUAUGAUCUAUUUUCCAAGCUUCAAUUAUAUUUAGUAGACUUGUAAGUGGUGUUUGUCUUUGAGUUUCAACUCUUGAAAACUACUAUUGGAGCCUAAGUUCACUUUCAGUAAGGAAAAAAAAAAAAAAUCAACCUUUUCCUCAAUUGUGUAAUUUUAUUCACUAUUGACAUGCCCUUAAAUGGCAUUGCUAUUAUUUGUAGGGAACAUUGUCAAGUUCUAUAUUUGUCUAGAAAGUUAGAAGAAGUAUUUAAUUUGAUAUGGUUUGGACAUCUUGCUACUAUCUUUUUAAAUUAGUUAUCAAUAAUUUUUCAAAGUUGACCUUUUUGUUUAUCUCAUACUCCUUUUAUAUUAAAAGGUACCGCAUGGGUAUUGUGUAGAGGAAUCAUGCCUUCUUUAAUUGAGGUGAGCCUCUUGCAAAAUAUUUCAAGUUUGCUCUCAUUCCAUUUGUUACUUCAUGUCUAUUUUUUUGUAAUCAAUCAAGCAAGAGUUUCUUACUUGUACAAUGGUGAACUUGCUUGCAUGAAUAAUACUCUUUUUACUAUUUUUUUUCUUUCUUUAUUAUAUUCAUUGAUAUGCUUAGAAGUUAAUAGUGAAUCAGGUUUUUUGUUAAAAGAAAUCAAAUAUUGGUAAUUAUUUAGUAUGAUGUUUGUAAUAAUCAAUUAUUGAUUGUCAAGAUACUUGACUUAAUCAAUUAUUAUAUUGAAAUCAAUUUAGUACUAUGACUAAUACCAAAAGGAUAAUAUUUAGUCUUGUUUGACCAUUAGUCACUAUUCUAGAGACAAAUGCUCACAAGUUUUACAUCUUUGAAGCAUAUGAGAAAAGUUGGCUCAACUGUAUCACCAACUUACAAGCUCCUUAUAGUGUCCAUAUAUAUAACCUUCGUUGUUCAGGUUUAUGAUUCCUAUCUCAUUUUCUUUUUUCAUCUUUUUAUUGUUUAUAAUUUUUUAAUUGAUUUGUUUAUAAAUUUUUAAACUUUAUUAGCAAUACUAUUUUUUUUUUUUUUAUUCUCAUCUGCAAUAGAAUAAUAAGUUGAAUAAGAAGCAUAAACUACUUAAUUGGUAUAACCGUUUACUCAAUUCUCUUCUCAGAUAUUUUUGUUCAAGGUAAUCAAAGUAUCAUUCUUUUUAUUUUUAAAGGUACUUGAACUCAGUGAGGACCAUUCCCAAAACAAGCAAUAACUACAGUUGGAUUACUGAUAUCAUAUCCUUGAUUGACAUCUAUGCCAUUACAUUUGCAUCUAAAGGAUUUAUGAUGAAAAAAAUAUUUUCUUUAUUUCCAUUUUCCUUCCUUCUUUUGAUCAUAAUUUGUGUGCUUAUUGAUAGCAUUCAUACCCUAAUAUAUUUGCUAGCAUAUAUAUGCAUGUCACAAUCUAUUGAAUUUUUUAGCAUAAGGUCUUAGAGUAUUCACAUAUCUCUAGGUUCUAUAUAUUUAUAAUUUUUCAACAUCAAAUGAAGUAUAUGAACCUUAUCCUGAAGGUGAAGUCUCUUUAAAAGGAGUUUCAACAUGUUAGCAAUUACCUAACUUAAUAAUCUAACAAUUUGGCACUAUAUAUAAUUUUGCAACUCUUUCAUAAAGUAAUUGUGUUACCUUUAUUCACAUUUUCUAUCUUUAUUUAAAAAAAAAUGAAUUGGUAAUUGUGUGUCAAAUCUUGCUUACAAUCAUUAAUAGGUACUUAUAUGCUAAAUGGAUAAAGUUAUUUUACAAUUGUUUCAACAUAUUUGACACACAAGUACCUAUUAAUAAGUAUAUAUUUAUAGAUGUAAUCACUACCAAGCCAAUGCGAAAAGCUAUAACAAUGAGGAUUACAACGCUUCAAUUAUGUCUUGGAGAUUCAUAUUGAAAAGUUGUAAAUGGUGGGUGAAGUCUCUUUAAAAGGAGCUUCAACAUGUUAGCAGUUACCAAACUUAAGAAUAUAACAACUUGGCACAAUAUAUCAUUUUGCAACUUUUCAUAAAGUAAUUGUGUAACCUCUAUUCACAUGCUCUAUUUUUUAUUUUUUUUUAAAAAAAUUUGAAUUGGUAAUUGUGUGUUGAAUCAUUCUUACAAUAUUUAAUAGGUACUUAUACACUAAAUUGAUAAAGUUAUUUUACAAUUGUUUCAACAUGUUCUGAAAACAAAAAAGAUUUAUAAGUAUAUUUUUUUCUAGAUGUAAUCACUAGCAAGCCAAUGUGAAAAGCUAUAACAAUGAGGAUUACAAAACUUCAAUUAUGUUUUGGAGAUUCAUAUUGAAAGUUGUAGAUUAUGGAUGUAUAGUACAGGAGUUAGAUUGAGUUUAUCAUUCUAUCUUUGACAUCUUAGUUUUCUAUGUAUUGUCCAUCAUAUAUAUUUGUCAUCUAUUCUUUACAACCAAUUUUUUAAGGACUUCUAUGAUUUGUUUAAAUUUAUAUAUUUGUUUUUAUUUGUACUAGAACUUCACCAAGCUACAAAAGCAUCACAAGUUUUGCAAUUGGAGUUCAUGGAUCAGGUAUUUUAGUAGUUUUUGUACCUGAAAUUUUUUUAUGAUACUAAUGAGGAUGUUUACCUUGAUUAAUUUAACACUUAUAUUGCAAAUAUCUAUAUAGGAGUUCUAUACAUUUAUUUAAACAUUUAUAGACAUAUUUAUCCUCUUUCUAGCACAUUCUAAUGAUAUUUUUAACAUUGAUAUAAAUUGUUUGCUUGAAGGUUUCAACUAUUGAAAAAUUAUUAUUCAAGCCAAAUGUUAAUCUUUUUCUAUAGUGGAUUUCAAAUAAUAAAUUCUUAUUUGAUUAUUUGUAGGGAAAAUAAACAACUUCUAUGUUUGAUAAGAAAGAAGAUAGAGUAGAUCAAUUUCACAAUAUACGAAUGCUACGCUUUCUAUACUUUUAAAGAUGCUUACAAUUGGCUUUCUAUACUUAACAAGUACAUCUUAGCUAAAAGUGAAAAAAUGUUUCUCUUUGCACAUGCCUUCACUACUAUUUUAAUUGCUAUCUUAAUAUGUUAUGGAAAAACCACGACAAAUAACAAUAAUAAGGAGAAGAAAUAAAAGAACAAAAAUAUAAAACUUAUAAAGUAGGACGAUCUAUGUGGUUUGGCCUAAACCUACAUUUAUAUGUGAAAAUGAAGAAGAACUUCCACUAUUAUUAAAGGAGAUUAAAUUCCUAAAGCUUUCAAAUCUCAUGAUUACACUAAAAAUGGACUUUUUUUUUUCAAUCAAAAUCUCUUCCUUUAUUUUCUUGAUUAUAUAAGAAUAUUCCAUAGAGAAUUAAUUGUGUAAUUAUCAAAGAUAACUAUUCCUAAAAGAAAAAUCUUAUAAUAUGAUAUUUCCUUUAGAAUAAAAGAAAAAUCUCUUAUAUAAAUAUAUCAUAAUAGGAAAAUAUUAAAGACUUAUAAAUUGACUCAAAACAAUUUGAAAUAUUUUUCAACAAUCUCCACAUUGGCUCAAAUUCUCAAUAUUCAAAUAAACUCAAAAGUCUUCUAUGUUACUUUGCUCUUAUACACCCUUGAGGGGACUUCAAGUAAUGUCAAUACCAAUUAAGUCUAAGCAAUGCAUGAACUUAAUCAUAGAAAUAAGUUUAGCCAUCAUAUCUAUAACUUUAUCAACUAUAAUAAAGUGCUUUCUAACAUCAAUAUGUUUGGUGCUCUCAUGUAAUAUAUGAUUUUUAGUCAAAAGUAUGAGACUUGGCUACCAUGAUAACAAUAAUCAAUGAUUGGAAUCAAAUAAGUACAUUUUGUGUGCCUAAACUUAGGCAUUCAUAUUUAAUAUCCAAUUCUAGUUUCAUCCCUUUACUCAUUUUAUUCCUAAGUCCUUAAUUUUGGGUUUAAUGUAUUUUUUAAAUAUUUUCCUUCUUUUUUGGUAUAUUUAUAUCACAUUUUUGCUAGCCAUUAUAUUUUUCAUGUAUUGGUUGCUAAUUUUACACUCCAUAGUUGUCACAUCAUCCAACUAAUGGUUGUUACAUUAUCCAACUAUGGGCUACCACAUGCUCCAGCUACCUUAGCCUCCUUGCCAAGUAUUUUCCAUGCCAAAAAAAGAUUGACAACUAUUUCAAUUGGUUGGUAAAGUUGAGAAAAGCUUCCACCAACCUCGCCAUUAAGUUGUGCUCCUUGCUCCAAUUUCUAAUUUUGCUUCCUACCCUCUUGUGGAGUUAGUGUGGAAAUGACUUUAUACAAGGGAGAUGAAGGUUGGUUUUGUAAGGUAGUUUAUUUGUAAACUUGUAUUUCCUUUAUUCAGACGAUAGUUCUCAUUUCUUAGCCUUGAUUUUCAAUUUUGAUCCUCUUGUCUUGCCACUAUGAGUGGCCAACAUCCAAACCAAGGAAUAAUUUUUAAUAAAAUAUUAAUAUUAAUAUUCAAAUAAAAUCAUAUAUUUAUAUUCCUUAGCACAUUUAUAGGAAGAGAAAUAUUUGGGCACUAGGCCCAAUUCACUUUUUAUCAUAAAAAUAUGAAUAUUAAUAUCCUUAUCCUCAUAAAAGCAUAAUUAGCUUAUUUUCUAAAAAAUUGAUAAUAAUAAUAAUAAUAAUAAUAAUAAUAAUUACUAGUACGAUUUUAUUUUAAAUGGAUUUAAAAAUAAAUAAAGUUUAAUUUUUAAGGUAUACGUGCAUAAGUUUUUCAUUACAUAUACACAUUUAAUACUUAAUUAGUAAUAAUGUAUUCUAAAAUUUUUUUAUCUAGCCUAUAACUAAUUAAUCACUUUUUUGGAAUUCUAAAUUGUUCUUAAAAAUUAAAAUAUUCAUUAAAGAAUUGAAAGUGUUUAUUAUGUUUAACUUAAUUUAAAUUUAUUUAUCUAGUGAGAAAAUUCAUAAAAUAUAGUUUUAUGUAUAAAGGAAAUAGUAACGACUUUACAUUUAAUGAAUCUUUUAUUUUAUUUUGAUUCAUUUAAUAGUCUAUUAUCUUGUAGUGAUUAUAUAUAUAUAUAUAUAUAUUUAAAAUUUAUUAAACUCAUUAAUAAAUUCAAUACAAAGUUUUACUUAAUUUGAAACUCAUCUCUCUAGUGAAAAAAUUGAAAAAAUAUUAUUUUGUGAAAAAAAAUACAAUAAAAUCAUUUUAAACUAAUUUUUAUCCAUAGAUUUUUGUAUUUAUUAGUUUAUUAUUUAAUUUUUAAAUUAAUUUAAAAAAUUAUUAGACUUAUUAAUGAAUCCAAUACAUUAUUUUUUUUGUUUAAUUUAUUUAUCACACUAUCAAACAAACUUUUAUUAUUUAGUAAAAGACCUCUUAAAAGAUGUUUUUUUUUCUAAAUAAAAAUAAAAAUAAUAUUCUAAACGAUGUUUGAUUUGAGAGUUUUUUAAAAAUAAAAAUAAAAAUUAUUUUAAAUUAUGUGUACAUAAUUGUUGCAAAUUUAUUUCUUUUUCCAUUAUCAUUUUCAUUCUUACCUAACAUUGAAAUGGAAACAAAUAAUCAAUCAAACCUUACAUUUAUUCUUGAUGCCCUCUGUGAAAAAAAAAAGUGCAAAACAUUUAUUUUUUCUAAUCAUCAACCAUCCAUACAUAGAAAAACUACGUGUGAUCUUAAGCCAAAAAAGAUAUUGCAUCUAAUCAAAUUCAAUAGACAUGAUGAUAUCUAUACUAUUUUUUUUUUAAUUAUAUUCAUAUUUAUGUCAGAAAAUAAUUUUUUUAUUUUUAGAACAUUAAACUUUUUAAAAGUCCUUUCUAGGAUAUUUUCUAGCUUUUUCCUUUUGCUAAUUUUUGCUAUUCAAACAAAUCUUAAGAAAUGAAUCAAACCUGGACACAAUUGAAGAGUUUGGCAUCCUUGUUUUUAUAUUCCAAAGCAUAUAUAGAGAUUGGGGUAAAACAACUUGUACCUAAGAAAAAAAAAGGAAAAAAAACCACAACAAAAAAUUAACCAAAAAUCAGAAAAUUAACUAGAAUAAAAAAUCAAGAAAAUAUUUUUCUGGGUUAAUAAUUAAUUAUAAUGAAAUCAAAAUCAAAAGAAAAAAUACAUACUUCCUCCUGGCUUUGCUUACACUGAAAGCCAUGAAAGAAUUGGGAAAGUAGUAAAGAAUAAGAACAAGAACCACAUCCAUAUUCUGGGGAAAGCAAAUCCUCUGCUUUGCUGCCUUCUUCAGAUUGAAGGCAACUAUUAAACGGGUUGAGGGGUUAUGAGUUUGACUUGGUUGAGUUUGAAGCUACAAAAGUAAGAAGAAUGGUAGUAAUUUUGGAAGCAUUUCUAACUCUUCUAUAACUUGAAAGAUAAAAAAUUUUAAGUGUUAAAAAUGUUAAAAGAGCUUUUUAGAAUCACCCCCAAAUGUACUCUAAAUUAUUUAUGACUUGAUGUCACCUUCACACUCAUUUUCCAGUGUCAUUUAAUUUUGUUGUUCCCAUAUUGAAGAUUUAGGGUAAUGUAAUGUUCAAGCCUUCACAUUUUGCCUUCACAUUUUGCCUUCACUAACCUUUGAAUUUUAAUUAAAUUCUUUGAAGGAUAUUUGACCACUUCAUUGUCCAAAAAUGCUUAUAUUGCCAUUUUUUUUGUCUUUUUCUACAAUUCCAAUUUUACUAUUUUUCUUUUAUUUAUUCCUAUUAUUAUUUAGGCUAUUAUUUAUAAUAUUCUAAAUAUUAUAUUUAUAAUUGUUAAUAGUAUAAUUACUAUUUUUCAUUUAUUUGUCAUUUAUAUUGCUUAUCUUAUCUUUAUUCAUGUAUAAGACUCAAAAACUGCAAAAAGCAUUAAUAAGUAACAACUAAACUUCAAAGUGAUAAUAAAAUUCAACUACAUUGAUAUUACAAUAAUACAAAUGAAAUAUAUAGCAACCAGCCCUUAAAGGGGCUUUUAAGAGAUAAUGAGUCUACUUGAGAUUGAAAUUUAAAGUAGAAUCACCAUCUCUAUAGAUAAAUAUAAAGCCUAAAAAGAAUAGAACAUCACUAAAUAAUAUUAAUAAAGCAACAACUAGAUCAAUGGAUAGUGAAAAUAAAGGUUUACAAAAUGAGUCACAUAAGUAAGAACAACUAAAUUAAGAAAUGAAUUACAUGUCUGACAGAUCUAAUGAGGGAAAACAUUGGAUCUAGGUACCCAUGAUUGGCUCCUUGAAGUUGACCUACCUCCUCAAGAGGUACAUAGGAGUCCUUACUUGAAAAAUAUUAAAAUCUAUAGGGUGAACAUAAGAUCUAAUAAAUAGGCACGAUAUGCAAAUGUUAGGAUGGUUAGUCCAAGGUAAAAAAAUAGUUCUAAAACAUAUCACGUAAUAAUUUUGGUGUAUUAUGAGAGGAAAAUUGAUUUGUGAGAACUAUACUUUAUGAAUAGAAAUGUGAGGAAGAGUGAAAAACACUUAGUAGAGUAAGAGGGCUAACAGUUCAGGGUAGUCAUACAAGUAGUCAUACAAAGUGUGGGGAAAUAGAUGUAUCUAUUUUUGUCCCUUACAAUAUUUUUUAUUGUAUAGUGAAAUAUUAUCUUUCAAAUAUGGAAAUAAGCAUGGUUAGGUGUACCAUGUUAAAAUCUUAAGUAUUUGUUUUAUUUUGUGUUCUUCCAUUAAUAUAUUUCAAUAUUAGAGCUUCCAUUGACUCAACAAUUUAUUAUACUAUGAAUCGUCAUAAGUGAAUAUAUUUUUAUAUUAGAAUAAACCAUUUUCUUAAUUAUAAGUAUAUUUGAAUAUUUUACUAAACUAUUUUAAAAUAAAAAUAUAGUAAAAAAAAUUUAAUAUAUAUAAUAAUAACAUGAUAAAUAACAUAUCCCAAACCAAAUGCAACAUAAAUUUCUAAAUUGUCUCUUCUUCUUAGUUCUCUAUAAUAAUAUUGUCAUACCCAUUGUUUAAGCUAUAAAUUAACAUUUUAUGUUCUUUGAAACAUAUGUAUUACCAACUCAAUAUAAAUAGCUACGAAGACAUAUUUCUCAUUUUCCCAAUCAAAAAGCAUUGUGAGUUGAAACCUUUUUGUUUAGAAAGUUAACUUGCAAUGUUAAUAUUCUUUUUUUAUAUUAGCCCCCUAGGAAUGCCAUUGCCUUUCACCACACUUUUAGUUUUUUUUUGUUUUUUCAAUAUUCUUUUUUACUUCUACACUAGAAUUUAUGUAACUUCUUGUUUUUUAUUAUUAUUAUUAUUUUGCAAUAUUUUCUCUUAAGUCUACCUUACACUUCUUAUUACCUCUCAUAUAUAUAUAUAUUUGUCUUUUUCAAGUACUUGGUUGCUUCUCUAUUACAAUUCAUUAACUUCCUAUCCUUUUAUUUAUUUUUAUUUUUUGCAAAAUUCUUUCUUAAAAUACAUAAAUCCAUAGUUUUUAUUUUAAAAGUAUCAAGUAAAGAACAUAUACCUACUCAAACACCAUUGUAUAAUACCCCUAAAAUUUCCAAAAAUCCUUAAAAUUUCAUAAAUUCUCUGCAAACUUAUCCCUAAUUAGAUGCUAUUACAUUAAAUAUAUCUAAUUCACUCUAAACACAUGAUUGAUAAUAAUACAAAAAACUAAAACAAUAUUAAUAUGCAAUUUAUUAUUUUUCAACACACUGUAAUAGUUCCCAAAUAUUUUCAAACAUCAACUAACAAACCUAAAUUUAUUCACUCAAAAUACAUAAUUGAUAACAAUGGAGAACUAAAAAAAAAAUUAUAAAUAUAACAAUUUUAUACUUUGAAUACAAUUCAAUAAAUCCUAAAUUUUUAAAAACAUUUAACUAAUAAACUUAACCAUACUCAAAUAUUAUUGUAUAACAUCUAUAAAAAUUUCAAUAAUUUAUCAAAUGUGAAGACUACACUCACCGGUUUAGUAGAAUCACUUGCCUCUUCUAUUGGUAAUUGGGAUUUUUGUUCAGUAGCUUCGCUUUCCUUUGCUUCACUUUCUUUUGCUUCACUUUUUUCUUCUGUUCGCAAUUGGCAUUUUUGUUUUUUCGUCACUUUUUUUAAUCUUUUUAUAAAAUCACUCUUCAAUGAACUCAUUGUUUCCUUCGUGCUUGAAGAUACAAUAUGAGAUAACUUGAAAAAAACAGAAUAACAAUUUUUCUAAGGAUUCAGAAUGAAACAAAGGAUGAAAUGAUAGACGAGAAAUUUUCUAGGGUUCUUGAAGGAAAGAUGAGAUUUUCAUUUUGUGCAUUAAAGGAAGAUAAUGAAAUAGAAGAAGACGAUGAAAGAUGAAGACUCGUUCUAUAAAUGAAGCGAAAGAGGAUUAGAGUUUUCCUUUUUGUGCACCAAAGGAAGAUAAUGAAGUAGAAGAAAAUGAUGAGAAAUUUUUUUUGGAAAAUAUGAGGAGUCAUUCUGUAAAUGAAGCCGAAGAUGAGAAGGUGUAAGUGUUGGAGAGAAAAAAGAAGAAGGGCAUUUUUGUCUCAAUCAACAAUUUUGUUUUAUUUUUUAACCGGUGGGUUAUAUUUACAAAUAUGAGGGUUAUUUUGACCCCUUUAACCAAAUAGCCUUAUUUUUUUAUCGAGUUACAACUUUAAAUUAGGUGUAAAAAGAAAUUUUGAUAUGGUAGAUAUUGUACAGUUAUAUAUUGAAAUUCCAUGGUUCAUUAGAUAAACCAUCCUUGAAUUUCUUCGGUUUCAAUCAAGAUGAUAGAUCAUCCUUCCACAGAGUGUGACCUGAUAUGACAUUGAUUUUCUAGGGCUUCAAACACGAAGGGUGUCAAUGACUAAGAACUCCAUUUGAUUACCGAGAAAAUGAGGAAAAAACCCCUCAAAUAAAAUAUAAAUACAAUUCAGAAUUUCAAUUUUACUUUGUUAGGGACCCCAAAAAUGGGAAUAUUCACUUAACUAGCCUAAUCCAACCACCUACCUUAGUUCAAUUCAGUCCCCACUUUCUAGAGACCAAAACAAUAUAAACAUUCAUGUGUUUGGCUGCUCAGAAAGCAUAGGAUAAGCAAAGAAAAGGACGGUGCCUCCUCGAUCAAAUAGUCUUUUUUUUUUUUUCUUUUCUUGCAUUUUCUUUUUUCAGCAACCAAAUAGAACUUUUUAAUUGAGCAUUGUUGUAUACAAUUUAGAUUUCUUUCCCUCGGUUUCUCCGCAACCAAAUAGAAUUUUUCUCAAUUGAGCGAGGGUCUAGUAUAUCCUUUGUUUUCCUGUAACCAAACAGAACUUCCCUUGUUAUUUUUUUUAUCUUUUCUUUGAAUUUCUCAGAAACCCAACGGAGUUUACUUCUGGUGCAACCGUGCAAGAAAAUGGUUUUACCUGAUCGCAAUUCACUGGACUAGCCGAAGCAACAGAGGCUUAAGAAAAAAAGACUGAGCUUUGUUUGUUAGACCCCCUCUGUGAGUACGCAAAGUAAGAAGAAUUGAAGCUGAAAUUAGGCGGCUUCCAAACACGUCCUAGGAGUUGGUUUUAAAACCCAUUUUUCCCCUUUUUGGUUGCAAUCGGUCUGCAAAGAUGCCAUUAAAAGGUAACUACAGUUGGUUGCAUGAACAAGAAAAUGAAAAAAAAAAGUUAAAAUUAAUUAAAAUUCUAUGUAUUUUAAAAUUAUUUAAUAUUUACAUUGAAGAGUAAAAAUAAUUGCAAUAUAUUUAAAUAAACACAUAAAAAUAAUAAUUUAUUAAUUUUAAAUCUAUUUUUAAAAUUUUCAAAUUUUCAUUUAUUUUAUUCCCUCUAAGCUUUCUAACUAAGGUCAUAAUUUGGACAAAUUGUUGGGUUCAUAGUAGAUCUAAAUAAUCUAAUAGGGAUAAAUAAUUGAUUAAUUUAAGUUCAACCCAACCUCUAAGCUUUCUAACUAGGGUCAUAACUUGAACAAAUUGGAUGGUUAACAUACAACUUGGACAAAUUGGUGAGUUCAUAGCUAAUCUGAAAAAUUUAAUAGGGAUUAACAAAUAAUUAAUUUAAGUUUAGCCCAACCUCUAAAUAGAGGUAUUUAAUUCAAGCUCAACCAACUUCAUUUCUUUGAGCUCUGGUUGAUGAGGUUAAACUUGGGUUAACCCCUGAUUGUAUAAUUCAAAAUACAUAUAGAAUGUUUUUCAAUAAAAAAAAAUUAUGUACUUAUAUCAAAUUUUAAAUAGUAAGUAGGACAAAAUUUUAAAAUAACAAAAAAGAAAAAAAAACAAAAAUAAAAACAAAGUUAUGUAUCUUUUUUAAAAAGUGAAAAAAUAUAUUAUAUAAUAUAAUUUGAUUUUUUUUUAAUAAAAAUUUAGAAAGAAUAAAAUUAUUAUAUAAAAUAACAUAUAUUGGAAAUAUUAUAAAAACAUUAAAAGUUUAUUAAGUAGUUAUUCAAAUAAGUGUUUCUAUCCCUAAUUUAAACUUUGGUUUCAAUCUAACUCGAAUUGAAUUUGAGUUGAAAAAGUUUAAUUUGAAUAUUAAAAAUAAUUGUCUAAACACGAUCAAAUAUCGGAUUGGAUUCGACUAAUCUGCCAAAGUUGCACUCCUACCAAGAACCAUACACAAUAAAAAAAAUUUAAGCUAUUUUUUGUUCUAGGAAAGUACUCAAAAAGGAGAAAUAAAGAAAAAAAAAAUGAUUUUAUAUGUAUAAUUAAAAUUAGUUAAAUUUUAUAUAUUUUAAAAUUAUUUAAUUUUUUUAUAUGGAAAAGAAAAAAAAAGAGUGAAAUAAGUUUGAAAAAACAAGUAAAAAUGAUUUGUUAACUUUAAUAUUUUUUUCUUUUCUUUUCUUUAGUUUAUUUUUCUCAAAAUUUUCAAAAAAUAAACAUAGAAUUAAAAAUAAUAAUAAUAAUUAUAGAUUAGGAAAAUCAAUUUUAGAACUUGCUUAUAUGAUUGCAUUAUUUUUUGUAAAUAAUAAUUUUAUUGAAUGUUAAGAGAGUGGUAUUAAAUGCACAUUAUUUAAUAUUUUUAUAUGGAUAUUUUUAUUUCUAAAGAAAGUAAUCUUUACAUGGAUUGGACCACUGUUUAUUUAUCCAUGUGGGCCAGCCUAUUAAAAACCAUCAAACCAACAACCCAAGGGGCGACCCUGAUCAUUCUCGGGGGCCCACAACCUUCAUCUCUAACAAAAGCUCUUACUCACUGAAACAUGGGCAGGAUCACCUUCCACACACAUCUUCAUACCAGUCACCACGCUACCGCAACAAUCCUCCUCCAUGAAAGCCCACCUCCAUCACAGCAAGCAGAAAAUCCAUCACGUCAACCAUCAACCUCCACACAGACCUAACACUGCAUAGCCGUGUUUUGGGAGUGUUAGAACGUGAUUAAAGAUGAUUUAAUUUGAGUGUUCAUGGAGUUUCGCUAUAAGAGGGUGAUAGACCAGAGUAUCAAUGCUCCCUUUGUAACUUUAGGGCCAAAGAGGAGUCAGUUUACCAAAAAUUCUUCAUGAAACCAUCCAUUUAUCUCAGGGAACAUUUAUUAAGUAGAGUCAAAUAGAUUUACAGAUAAGAGACGAUUUAUUCCUUUGAAUGAAAUAACCUUAUUUCAAAUUGCCCUAAUGUGGCCUAAUAAGCAAAAUUACUGGUUAUAUUUUGGACACAUCUCAGUAGAGGUUUGGGGGAGAAAAUAGAAGAAGCAGAGAUGCUUACUUACUUCAGAGGGGCCACUGCUCGCCACCACCACUUCAUGGCUGUGCCCAUUUCACUUGCCCAAGUCACUCUCUUCUCCAAACCCUCCAUUUUACUCCACAGAAAUGCCAUCAUUGGCUUCUCCUUUUCCAUUCCUUUCUCCUCUUCUUCUGCUCACAAGAUUCAGACUCACAAGUGGAGGCAACCGGUGGUCUCGCUUCUGGAGCUUGGUGGAGUCAAGAUUGGCAGAGAUGGUAACAUACCCACAUCCCAAAAUUGCGUUUAAAAAGGAUCUUUAGCUUGAAUUUCGUGUGCCCAAUUUGCGUUUUUGCAGACAUUUGCACUCAAGUCGUGUCGUUUGUUUGCAAUUUCACAAUCUGAUUUCUUUUCUAUUGUGCGUUUUUUUUCUCCUGCUAGGUUCGAAUUCAAGCAUCCAAUUUGCGUUUUUGUGGGUAGUCUUAUGCCCAACUUGUGUAUUCAAUUUGCAAUUGUUGUUAUCAGACUUCCUUCUCUCUUUUGAGACUUACACAGUUAGAGACGUCAUUUCUGUGAAAUUAAGAAUGCAUGUUCCAACUUUCACUUCUUUCUCUCUCUCCCUCUUUUUUUUUUUUUUUUUUUGUGAAAUUGGAAUUCAAGAACUUAUUUUGCGUUUUACAAGCUUAGCGGGUUACGUUUCUGUUCUAUUUGUUGUGCUGUUGGAGGUGUUUGGUGCAUUUAUAUAACUAGGCUUGCAAUUUCGCCCUCUGAUAAAGGUUAAAUUUUCUCCCUUUUUAUUUUUUAUUUUUUUAAUGGUGUAUUUGUUUUGGGUAUUUGGUGAAAUGAGGAUUCUGUACUGGGUUUAUGGCAUUUUUUCAAUUGGUUUGAUAUAUGUGAAUGUGGGUUUUGUAGGGAAGAUAUGCAAAUUUUUUGAAAGAAGCAUGCAAUUACAACUCUGAUUUCCUUUAUAUUUAUAUUUUUUUAUGCUUAUUUGCAUAUUGGUUGAUGUCAAAAUUCAUCUAAUGGGUUGUUUUUUAUUGCUUUGGAUUGGUUUAAUGUAGUUGAAUGGUGGAUUUUGUUUCUAAAACUUAGGGUCAAUUUCAAUUUUUUUUUCUUUUUUUCAAUUUGAAGACCUGGGAGUCUAUGUGAUUGGAAUUGAUGUACUCGAGUUUUUGGAUUUUGCUGAUUGCUUGAUAAACUUGGGAUGCAGAGCCUUAAAAAAUAAACUAUAUUCACUAAACUAUAUCUCUGAUUAUACUUCGUCAAAGCGUGAAAUGCAACUUGGAGUCUUUGUAUUUUUAAAAUUUUUUGGGUUAUUCUAUUCUGAAUAUUUGGUAAAAUUAGAACUCAUGUACUGAACCUUUUUCAAGUUCUUUUGGUUGGCUUGAUAUAUUUGGUUGUGGGGUUUGUAGAUGUGGUGAGGGAUGAUCCUACAAACAAUGUCCCGGAUGCAAUUUUUUUGAAACUUGGAAUGCAGCUUCACAGGAGGGAUCAACACCCAAUUGGAAUUCUGAAGAAUGCAAUAUAUGAUUAUUUCAAUGCCAAUUACUCUAACAAAUUUGAUAAGUUGGAUGACCUUUGCCCAAUAGUCUCCACAAAAGAGGUUUGACAUUAAGAUAUAAAAUAAAAAUUGUAUGCAUGUUUUUUUUUUUUCACUGUUUUGAGCUAUACAUUGCACUAUUUGGAACUUGUAUUAUCUUGCUAUGACUGGUGCCUGACAUUUUGUUGCGGUUUUUAUUUAUUUUGCUGCCCAUUUCCUGUUGGUUUUUGUCCUGUCCUAGGUCUUUUAACAUUUAAGAAUCCAUGAAAGUGGUAUUUGCAUAUGUUGCCAAUUAUUCCAUUGACGAUGUUCUAAGUAGGGAACCUAGUAUCCAAACUUCCAUCCAAACUUCCAUAUAAAAAAAGUCCAGAACAGGCAUUCGGUUUACCAGGUUUAUCAGUUCUCUCCAGUGUUUAUUCAACUCUUAAAUGCAGUAUUCUGGACAUACUCCAAAUUUGAAAUUCCUUUGGUAAAAUAAAGGCAUGGUACUUAUAGUGGUCUAUUAAGGAAAAGGUUUGUUUGACCUAGCUUUUGUACAAAAAAUUCAAGGAUAGUCUUGCAGAUAUGUAUUGUAUAGGUGUAUAUUUCUCUAUCAUGACACAAGUGAGAAAAAAUUCACGAAAGUUGUUUUGUUUUAAUAAAAAAUUGAAAGUUAAUUUAUGUUUUGAGAGGGACAUUAGACAACCUAGGAUUCAAAGGGACAUGUUGUCUCUUAGGAAAAUAUAAUUCAUAGCAUUCUCAAUCACUUACAGGUUAUUUUAAUCCUUUUAAAUUGAUUUAUUUAAUUUUUUUCUUUAUAGUAGGCAAGCAAAAAAUAUAUUUACAACACCUACUAUUAUCAUUAUUUUGGUAAUUAGCAUUGAUGGAGAUUGUAAAAAUUCUCUAAUAGUAUUGCAGGAGAAAAAUAAUAUUUAUGAAUUUUUGUUAAACGCAAUUGUCAUAAUGAUAAUAGUUAAUUAGAAUAAUAUAAGUUUGUAAUUGGAAAAAUUUUAAAAAAUAAUAGCUUUUGGAAAUAGUUUGAAUAGGAGUACAAAAUUCUUGGAUUUCAUGGAGAGCUUAGGUGGGAUCUAAAGCAUGGGGCUGUUUGCUAUCUAUUUUAGUAUUUGCUGCUCUUCUCUCUUAUAGGUGUUCAGUUGCAGCUUGUAUUCUCUGAGCGUACUUGGGUUGUGCCCCCUUUUGUGUUCUUCAAUAUAAUCUUCAGGCUCAUGACUAGUGCAAUUUCUACUAAUUGAUCACUUUUCACUUCAAAUAAUAUUCAGUAAUCCAAAUAGCAUUUAUCAAAUUAUUUUUAACUGCCAUUAGAUUUAUAAAGAACCCAAAAUGUGAAAAUUUCUUCUUAGGCAUGAGAAAUUGUCAUUGUUAUAAACCCCAUGUUUGUCUUGUACUUACAAGCAUAAUUAUAAAGCAUGAUCUGCAUGUCUUAUCAUGAAAUAUAACAAUGUCAUAAAAUAGAUGAUUGAUAAAAUAUUAGAAGUCCAUUACAAAUGCUUAAUGGAACUGAAAAUUAUUACAGAGCAAGUGCAUAUUUCAGUCAAACUUUUAUGCAGUAGUGGUAGCUUAUAAACUCACAACUUUGUAAUCAUGUGCUUGAAUCAAGUAAACUUAAUGGAUCUCAGCUACAUCUGCUCUACAUUUUAACCAUUGUUUUAUGUUAUGGGAAUAGUGACUGAAUUUCACAGUCCCAUCAUUAUAAUUUAUGCAUGUAAAUUCAUUUGGGACUUAGUUUUCACAUGUGUUCACAUGUCAUAACUGUAAUUUCCCUAAUUUUAUGAGUAAGAAAAACUCUUUAAUUUUCCCUAUUUUGACUGAAACUUUAGGAACUUGGACUUUAUUUGGUGCAAAUGUAUGUUAUCAACUAUUGCUUUUGACCAGUCAUGAGUAGAUGCUAUUUAUAAAAGGACACAAAGGAGGAUAUAAUCCAAGUGCACUUGUAGUCGACAAGUUACUCUGGGCAUCAAAAUUGAAAGAAACAACAAUGAAGAAAAGCAUCAAGAAAGUGCCCCUACCUCCCAAACUGUCAAUGAACUACUGGAAGGAUCUACUACUAUUCAAGAUAACUUCUUCUAAGCACAACUACAUGUAACAGUACUUAGCCUGCGCUAUGGUGUCAAAAGGUAGGCUCAUUGGAACAUGCCUAUUUUGAUGGAUUUUAGUUUGUGGGGAUAGUUAAAGUGUAAAGUGUAAAGUGUUUGAUAAAAUAAAUUUGCUAGUUUUAAUAAAUUGGAAUUAC